UAUUUUCCUGUAUUGAAGCGCAUUAUCCUCCUAUUCAAGGGUUGAGGAAAAACUAUAAGUAGUUCUAAAUAUCGUAUCAAAAAGAACAUAUAUUAUAAUAACCUAUAAUAAAAUUUUUGUUUAAAAAGAUAUAAAUAUUUAUCAUUUUAUAUAUAAAUUCUAUCAUCAUUUACAAGAUAAAGUUUAUUUUCGUGAAAUCUGAUUAAAUUCUUAAUUGAAUAUAAUAUAUUUACAUUAACAUAUGAGAUUUAAUAUUUUUAAAAUAUUUUUUAAUUCCCAAACCCCUAAUUAAUGCAAACUCCAAGAGUUUUCGAGAAAAAACUUGAUUUUCCAAUUUUUUUUAAUAUAGUUUGUCGAAACCAUUUUUAUUUUGAAAAACGGGGAUCGACUUUAAAAACGAAAUAUGGAGUUGCCACCAAUCCUUUUUUGUUUUGGGUGUGAUCGGAUCACCUUAUAAAAUAUUUUGUUUUAUUAAAACAUCGAUUUUGGCCUACGAAAUUCAAGAAAACGGGUUCGGGAGUCGGUUACGUACGAGGAAGGAUUAGCACCAUCAUAACGCCCAAAAUUAGUACCUAAUUGAUUAAUUAAUGUCCUAAUAUCGAAAAUUUGAAAAGAUUUUGAAAUACAAUUCCUUUUAAAAAUAUUUGAAUAAUUCGAAUUGGAUGUUAAGAUUCUCUUGUCCCGAAGGAAUAAAAUAUCACAUCCAGUACGUUAGGAUACGACAUUUUAAACCCUCGAAACCAAUAUCGUCUCUCGAUUUUUAAAACUUAUGCAUUGAAAUUUCAAAAGGAUAUUUGGUUAUUUGGUCAAACGAAAAAAAUCGAAACUUAGCAUGUUAGGGCAUGAUUUCUCGAAUUUUCAAACACGAAAUAUUGCCUUAUUUUUUAAUUUAAGAAAACACGGAUUUUUGAAAUAUGAAGGGAUAUUUGGCUACUUAGGUUUAACGAGAAAAUCGAUACCCGUAAGUUAAGGUACGAUCUCUCGAAUUUCUAAAGCGCGAAAUAUCGCCUUAUUUUGAGAAAAUUUCAAAGAAGAGCGAUUAUAAAACCGACUCAAAAUGCGUUUAUUCGGUUUGUUUGGGAUAAAAAUGAAACAACUAAAAUCGGCCUAAAUACGUUGGAAUUUAAAUCACGAUACAAUAAUAAGAAACAAAAGCAUAGUAUCGAGCAUGAAAUAAUAAUAUGUGAGUUCAAUAUUAUACAAAUGAAUGACAAUGAUAAAAAUACGGAUAUACAAAUCGAAAUACACAAUAGCAAUAAUCUCACAACAUACCUAUUUAAAUACUAACAUUUAUAAUCUAAGACUAAUGAAUAAAAAAAAUAUAACGAUUUUAAAAAAUAUAAAACAAAAUAAAAAAAAUAAAAUGUACCAAACUUUCAAAUAAUAAUCAACAAUGUUAAAACAAAUAAUGUAAAAGAAAAUCAAAUUGAAAUUGACAAUAUAAAGAACAAUUUAAAAAAUAAAUCAUAUGUAUAAAAAUUUUAAAGUGAGUAAUACAUGUAAAAGUUUGAAAUAAAUCAUAAAAAUAAGAAUAAAAAUAAAUAAUAUGUAAAAUAAUAAUAUAUAAAUUAAUUUUAAAAUAAGUAUUAUGUAAGAAGAAAGUUAAAGUAAGUAAUAAACAAAUAUAUAUAUCAAUCUAAAAUAGAUAAUAUACAUAAAAUAAAAGUAGUUUAAUAUAAAUAAUAUAUAUAUAUAUAUAUAUAAAAUAAUGCAAUAGAGUGUUUAAAAUGAACAUCAUAUAAAUCUUUAAAACAAAGAAUAUACAUAAAAGAGAAUUUUAAAAUAAAUAAAUUAUAUAAUAAAAUAAUUCAAAAAAAUAUAAAAAAGAAAAUAAAAAAACAACUAAAACAAUGUGAAAUUAAUAAUAUAGUUCAAAAUAAUAUGUUAAAACAAUUUUUAAAAAAUGAAUAAUUAAUAAAUUAUAAAGAAUAAAAAAAACAUAAACUGAAACUUUAAAAAACUCAAUUGAAAUAAAAACAAAAUCAAAAGGAUACUUUAUAAACAAAUCAAAUUAUUAAAACAAAGUCAAGGACCAAAAUAAAAUGUGCACAAAUAAACGAGGAUUAAAAAUGAAAAUGUCCCAAAUUCCAAAACGCGGCGUUUAAAUGCGGACUAAGUUGAAAUGGCGCACAAAUUCCAGGGAAAAAUGAAAAAUACAAAAGAAAUAGAAAUAGGGCUCAAUUAGAUGGAAGUGAAAAAAAGAGGGACCAAUAACAAAAAUUACCCCUUUAGGACAAAAAUGCGUGGACCCUACCUGCGGGUCGGGUCAACGUGCGGACCUUUAGCUUUCAAAACGGUGCCGUUUUUUUUAUUUAUAAAAACUAAUUUUUAACCUUAAAAAUCAUUUUUACCGAAACCAAAAAUUUAAAAAUGGGGGCAAGCCAUUUUCCUUGCUAGGUUUUCGGUGAUGUGCCGAUUGACCACCGCCGCACCACCACUAUAUCUGGUGGUCGGCCAUGUGCGAAGAGGGUCCUUAACUCUGCUUAAACCAUGCUCGAAGGCUUAACCAUUUUUUAGCAUUAGAGAAAUAAAAAAGAGGAGACCCAACCCUUUUUAGAUUCGAUUUCGGAGGAGACGAGGCUCCAACAAUGAACCCACAGGUGAGUCCCUUCCAUCUUUUUGUUUUUUACAUGCAAAGGAAACAAAAUGAAAAACUAAGGAAAAGAAAAGAAAUCGAAAGAAACAAAAUUGAAAUCUCAGAUCACCUUCAGUUCUUUGAGUGAUUUGUAUUCGUAUGUAUGCGUAAAAAAUGUGAAAAAAAGUCCCCGUACACUCUUUACGAUCGGCUUUAUAUAGCCGAAAUAAAAAAUAAAAUUUACAAAUUUCUCAUUUUCUGCUCUAUUUGUUACUGUUAUUUUUUUACUGUUUGUUAUCCUCACUGUUAUUUGCUGUCAAUCUGUGUUGCCGUUGUUCUAUUUCGCAGGUAUGUGCGGCGUGGAGAAGCCGUUCGUGGGCAGCGGCGUAAGGCCCCUUGCUAGGGUUCUCAGCAGUCGAAAUUGCUUGGGUCGCCUAGGCUUGUUUUGCGUAUUGGGCCAUUGGGCCCGGGUCUUGUAUUUUGUUAGGGUAGUCUCAAUUCGAGUUUGGGUUAAAAUUGGGCUUAAGGGGUUUAUUUAGUAAUUUGGGUUAUAAGUAUAAAUGUGAUUUGGGCUAGUAUGUAAAUGGACUGGACUAAUUUAUUUAAUUUUAUAAUUUUUGGUUUUUUUGUUUUUUUUUAUAUGGACCCGGAAAAAAUUUGGGCCUUACAUAGUUGGUACAUGAAUUUGUAUUCUGUCAAUUAGGUUGAUACUUUUGUAAUAAUACUAUUAGUUUAUAUUAACGUAGCAUUGUUAGCCAAUCCGGUGUUGCCAUGUGACAACAUAAAUAAAAAUAGAAAAUCUUUAAAAAUAUAUAAAUUAAUAAAAAAGUGUAACUUUUUUUCACAUCAAGAAUAAACUGAACAAAUAUUUGUCCAAAUGUGCUUUUAGUACUUUUAUGUUUUUAUAAAAUAUUAGUUUUUAAGUUAUUAUUUUGAAAUAUAUAUAAAUUAUAAAUAUAUAUUAAAAACCUAUAAUAUUUUAAAUAUAUAUAAUUAUAAUGUAUAAUAUAAAAAUUUAUAAAAAAAUUUAAAACUCAUAAAAAAUAUAAAUAUAUAAAAAUAACUAAAAAUUUAUAAAUGUAUAUAUAUUUAUAAAUGUAUAAUAUAAAUGGUUGUUUACACUUCUUGAUGUAAAAUUUUUUUAUGCCUUUAUUGAUUUAUAUAUAUAUUAUUUUUUAAAAAUUAUAUAUAUUUUUAAUUUCGAAGUAAUAAUUGUAGGGCCCAAUUUAGCCUAGAGCCCAUAAACCAAAAACCAAAUAAGAACAAAACCCUAAAACCUCAACCCAAACCAUAAAUACUCAUUUACAACGCAGCCCAAUUAGCCUACGAACCUAAAACAUUUCAGCAAGGGAAACCCUAACAGCCCCUUUGCGCAGUUUCAGCAAACAGCGUGCCCCCUCACGCACCAGGCACCACCAUCCCGUGACGUGCGUUGAUCCACCACGCCACGUCAGAGACGUGUUCAAUCACGCACCUGCAAACAAACACAAAAAAGGGACAGCAGCAAAAAGUUGUUUUUCUCCCCGCUUUCCGUUCGGCUAUAAAAUUGAAGAGGAUCGAAUGUAAAAAGGGACUUUUUUUUUUCGGUUUUUUACGAAUACAGUAACAGAUAUACACACCAAAAAUCAAUAGAAAAGAUUUUAGGGCAAAAGAAAUCCAAAAGGUGAUUUUAGAUUCAACUGUCCUUGAUUUUACGUUUUCUUUUGAUUCUAUUUCUUUUAUUUUUUCCAUUUGAAUUUUAAAACAUUUGAAAAUAUAAAAAGGGAAAGAUUUAUCUUACGAAUAGGCUGUGGAGUUCCGUUUGCUUCGCUGAAGUCGGAGCUUUGAGGGGGUUUUAUAGUCAAGAAUGUCGGCCCUCGAAACUUGAAUCUGCUGGACGUCGUUUAGGGUGGCAGAUCGGCAUUCAAAGAGAGGGAUUAAAGUCGGCUAAGGGGAAAAAUUAAGAGAGAAAUAAAAAGGGGCUAGGGUUUCUUUUAAAAAAAAUGGCAGGAUGCCAUUCAAUUGUUUUUUUUUUAGUUUUUUAAAUGGCAAACAAAACGGCGCCGUUUGGGAGGGAUGGGAUCCGCGCUUUUGUGCUUUGAAGGGGAAAUUUAUACGGCUGGUCAUCCCCUUUUGCUCCGACUUUCGAUUUGACCCAGUUUGAAUUUCAUUUGUUUUUUAAAAAUUGCCCGUGGAUUUUGCACGUAGAUUCAAUGUGGUCCGCGUUGAAACGUCGCGUUUGGAGGGCUUGGGAUAUUUUCUCUAUCAGUCCUUCCCCUUUACACGCGCGUCUACUUUGAUCCCAGUUCAUGAUUUGUUAUUUCUUUGCAUUUUAUAAUUUGCACCCCAUGUUUCGUUUUGAUUAUAAUUAAAUCCCAAGCCUUUUACAACUCAAAUUACUUUUAGUUUUUUUUUUGUUUUUUAAAUAUUUUAUUUACUUAUUGUAUUAUUCUCAUUGUUAUUAUUUUGUUUUUUGUUUAUUAUUUUACAUCUGUACAUACUUUUCAAUAUUGGAUUGCUAAUUAAUAUUAUCAUUGUUAUUAUUAUUCUUACUAUUAUAUAUUAUUGUUAUUAUUCUUACUAUUAUAUGUUAUUAUUAUCGUUACUAUUAUUUAUAUACAUCAUUAUUAUUACUAUUAUUUUUCACUAUUAUUAUUUUACUAUUAUUUUUAUAUACUAUAGUGGUUCAUUAAUAUUACUAUUAUUUUUCGUUAUUCUUAUUGUUUUUUUUUUUAAAAACCUUUCAUAUAAUGUAGUUUUAAAAUUAUGUAUGAUAUUUAAUUAGAUCAGCUUUAUCUAUUACUAUAUACACAAAAUUUAUAUUAGCUUUAUCUACGUACAUUAUAAAUCUCAUGUUGUUUUAUAUUUGAUUUUCUUAAUAAUUUACUUAUAUACAAUUUAUUUCUUUUAAAGAUCCUAUUUUACCAUAUUUUUUAAAACAUUCUCAUCAAUUAUUAUUUUCUAUAUAUUAUUUUUAUUUUCAUUCAUUUUAUAACCACCCGCAUUUCGAAAAUUCUCUCAAUAUAAGGAAAUAUUUCGUGUUUGGGAGUCCGAGAAAUCGUGCCCUAACGUGCUGGGUUUCAAUUUUUCGUUCAACCGAAUAACUAAAUAUCCUUUUGAAAUUUCACUCAUCUUUUCUUAAGUUAAAAAACAAGGCAAUGUUUCGUGUUUGGAAAUUCGAGGAAUCGUGCCCUAACGUGUUGGGUUUCGAUUUAUGGUUGGUCCAAAUAACCUAAUACCCUUUUAAAAUUUCGUUGCGUGUUUUGGAAAUCAUGAGAUGAUCUCAGUUUUUGAGGGCUUGAAAUAUCGUGUCCUAACGUGCUGGAUAUGGUAUUUUAUUCCUUCAGAAUGAGUGAAUCUUAAAAUCCAGCUCGCGUUGUUCUCACAUUUUUAAAGGGAUCGUUUUUUAAGAGCUAUUCUAAAUUUUCAACAUUAGGACAUUAAUUAAUCGAUUAGGUACCAAUUUUGGGCGUUGCGGGGGUGCUAAUCCUUCCUCGUACGUAAACGACUCCCGAACCUGUUUUCUUGAAUUACGUAGGCCAAAAUCGAUGUUUUAAUAAAAUAAAAUGUUUUACAAGGUGAUCCGAUCACACCUCGAAAAAAGAUCGGUGGCAACUCCAUUUUUGUUUUUAAGUCGAAUCCCAUUUUUUAAAUAAAAAAUGGUAUUGACAGCUUGGCGACUCCACUAGGGACAAAUAAGAGAGUUAAGCCGUAAAAUUGAUUGUUUUCUGUCCUUUUGUUGAAAAUUUAAAAUUUGGUUUUUAACAUAUCAUUCUUUUAUUACAUUUCAUGGGUUUUAUGGUUUUGGUCAUUUUAUUCGUGUUUUGCAUUUUGAGUUUUUUAUGUCUCCUCGCAUUAUCUUACAUGACCAUUGUGGUCGCACCUUUUUCAGUGGGAGUAAGAAACUAUGCCUUCGUGAGGCUUUCACCUCCGCAUGGGCUAGUGGACUGCUUCCGGGAUACAUCUGUACCUAUGUCUUUGUGAGGUUUUCACCUCCGCAUGGCCAUAGGGAAAUUUAUUCCCCUGAACUGAACUCAAUCCACAUGAGCCUGUAAUGGGUGAGGGUUGAGGAAUCUGCUGGUUUAGGUACCCCUUUCUUAGAAACGAGCCACAUAUAGUGAACUCUAAAAGCCAGCCCUAGAUAGAGCUAUGUUGAACCGUAGCGAUUAUUCAGAUAGGUGUUUGAUUGUUUUUUAUUUUCUUUGUUUUUUAUUUUUCGAUACUAACUUGCUGUGUUUUGUUGUGGUUAUGUUUGCAUGUCAUUUCAUAUUAAAGAGGUGUCGAUUUCUGUUCGGUUACUAAAUUAUAAAGUUGGUUAUGGAAAGCGAAUUCCUUGAUAAAGUAGAGGAUAAUACGGCUGCCCGUAUGUGGUCAGAGAAGAUGCAACUUGAGAAAGGGGAUAGCCUAGCAGCGGGCUAUAUAUCAAAGCUUUGUAACUUCACUCGCAUCAAUGUGACCCAAAACAAGUUCUAGGAAUUGAGGGAUAUAUGGGCCCAUUGGGAUGACGAGACUAAGCAGCUGUUCUAUCAGAAUUAUGGUGACUUACCCUACCUGCUCGAUAUCAAGGUGGACAAGUACUUGUUCUGGGAAAUGGCUCAGUUUUGGAACCCGGCAUAUAGUUGUUUCACCUUUGGGAAGGUGGAUUUGGUGCCUACUGUGGAGUAGUAUACAACUUUGCUUCGUUUUCCAAAGGUUCAAGUCAACAAAAUUUAUUCCAAGCUGCUAAUACCCCAGUUUUUAUAAAGAAAUUAAUGAGUAUCACCGGGAUGAGUGAACAGUGGAUUACAGCCCGAAUUCAGCAAAAGGGUGAUGGUAAGUACAUUACUUGGGUGAGUUUGAGGGACUUGAUCGUAGCACAUCCAGAUACAAAGAGGAAAAUUGACAUCUUCGUCUUGAGCAUCUAUGGUUUGGUAAUUUUCCCAAAAGCUUUAAGGCAUAUAGAUGAAGCAGUUGCCGACUUUUUUAAUCGACUUGACAAAUGGGUCACACUAGUAUCGACAAUUCUAGCCAAGACAUUCAAAUCUUUGGGUGCAUGUCGGAGGGCAGGUGAAGGUAGAUUUAUAGGGUGCGCGCAGUUAUUGCUAGCAUGGAUCCACAGUCAUUUUUGGAAAGUGGAUAAGGUUUUCUUAUCGGGUUUUUUCUGAGAAUUACUCCCCAUUAAAGGAGAUAACAGCCACGCCCAGGAAAUAUGACAUAUCAGAAGAGAAUUGGAUUGCGCUCCUCCGAAACCCACAAGAGGAGGACGUUGAGUGGAGAGCUCAUUGGUUGGUUCCUGAUGAGAUCCCCUAUCGGUGUUAGAGUUUUGAUUGGGUACCUUUGCCUGGAAUUUGGGGAGCUGGUUGAUAUGCCCCUUUGCUCGUUUUAAGAUAGUAUAGAUCAAGACAGUUUAUACCGAUGACACAUGGACUAGCCUAGAGUGAGUUCUCGUAUAGGGAAAACAAUUAUAAAAAGAAAGUUCGAGAGCUUUCUGAUGCUUGGAAACAGACACGCCGAAUGAAGGGAUUGGCUGUAGGUUCAAUGACGACUCCGGAAUACAAUAGAUAGUUGAAUAAAAUGGUCAAUGAUAACAUCUCUGGGCUGAGUUUAGAGGGAGUUCGGUCGAUGGAAGAAUACUUGCAAGUAAUCCCUUCCGAGCUAGAAAUCAUCAAACAAGACUUCAAAAAGAGAAAUUCGGAGUUAGGGAAGAAGAUAGAGCAAUUGGAGGAGGAAAAGUUGCAUUUGAGGUUAGACGCCGAUGUCUAGAAACUCAAGCCGAGAAUUUAAUAAAUGGAAAGAGAAAGGUUGAGGAAGACUUGGAUAGUUUGAAGACUGAUUGUAAGAAGUUGCAGAUGUCGAUGAGAACUGCUAGAUUGGGAAAGACAUCAGAGCAGUGGCGACAAGAAGUUCAAGAUGAAAAAGCUAGAGCUAAUCAGUGGCAGAAGAGGUUCCAUGAUUCUCGAGCACGUGAAAAUGCCUUAAAGAAAAGUUUGGUUGAGGGCUAAGAUGAGAAGGAGAUGUGAGUAGAUCGGGUAGCGGAGCUAAAGAAGGCACUGCAUCAGUACCGUGGUCGUAACUCCGACAUUAAAUUAAGAGCCAUCCUGAGCAGGAUCGAGGAUUUGAAAGGGAAGGUAGAAGAACUCGAGUCUGCAUUAUAGAACUGUGAACUUCGAAUCGAAUUCCUUGAGUCGAAUAAUGAGCAGUGAAAGGAACAGCUCCGUCGAUCGCAGGACCAGGUCAGGGAUAGAGAUUAUAUCAUGGGCGAAGCAGUGGCUCAGAUUCGAGAAGUGGCCGAUCAUCUACAAACCUUAGCGGUUCAGACUGAUGUGCUAAGUGUGAAGUAUGAGUUAGAGUCAGAUCGGGGUAGUGAGCUGGCUUGCCUUCUUAAAAAAGUUAAAACUUUGAGCAUUAGGGCAAAGUCGUAUAUAUGAUUUAUUUUAUGUAAAGGAUUUUACUUUCUAAUAAAGUUUUUUGAAUAGAAUUGAAUCAAAAUCGACGUCUCUUUAGUCUUGCAUUCAUCUCAUACAUUUGCAUUACAUCGCAUCAUGUGCAUUAAACUUCAUAAAAUAACCCUAAUUAAUUAGAAAUCGUGUGUAAUACCCCGAAAAUUUUUACAGUAAAAUAUUACCCGUGAUAUAGUAAAAUAAGGAAAUAAAGUGACAAAAAGGGAAAUUUUGAGUUAUGUCAAUAUUGGGAAGUAUUUUAUGAUAUAUUAAUUCAAGAAAGGACUAAAUUGCAAAGAUGAGAAAAGUCUUGUUGCACAAGAGUAAAUACUCAAAAUUUAAGGGGUUGAAGUGUAAAUAUAAAAAAGUUGAAGGACUAAUGAUGCAAAUAUUUUAAGGGUGGAAUAAUCUAGAAACCAAGAAAAAUUGAUGAAUUAGGACCAAAUUGAAUAGGUGAAAAUUUAUGAGAGACUAAAUCAUAAUUUUACCAAAUUAAGUAAUGACUUAAGGAUGGAAUUCUAAAAUAUCAUGAAGGGCAAAAUGGUCAAUUAGUAAGAGAGAGAAUUCUAGAAUGUAAUGAUUAUGUUGAUGAUAUUUUAAAUUAAUAAAUUAGAUAAAUAUUAUUUUAUUAAUAUUUUUAUGAGAUAUUUAUUAUUAUAUUAUUAUUUAUUUAGUAUAAAAGGAAGAAAAGGUGAAGAAUUAUCAUCACCUUUCCUUUCCCAUGCAAGCCAUCGUAAGAGAAGAAGAAGAAAAGAAGUUUUCUUUCUUUACAAUUUAGUUCUUCCACCAAAAAUUUAUUAUUUUCACCUAAAAAUUGAAAGAAUUUCCAUAGCCAUCAAGAGAGAAAGAUAGCAAGGAGAUGAUGGGGAGUAAGAAUAUCAAGUUGGAUUCAAGAAAUAGAAGUUGGAGGAGAGAGAAAAAUCAAGUUAAAGAUUGAAGUCAAUAAGAAAAAGGUAAAAACAUCAAGAUUUCAAUAUAUUUUUAAGUUUAAUAUUAUUGAAAAAGCAUGGAAUUGAUGUUGAUUUAGAGUUUUCUUAUAUAUGGUCUUAUGUUCUUGUCAUGUUAGUGAAGAGAAAAUAAGAGAAAGUGAUGAGAAAUAGCGUAGAAAAAGAAAAUAAGGGUGUUAUAAACAUGAUAAUUAAUAUCUUGCACUAAAAUAGUUCUGGACAGCAGCAGUAGUCUAACUUUGAAAAAUCACCAAAAAUUUUAGAAAUCGAAUUAUAGGAUGAAUAAAAUAUGAAAUUAAAUCUUAUUUAUUCUAGUUUCUUAUAGAAGAAAUUAUGUAAUCAAUGGAAUUUUAAAUCAUCAGAUAUAAUAAAUUUUGCGAGACAAGGUCAGAAUGAUUUCGGGUUCCCCUGUUCUGACUUUGAAAAAUCAUAAAAAAUUGGAAAAAAAUAAUUAUGGGCUUAAAUUUAUAUUUUUAGAAUCUUGAAUGAGUCUAGUUUCAAGAGAAAUAAACAAGAACAUCAUUAUAAUUCUUUACAAGGAGAUAAUUAAUUUUUAGUGAAGAAUGGUCACAGCUGUCAGACAGCAGAAUAGGGGUAAUUUUAAAGAAUAAACUGUACUUAUUUAUUAAACCAAAAAUUAUGAAAAUUUUAUGGUAAGAAUAUAUAUGAGUCUAAUUUCAUGGAAAAUUAUCAGAUAUUAAUUUUGAGUUCUAGAGCUCCAGAUAUAAAUAAUUUAGUGACUAUGACACAGAUGGACAGCUUGAAUAUUCAUAAAAGUAAAUAAUAAAGAUUAUAGAUAAUGUUACUUACAAGUGUGUUAUAUGCAUUAAGGAUGUGGAAUGGAGAGGAAGAGGAGGAAAAUAUAUAUGAAUAUUCAGCUAGUAUGGCUAAUUUGCAUGUUUUAGGCUUAAGGACUAAAUUGAAUAAAAGAAAAUCUUCAGUAGGCAAUUUUGUAAAAAUGUCAAAAUGAGCAAAUUGAAGGGAAUGAAUUUUUUUAUUAUCUAAAUUAAUAAAUUGAAUGAAAUUUUCAAUUUAAGAUCGGGUGAAAAUUGGGAAAAUAGUAAAUUACCAAAAUGUCUCUGAAUCUUGAUAUUUCUGCAAUUUCGCUAGGUAAGUUCGUAUAACUUGAAUUAUAUUCUUAAAUGCUUGAAAUGUAUGUUUUUGAUAUGAAUAUUAUUUGAAUGUUCAUUGUAUGAAAAUUGAUGAAACAUUAACAUAUUUGAUAAAAAGGGGAAGAUAUCUCGGUUGAAUGAAAGGAAAAUUCGAUGGAUCUCUGAGAAGGAAUUGACGGUAAAAAGGAUCUAGCCCUAACGGGUGAUCCUAUCCUAGUAUAACCCUCUCGAAGAAUACGUGUAAAUAGAUUUAGCCCGGAAGGGUAAUUCGAAUUAGGGUCUGAAUUUAGCCUGGACUGGUAAUUCAGAUCCAAGUUUAUUAGAGUAAUUGUCGUUGCAGGGGAUUUAGCCUGGAUUGGUAAUCCAAACAAUACUCUAUGAGCUUAUAUUACAGGGGAUUUAGCCUGGACUGGUAAUCCCACUGUAAGGAUGAGGUUCGCGGGAGUGCUCUCUGAUAUGAAAUGUGUAAGACCAUGGUUGAAAGAUACCAUGACAACCUGAUAUGAAAUGUGUAAGACCAUGGUUGAAAGAUACCAUGGCAACGUGAUAUGAAAUGAAUAAGACCAUGGUUGAAAGAUACCAUGGCAACAUAACGGGAAAUGAAUAAGACCAUGGUUGAAAGAUACCAUGGUAGCGUGACAUGAAAUGAAUAAGACCAUGGUUGAAAGAUACCAUGGCAACAUGACAGAAAAUGAGUAAGACCAUAGUUGAAAGACACUAUGGCAUCAUGUCAAAGAUAAAUAAGACCGUGGAUGGGAGACGCGAUGACAUCUAUUGAACAAUUGAUAUUCAGGUAAUAUGUAUCAGAUGACGAAUGGUUAUAUGAAAUGGUUGUGUGAAUUGUUUACAAGAACUGGUCAUAUGGAAAUAUAUGUACAAAAUAGUUGUAUGAAAUAAUGAUGAAGAUAGAUAAACGAAAUAAGAAUUAAAUACACGGAAUAUAAUUUAUGUUAAGUUUGAUAUAAACUUUAACGGAAUAAAUAUACAUAAAAUAUAUGGAAAUAAUGGAGCAUGAAAUAUUGAUAUAAUGAAAUGAUUGAUAUAUACUUAUGAAGAAUGGUAAGAGAAUGAUAUGUUUCAUGACAUGUACAUAUAUGAUUAUCUUUGAUAUGUUGAUACAAGGAAAUUAUGUAAGUAAAGACAAUUAUUAAACUCAAGUGUGACAUGUCGAGAAAAUAAGUAUAUGAAUGUUGAAUUUAUAUAAAUAUGUGCAAGUAUACUAACAAUGAUGUUGUUUGACGCUUAGACAAGCGUCAAACUAUUGAUUGAAUGGUAACAUUUUUAAUUAUAAGAAGCAUUGAAAUGGUAAGUACUUAGAUGAAAAUAAAAUUUAAAUUGCGAAAAUUUUUUUAUGAUCCUGAUUUAAUUCCGAUUGGCUUUUAAUGUAUGUUUGGGGCUUCGAGGGCCCAAUAGAGAGACGUUAUGAUUAUUUUCAAAAUAUGAAUAAUAAAUGACUCAGAAUUAUCUGAAAAUGUUCAGUAAACUCCGGUAAUGCCUCGUACCUAUUCUGGCAAUGGAUACGAGUAGGGGGUGUUACAUCGUGUUAUAGUUAUCCUGGAACAUCACUACUACACACGGAGAAAAACUAAAGUUAUGGAUCAAAAGUUGGAAAAACUGGAACAAAUGCAGAAAGAGAUGCAGGAGCGGCUGCAAGCACAGAUGCAAGAGCAACUAGCCAAGAUUCAACAAGAUAUGAAAGAUCAGAUGCUAGAAUCGCAGAAGAACAUGAUGAAUCAGCUAACUCAGUUACUGCUCGGAGGGCUAGGAAAAGGGAAGAGCCCUAUGGUCAACCAUGGGGAUGUCAAUGAGGACCUUGUCUACCCACCGGGUUUUGCCCCAGCAAAUACCCUAAUGCGGCCCAACGCAUAUCCACCUAGGGUGUCUGUCAAUAUCUGUCCACAGCAUCAAGCCAGUAUCUCGGCAUUAAUGCACUUCCCGAUAGGUUCAGGCACCGGAGACAAUCCGACAAAUCCUGGUGUCCUUGAUCUGGAUAACAUGGCAGAAGUAGAAAGGGCAAAAUGAGAAUUUCCAAAGUAGCUGGAAGACCGAUACAAAUGGCUGGAAGAGAAGUUCAAGGCACUGGAAAAUGCUGAUUAUCAGUGUAGUAUGGUUGCUAAAGAGUUGAGUUUGGUUUCGAAUCUAUUGCUCCCUCCAAAGUUUAAAAUGCUGGAGCUUGAGAAUACAAUGGAACCAGCUACCCUGAGGCCCACAUCAUGAUGUUUUGUCAGAGGAUGACUAGUAAUGUCAACAAUUAUCAGUUAUUAGUUCACUGCUUCUAGGAUAGUUUAACUGGGGUUGCGACCAAAUGGUACAAUUAGCUGAAUCGCACCCAAAUCAAAUCAUGGAGGGACUUAACAUAAGCCUUCAUGAAGCAGUAUAGUCAUGUGACAGAAAUAGCACUUGACAGGAUCACAUUACAGAAUAUGGAGAAAAGGUCGAGUGAAAGUUUCAGGCAAUAUGCCCAGAGGUAGAGGGAAGUUGCUACACAAGUCCAACCACUACUGCUGAAAAAAGAAACAACUAUGCUCUUCAUUAAUACUUUGAAAACACCUUUCAUUAAUCACAAGCUGGGCAGCGCAACUAAAAGUUUCACGGACAUAAUGAUGUCUGGUGAAAUGAUAGAGAAUGCAAUAAGGUGCGGGAAGAUAGAGGCUGGGGAAAGCACCAGGAAGUCAGCCCCGAAGAAGAGAGAAAAUGACGUCAGUAAUGUGAACAUGGGUUAUGUAAAACCAGACACGGUUAAUCAAUCGAGAAUGAUGGCUACGGGCUAACAAGCCUCACCAAGACAGAAGCCCAAUACCAAACAAAGCACGGAGAAGCUUCAGUUUAUUCCCAUUCCAAUAACGUGUCAAGAGCUGUACAAUAGCCUAUUUGAUGCGCACGUUGUAGCCCUUUUCUACUUAAAACUGUUGCAACCUCCAUAUCCCAAAUGGUACGAUGUAAUUACUCAAUGUGAAUACCAUGUGGGAACAGUGAGACACUCGAUAGAGAACUACCUCUUUUUCAAAAGGUUAGUCGAAAGGCUCAUCAAUAUGGGCGUUGUGAAGUUCGACGAGGCACCUGGUGUAGGAAAUCUGUUACCCAAUCAUACUAAUAAUAAGGUGAACGCAAUAAUUGACAAUGCGGGGAAAAUAAUCAAGUUGAGUGUUACAGAAGUAAGACCCCUGUUGAAAGAGGUCUGGAGAAGAAUGGUGGAAAGAUGUCUAAUACAAGACGUGGGGAGCAAACCUCGAGAAGCGAGGAACUAUUGUGAGUUCCACGAUGAUGAGAACUAUGAGAUUCAGAGAUACAGUGAAUUCAGGGCCCUGGUGCAGGGUCUAAUGGACAAUAAUGAGCUAGAGUUCUUUAAGUUCGUUGAAGGAGAGGACGUGCGCACCGCAGGAGGAGAGUCAGUAGAGAAGGUCACUGAGGUCAAUCAGCCGAUGGUGAUCAUCUCACAACCAAGAAUCAACGAAGCCGGAGCAAAAAUUACACUGAAAGUUGUAAUUCAGAAAACCGCAGCUUUUCCUUAUAAGGAUAGCAAAAGGGUACCUUGAAAUUAUAACUGUAAUGUGACAUAUUUGAGAAAGGAAAGUCUGGUCAGCAUGCCAAAUACGAAAAUUAAGCCCAACAAAGGGAAGUCCCUGAUGAUUCAACAAGGGGAAGAAAGGUCAGAGCCAUUGGUUAAUGAACCGGUAACUGAUAAUAAAGCCAAAGAUUUUUAAAAUUCCUCAAACAUAGUGAGUAUAGUGUUGUAGAGCUGCAUAAGCAACCGACACACACAUCAGUUUUGACUUUACUUUUAAACUCGCCGAUACACCGUAACGCGCUGAUAAAGGUUUUGAAUGAAACCUUUGUCGCUGAAGACAUUUCGGUGAACAAGCUAGACCGUCUUGUCAGCAACAUAAGUGUCGAUAACUUCAUUUUAUUAAGCGACAAUGAGAUACCACCAAGGGGCAUAGGGUCCUCCAAGGCUCUGUACAUCACUACCCGGUGCAAAGGGUAUACACUACCGGGGGUAUUAUUUGACAAUGGGUCGGCACUGAAUGUCUUGGCCUUGUCCACAUUGAACAAGAUACCUAUAGAUAGCUCUCAUAUGAAGACAUGCCAGAACAUAGUGAGAGUAUUUGAUGGCACCGAAAGGAAAGUAAUGGGAAGGAUUGAGAUUUCCCUUUUGAUCAGACCCAAUACAUACGAGGUAGACUUCCUCGUGAUGGAUAUCAAGCCCUCUUAUAAUUGUUUAUUGGUGAGGCCCUAGAUUCACUCAGUAGGAGCAGUACCAUCAUCAUUGCACCAAAAGUUAAAGUUGGUGACGGAAGGUCGGCUGAUAACCCUAAAUGCAGAGGAGGACAUUAUCGUAUUCGUUACUAGUGAUGCGCCAUACAUAGAGAAUCUGAGGCAAUAAAGUGUUCCUUUCGGUCGUUAGAGUUCGUGAAUGCAAACUUUCGUCAUCGAAUGAGACAAGGUCCGAAUGCCAAAAAUAUCAGAAGCCACGAUGAUGAGCCUACGACUGAUGGUAAGAAAAGGAGCAUUGACUCGAAGGGGACUCAAAAAAUACCUCCAUGGACAGGUCGAAGUACCGGGCUUGGCUGACACGCGGGAUCGUUUUGGCUUGGAGCAUAAUCUAAACGCCAAACAGAAGAAGGAAGAGCUAGAAAGAAAGCAGGAGAGACGAAGGGCACGAUUGAGUGGGGCUGAGGUCAAAUAGGAAUUAAUGACUUUUCUCUAUAUAUCCAAUACAUUUGUAUUAAGGGGAAUACUCCAUCUUGAAUUGAAGAUGACAAGUGAAGGAAUAGCUGAAGAUAUGAUAGAAAAUUUGAGCAUCAACGCCAUUUCUGAGGAGAGAAAGAUGGAAGGAAACGUAUUGGGCAUUCACCCCUACGUGCUAGGAAGUGUUCUGAACAACUAAACUGCGGAGGAAAUUCUUGUAUUUUUUAGAGCUAAUAUAGAGUAAUGUUCAAAACACACUUGUUGUUUUAAGAUUAGAAACAAUAAGAAUCUUUUGUGAAAAAGCUAAUGUUCAAACAUCUUUAUUUUCAAUAAGAAAUGCAUUUUUGAGUCUCAUGCCGGGCGAAUAUUCUUUUGUUCUCUCAUUUCAUUCAUAACCAUGUCAUACAAAUAAGCCACUCUUAGAUUCAUUCUUUGGAUAUUCUUUCAUGCCUACAAUAAGUCUCCAGAUAUCAAUGAUACGAGCGACGCUGCUACGGACCCAGAGUCCCCUUUUGAGCGAGAUAGGUGCUUAGAGGAAUCUCAGGAUUUUGAAGAUGAUCAAGACUGUAGGUUAUCUCUAGAUUUGUUAAGAAUGGUAGAAUAGAAAGAGAAACAGAUUCUUCCUCAUAAAGAGACAAUCGAGAAUAUAAUUUUGGAGGACGGGAAAGAGGUGAAAAUUGAAACUUGCAUAACCGAGGAAACAAGGCAAGAUCUCAUUAAACUAUUGCAGUAGUUCAAAGAUGUCUUUGCAUGGUCGUAUCAAGACAUGCCUGGUUUAAGUGCUAAUAUUGCAGUACACCGUGUCCCCAUAAAGGAGGAAUACAAGCCAGUUCAACAGAAGCUCCGAAGAAUGAGACCCGAUGUUGCAGUAAAAAUAAGAGAAGAGAUUAAGAAGAAAUUUGAUGCAGGUUUCUUAUAAGUGGCGAAUUACUCGGAAUGGGUAGCCAAUUUCGUCCCCGUCCCUAAGAAAGAUGGAAAAGUGCGGAUGUAUGUAGAUUAUAGAGACCUAAACAAGGCCAGCCCAAAGGACAACUUCCCGCUGCCUUAUAUCGACACUCUGGUGGAUAAUACGGCAGGUUACUCACUGUUCUUUAUCAUGGAUGGCUUUUCUGGAUACAAUCAGAUAAAGAUGCAUCCUCUAGACAUGAAAAAGACCACCUUCAUAACCUUGUGAGGAAUAUUCUGUUAUAGGGUAAUGCCAUUCGAGUUAAAAAAUGCGGGAUCAACGUAUCAAAGAGCCAUGGUAACCUUGUUUCACAACAUGAUGUACAAGGAAAUUGAGGUUUACGUUAAUGAUAUGAUCGCAAAAUCUCGAACUGAAAAAGAGCACAUACAGGUUUUGAGGAAAUUGUUCUUAAGGCUGAGAAAAUUCCAGCUAAAGCUCAAUCCAACAAAAUGUACUUUCGAGGCUAGAUCAGAAAAGCUACUCGGUUUUAUUGUCAGUGAAAAAGGAAUCGAGGUCGACCCUGACAAAGUCAAGGCUAUACAAUAAUUGCCUCUGCCACGCACUCAGAAGGAAGUUCGAGGUUUUCUGGGAAGACUAAAUUAUAUCGCUCGGUUUAUUUCGCAACUAACUGAGAAAUGUGACCCCAUAUUUCAUCUUCUCAAGAAACACAACCUAGGUUUGUGGGAUGAUGAGUGCCAGGAGACCUUUGACAGGGUUAAACAAUAUUUGUCAAAUCCCCCAGUAUUAACGCCACCUAGUCCAGGUAGACCAUUGAUACUAUAUUUGACAGUAUUUGAUAAUUCAAUGGGAUGUAUGCUUGGCAAACACUACGAGACAGGAAGAAAAGAAAAUGCGAUAUACUACCUCAGUAAGAAAUUCACUGAGUGCGAGAUGAGAUACUCGCCAAUUGAUAAACUAUGUUGUGCUUUGGUUCAGACAAAUCGGAGAUUGAGGCAGUACAUGUUAUAUUACACGACUUGGCUAAUCUCGAAAUUAGACCCUCUUAAGUACAUGAUAGAUUCAGCCGAUCUGAAUGGAAGGAUGGCCCGAUGGUAAAUCCUGCUCUCCGAAUUCGACAUAAUCUAUGUGAACCAGAAGGCUGUGAAGGGGAGCGCAAUAGCAGACUUUCUAGCCAGUAGAGCUUUAGAAGAUUACGAGCCUUUAAACUUUGACUUCCCUAAUGAAGAUCUGAUGUAUGUGGCAACUACCAAAGAAGACAUUCCAGAAGAUCUUCUUUGGAAAUUAAAUUUUGAUGGAGCAUCGAACGCCGUUGGUAAUGGAAUUGGGACAGUCCUGAUAUCCCUAAGCGGAGAUUAUUAUCCAUUCACUUGCAAAUUAGAUUUUGAUUGCACGAAUAAUAUGACAGAGUAUGAAGCAUGUAUCAUGGGAAUCCCUGCAGCCAUAGAGCGUGACAUUCAGGUGUUGGAGGUAUAUAGGGAUUCCGUACUAGUGAUCUACCAGCUCAAGGGUGAAUAGGAAACAAGAGACCGAAAGUUGGUCAACUAUCGAGAGCUAGUUCAGAUUUAAUCAAGGUGUUUGAUGAUGUCAUUUUUCGUUACCUCCAACGAGAUGAAAAUCAGAUGACUGAUGCAUUAGUUACGCUAGCCUUUAUGAUCAGAGUAAAUAAACGAGAGGAUAUGAAGCUGAUCCAGAUGAGUAUCUGUGAGGCUCCAGCUCAUUGUUACAAUAUCGACAAAGAAGAGGAGGGAGAUAAUUAUCCUUGGUAUCAUGACAUUCUGUGAUAUGUGAAGAAUCGUGAAUACCCUGAUCAAGAAACUGACAAUGAUAAGAAAACGUUGAGGAGGCUGGCUAGUGACUAUGUCUUAGACGGAGAGAUCCUGUAUAAAAGGAGAAAAUAUCAAGUGCUGUUAAGAUGUGUUGACGCUGUUGAAGCCAAGGAAAUUCUGGAGGAAGUCCACGAAGGUGUCUGCGGGACGCAUGCUAAUGGGUUCACAAUGGCCAGACAAAUCAUAAGAUUCGAGUAUUACUGGUUCACGAUGGAAGGAGAUUGCAUCAGUUACGCCAAGAAAUGCCAUAAGUAUCAAAUUUAUAGAGACAAGAUCCAUGUGCUUCCUUCCCCUCUUCAUGUUAUUACUUCUCCGUGGCCUUUCUCAAUGUGGGGCAUGGAUGUCAUUAGGCCGAUUUCGCCAGGGCUUCUAAUGGAUAUCGAUUAAUUUUUUCUGGUUAUUGAUUACUUCACCAAAUGGGUAGAGGCUGCUUCAUACACUAACGUCACAAAGUUGGUAGUCAGGAAAUUCUUGAAGAAGGAAAUCAUAUGUCGAUAUGGCAUGCCGGAAAGGAUCGUAUCUGACAACGCGUUAAAUUGGAAUAACAGCGUGAUAGUGGAGGUUUACAGUCAGUUCAAAAUUAAGCACCACAGCUCAUCACAAUAUCGCCCGAAAAUGAAUAGGGCAGUUGAGGCAGCUAAUAAAAAUAUCAAGAAGAUCGUAGGGAAAAUGACUGUGACCUAAAAGGAUUGGCAUGAAAAGUUACCCUUUACUCUCUUAGCCUAUCGAACAACUGUUAGAACCUCUACCGGGCAACACCUUACUCAUUGGUUUAUGAGAUGAAGGCAGUCUUGCCCAUCGAAGUCGAAAUACCCUCUCUUCGGGUUUUAUCAAAGUUGAGGCUGGACGAAGCAGAAUGGAUCCAGUCUCGGUAUGAUCAGCUGAACUUGAUUGAGGAAAAGAGGUUAAAGGCUAUCCGUCAUGGUCAAAUAUACCAGAAGCGAAUGAUGCGAGCUUACAACAAAAAGGUUCACCCUAGAGUAUUCCACGAGGGGGACUUGGUAUUGAAACAUAUUCUCCCUGUACAAAAGAUUUCAGGGGGAAAUGGAUGCUAAACUAGGAAGGACCCUAUGUGGUAAAGAAGGUUUUUUUCGGGGGAGCGCUGAUAUUAGCAGAAAUGGACGGUACAAACCUUCCUAGCCCAAUAAAUUCGGAUUUGGUCAAUAAGUACUUCACCUGAAAAAGGAGAGGCUAAGGCGAAAACUCGCAAAGGGCUCUUUGAAAAAAAAAGAAAAAGGGAGAGGCUGAGGUGAAAACCCGCAAAGGGCGCCUCGAGACCAAAGGCGUUUUGAAUUAAAAACCCAGAAAAGGCAAUUCAAAUUUCAAUAUGUGAUAGUCUGCUAUGCUUGAAUUAACAAACAGGAAAUAUGAUAUGUCUUGGGGCAUCAACAAAGUACUCAAGAUCUUCUAGGCAUGUGUUAAACUCAAAAUGGUCCUCGGAGAGUCCGUACAGAGAAACUCAGACUGCGAUAUUUGGGGGCACCUAUUUGUUUUCCCCAUCACCUAUUCUUGUAUCCCGAUAAUUUUUGCUCUUUUUGAUUUAUUCGUUCUUUUCAGAUUUUGUUCCUAAUAAAUUUCAGUUUUAUCCAUUUUUAUGAAAAUUUUCAAGCAUUUCAUAUUGAAAUAAUGAUUAAUAAAUGAAUAACACUUUCGUAAAAGGAGUUCUGCGUAUUACUCUGGAAGCUUCUAAAAAUAUGCAAGACUUGAAGUAGGACAAUUAAUUAGAACUCACCAAGCCUAAGGAUUGAAAAUACUUGAAAAUUCCAGAUUUUCUAUCAGUUGAACAAGAAGACAUAUAUCAGUGAUAUAAGCUAGACAAGCAGAAAGCAAUAAUAGCUCAAACGUAAAAAAGGACAUUCUUAUGACAUUCUACAUUCAUACGUAUAUCAUUCAUAGCACAUCUAGCUAGGAGCAUUUGACCCAUUCCGAUCAUAGCAUCCUAGUCAUCAUCAUUAGGCAUAAACAUAGGCUUAUGAAAUCAAUUCUACAGGUAUGUCCCCUAGAGGAUGAUGUAGCAAGUUUGGUUGAAGCAAAAAAUCUCCACUAACCUUAAUCCCCUAAGCAGUAGGGCAACAGGCUGGGAAUUACAGAUCUUAUCUCCCUAAGCAGUAGUGGAGUAGAUCGAAGACGGUGAGCCUUAACCCCCUAAGUAGUAGGGCAAUAGGCUGAAGAUUACAGAUCUUAUCUCCCUAAGCAGUAAUGGAGCAGAUCGAAGACGAUGAGCCUUAACCCCCUAAGUAGUAGGGCAACAGGCUGAAGAUUACAGAUAUUAUCUCCCUAAGCAGUAGUAGAGCAGAUCGAAGACGGUGAGCCUUAACCCCUUAAGUAGUAGGGCAACAGGCUGGAAAUUAUAGAUCUUAUCUCCCUAAUCAAUAGUGGAAUAGAUCGAAGACGGUGAGCCUUAACCCCCUAAAUAGUAGGGCAACAGGCUGGAAAUUACAGAUCUUAUCCCCCUAAGUAGUAGGGCAACAGGCUGGAAAUUACAGAUCUUAUCCCCCUAAGUAGUAGUGGAACAAAUCGAAGACAGUGAGCCUUAACCCCCUAAGUAGUAGGGUAACAGACUGAAUAUUAUAGAUAUUAUCUCCCUAAGCAGUAGUGGAGUAGAUCGAAGACAGUGAGCCUUAACCCCCCAACCAAUAGGGCAACAGGCUGAAGAUUACAGAUCUUAUCUCCCUAAUCAGUAAUGGAGCAGAUCGAAGACAGUGAGCUUUGACCCCCUAAGCAAUAGGGCAACAGGCUGGAAAUUACAGAUCUUAUCUCUCUAAGCAGUAGUGGAGCAGAUCGAAGACAAUAAGCUUUAUCCCCCUAAGCAGUAGGGAAACAAGCUGAAAAUGACAGACCACCUUAUCUCCUUAAGCAGUAGUGGAGCAGAUCGCAGACGGUGAGCCUUAUCCUCCUAAGCAAUAGGGAAACAGGCUGAAGAAUACAAAUCAUGUCUCCCUAAGUAGUAGCGGAGCAAAUUGAAACAAAAAUCCCUAUACUCCUGAAGAUACAAUGGGUUAAGGCGAGGCUACCUGAAGAAAGGAAGCAUCAAGAGGUCAAGACUCAAUAAGACCGAGCAAAAUUGGCCCUUUUAAAAUCUUUGUUCCAUUCUCGUUACACUACAAUGAGCAAAGUGGGGCAGCUGUAGGGCCCAAUUUAGCCCGGAGCCCAUAAACCAAAAACCAAAUAAGAACAAAACCUUAAAACCUCAACCUAAACCCUAAAUACCCAUUUACAAUGUGGCCCAAUUGGCCCACGAACCUAAAACAUUUCAGCAAGAGAAACCCUAACAUCCCCUUUGCGUCAUUUUAGCAAACAGCGUGCCCCCUCGAGUACCAAGCACCACCAUCCCGAGAAAUGCGCUGCUCUACCACGCCACAUCAGAGACGUGCUCGAUCACGCACCUGCAAACAAACACAAAAGAAAGGACAGCAGCAAAAAGUUAUUUUUCCCCCUUUUAGUUCGACUAUAAAACUAAAGAGGAUCGAAUGUAAAAAGGGACUUUUUUUCGAUUUUUUACGAAUACAGUAACAGAUAUACACACCAAAAAUCAAUAGAAAAGAUCUUAGUGCAAAAGAAAUCCAAAAGGUGAUUUUAGAUUCAACUGUCCUUGAUUUUACGUUUUCUUUUGAUUCUAUUUCCUUUAUUUUUUCUAUUUGAAUUUUAAAACAUUUGAAAAUAGAAAAAGGGAAAGAUUUAUCUUACGAAUAGGCUGUGGAGUUCCGUUUGCUUUGCUGAAGUCGGAGCUUUGAGGGGGUUUUAUAGCCAAGAAUGUCGUCCCUCGAAACUUGAAUCUGCUGGAUGCCGUUUAGGAUGGCGGAUCGGCGUUCAAAGAGAGGGAUUAAAGUCGGCUAAGAGGAAAAAUUAAGAGAGAAAUAAAAAGGGGCUAGGGUUUCUUUUAAAAAAAUGGAAGAAUGCCAUUCAAUUGUUUUUUUUUUAGUUUUUUAAAUGGCAAACAAAACGGCGCCGUUUGGGAGGGAUGGGAUCUGCGCUUUUGUGCUUUGAAGGGGAAAUUUAUGCGGCUGGUCAUUCCCUUUUGCGCCGACUUUCGAUUUGACCCAGUUUGAAUUUCAUUUGUUUUUUAAAAAUUGCCUCUAGAUUUUGCACGUAGACUCAAUGUGGUCCGCGUUGAAACGUCGCGUUUGGAGGGCUUGGGAUAUUUUCCCUAUCAGUCCUUCCCCUUUACACGCGCGUCUACUUUGAUCCCAGUUCAUGAUUUGUUAUUUCUUUGCAUUUUAUAAUUUGCAUCCCAUGUUUCGUUUUGAUUAUAAUUAAAUCCCAAGCCUUUUACAACUCUAAUUACUUUCAGUUUUUUUUAAAUAUUUUAUUUACUUAUUGUAUUAUUCUCAUUAUUAUUAUUUUGUUUUUUGUUUAUUAUUUUACAUAUGUACAUGCCUUUCAAUAUUGGAUUGCUAAUUAAUAUUAUCAUUGUUAUUAUUAUUCUUACUAUUAUAUAUUAUUGUUAUUAUUCUUACUAUUAUAUGUUAUUAUUAUUAUCGUUACUAUUUUUAUUACUAUUAUUUAUAUACAUUAUUAUUACUAUUAUUUUUCACUAUUAUUAUUUUACUAUUAUUUUUAUAUACUAUAGUGGUUCAUUAAUAUUACUAUUAUUUUUCGUUAUUCUUAUUGUUUUUUUAAAAAAAACCUUUCAUAUGAUAUUUAAUUAGAUCACCUUUAUCUAUUAUUAUAUACACAAAAUUUAUAUUAGCUUUAUCUACGUACAUUAUAAAUCCCAUGUUGUUGCAUAUUUGUAUUUUCUUAAUAAUUUACUUAUAUACAAUUUAUUUCUUUUAAAGAUCCUAUUUUACCAUAUUUUUUUUAAACACUCUCAUCAAUUAUUAUUUUUUAUAUAUUAUUUUUAUUUUCAUUCAUUUUAUAACCACCCGCAUUUCGAAAACCCUCUCAACAUAAGGAAAUAUUUCGUGUUUAGGAGUCCGAGAAAUCGUGCCCUAACAUGCUGGGUUUCAAUUUUUCGUUCAACCGAAUAACUGAAUAUCCUUUUGAAAUUUCACUCAUGUUUUCUUAAGUUAAAAAACAAGGCAAUGUUUCAUAUUUAGAAAUUCGAGGAAUUGUGCCCUAACUGCUGGGUUUCGUUUUGUGGUUGGACCAAAUAACCGAAUACCCUUUUAAAAUUUCAUUGCGUGUUUUGGAAAUCAUGAGAUGAUCUCAGUUUUUGGGGGCUUGAAAUAUCAUGUCCUAACGUGCUGGAUGUGGUAUUUUAUUCCUUCAGAAUGAGUGAAUCUGAAAAUUCAGCUCGCGUUGUUCUCACAUUUUUAAAGGGAUCGUUUUUAAGAAUUAUUCCAAAUUUUCAACAUUAGGAUAUUAAUUAAUCGAUUAGGUACCAAUUUUGGGCGUUGCGAGGUUGCUAAUCCUUCCUCGUACGUAACCGACUCCCGAACCUGUUUUCUUGAAUUACGUAGGCCAAAGUCGAUAUUUUAAUAAAAUAAAAUGUUUUACAAGGUGAUCCGAUCAUACCUCAAAAAAAGAUCGGUGGCGACUCCAUUUUUGUGUUUAAGUCGACUCCCGUUUUUCAAAUAAAAAAUGGUAUUGACAAUAAUAAUAUAAGUACCUUGAUAUUUUUUUAAAAAAUAUAAAAUAUAAAAUUACUAAAAACACAUUUGAAUUUGUCCAGAUUCAUUCUUCAUUUGAAAAUAUAUAUUAUUUUAUAUAUAUAGAGAGAGAGAGAGAGAGAUUUUAUAUUUUUUAAAUUUAUGUUUGCACGUGGCAUACUGAAAUGUUAUCAUGUGGCACCAUCGGAUUGGCUAACAGUGCUACAUCAGUACAAACUAACAAUGUUAAUAUAGGACAAACCACAUUAGCGAACAAAUAUAAAUAUAAAUAUUUAUAUUAAAUAAAAAAUAAUAUAAACAAAUGUUUAGAUUUAUGUAAAAACACCAGAUCUGAAAAACAAUUAAAUAAAGAAGAUCUUGAAAAACCAGAAAUCAAAUAAGGAAAUCGAGUUUUACUAAAUGUUGAGGCCUGUUUUCACAGUUUCCUUAAGACAAAUUCGGCCGCUCUUCUGUUACUUAGAGAAACAUUAGUCGUCUGUCUCUCAGGAUACAACAACAAAAUGAUCGCGGUAGUAAUACCUCUGCAGUAUUCUUUCAUUUUUUAGCCCUAUAUUAAUAUUAACUAGAUUAUGUAUUUUUUUUCUCAGCAAAUAUUAUACAAAAUAUAUCGAUUUGAUUUUAUUCAUUUCCAAAAUUAUUUCAUAUUGAAUGCCUAUAAAAACCUAAAGAAUACUUUUAAUAUAAUACUAAAUUAAACACAAUCUAACUUUUACAUUCACAAUGCCUACUCUAUCUACAUUUUUCCUUAAAAGUCAUUAACUUCCAACUUUUGGAGUUGCCUCCUAUUCUUAUUCCUCUUCUUCCAAAUCAAGUUAAAUUUAAUUUAAUAAAUAAAGUUAAAAAUUCAUAUAUUUCCUUUAUAAAAUAUUUGAUAAAUUUUAUUCCAACUAUUUAUUUACUUAUUUGAAACCUAGUAUUACAAGUGCAAUUGAACUUAUAAUUAAAAUACACUCCAACUUAAAUCACAAUAAAUUAUUUUUAUAAUACAUAAUUAGAUUGAUAAUUGAAAUAUAUUGUACUUAAUUCCAAAUAAAAAUAAAUGUUCACAAAAUCACAAUCUUCCAAUUAAGCAAAACCCCAUUUCCAUUUCUUCAUUUGAACAAUCAAAAUUCAUGUGUCAUGACAAUUUAAUUUUCAAAGGAAAAAAAAGAAGAACUUGUCAACAUUAUUGUUCUUUGAUUUGAUUGUUUCGGGGGUAUAUACUGUACUUUGACUUGAUAAUAAAAGACAGAUCAAUUCAAUUGGGCGUCCUAAGUUAGGGUCUAAUUCAUGACUGAAUAAAUCAAUUAUUGAGAUGUGAAUCAAUCAUUGUUAUUUAAUCAAUUAUCUUUUAACAGUUUUAGAUGAAUUACUAAUGCUAAUUAAUAAUAAUUAAAGAGAAAAACAGAUUAAUCGAUUCUUUUUAUAGUAGUUAGAAAUUUCGUUUGACAUUUAAACUAAAAAAAAAAUUAGUCUUUUAUUUAAAUUUUUUUAAUUUAACCUAUGUUAAUUUUGUUAACACGAUAUGUAGACGGAUUAUCACAUCAAUGAUUAAUUAAAUUUUUAAAAUUUAUAAAAUUAUUUAAAAAUUUUUAAAAAUAUAUAUAUAAGAAAUAUUUUUAAAAUUAAUUAAUUACAGUUCAUUUUAAGGUUGUUUAACAAAAAAUACAAAUUCAAAAGUUAAAAUAAGCACCCCUCUCAUUUUAUUUUUUUAUUAUUUGUGUUUUGUGAAAUAAACCUUUUUAAAUAUUAUUUGCGUAAUUAUUUUCUCCUUCUUCUUAUUUAUUUAUGUUUUGUGAAAUAAAUCUUUUUAAAUAUUAUUUGGUCAAAUUUACAUUCAAAUUCGAGGCGCAAGUACAAUAAGGUGUAAGAAUUGAUGGGUGUGAUUAUAUCAAUAUUAAUACACUGGAUCCCAUCAAAAUUUUACAGUUAAGCGUGCUUAAAUGUCCUCGUGUUGCACAUCUCUCGUUUUAUUUCUUUUAUUUAUGUUUUGCAAAAUAAUUUUUUUAUAAAAUUAAAAAACCAUGCGGAAUUUUAUUUUUUUUCCCUUUAUAAAAUUAACAUUAUUGGAAAUCUUCUACAUUAACAAUAAAAAAAACAUUUUGUUGCACACUGAAUUUUCUAUAUUCAAUCAAGACAGUAGGAGGAAACAUCAAAGAAAGUCACUAUAACUCAACAAAUUAAUAAAUUAAUAUAUUUGUUUCAUUAAAGUAAAAAAAAGGCCCUUUAAACCUACCACAGUUCACAAUAAAUAAAUAAAAUCAAGUAAAUGCCAAGUCAGCUUUGGACCCACCUAACCCUGUUCUAAGAAAAUACUAAAAAUGUCUCAGUCAAUACAUGCGACGUUCUUUUUCUAAUCUUUCAUAUAAAAAUUAAUUUAAAAAGAAAUAAAAUAUAUUUUAAAAAAUUAAAAUAUCACAUAAAUUCUCCAUAAAUUUAAAAUUUAGUUCAUGUAAUUUUUUUUAAAAUUUAAUUCUUUUAUUUUUUAAACUAAAUUAAAAAAUAAAAAUUAAUAAAUUAAAUUUUAAAGUCUAAACAACUUUUUUCUUUGAUUUUCGACAUUGAUCUUCAAAUUGACUUGGAUUUAAGGUUCAUCAAUGAGUACUAAUCCACCUACUGAUUAUCAAAUCGUUGCUUGAAACUCGCUAGUCAAACUUUUUUCAAAAACUAAACUUAACAGCUUAGUGACUUAAAUAAAAACUUUCUAAUACUUUAGCGACUAUUUUGUAAUUUUUUGAAUUAAAGUGAUCAAAAGGUAAAUUUACUAAUAAUUUAAUAGAUUUUAAAUAGAAACAAAAUUAGAUAUGUAAGUAGAAACAAUUUUAGUGUAAAAAUUAUUAAAAAUAAAAUAAUUUAUAGACUUUUGCAAUAUUUAAAGUAAUAAAACAUCUUAUAAUAUGAAAUAUAAUAUAGAAAUUAUAUGAAUUACAAAAAUAAUAAAAAUUUAUACAAUUCUAAACUACACAUAAUUCUCAAAUUUCUAAGAGUUAUUAUCAUACAAAAAAUUGUAUAAGUAUAACACACAAUAGAAAAUAACAAAAACGCAACUCUCCGGCGGCGCCGCCCUCUAUUUUACGUCAGUUUUCAUUUACCGUAGCCGUGAGCCAGGGGCAAAAGACUGGGUAAAUUAACUAAAAUGCCGUGUUUUUUAAAAAUAUUUAACAGAUUAAGCCAUUUUUUAAAUUUAUCGGAAUAUGUCGAUUUUGGAAAGAAAAUGAGAAAAUGUGUUUAACUAAAUGUGCUUUUAGCUUUGGUUCGAUGAUUAAAUGUUAAUGUUUUUAUAUUUGAAUCCCGAGCUCAAUUUUUCUCCUACUCACAUUUGUAUUUUUUUAUUUCAUUUUACUUCAAACUUUUUUAAAUUUUUAAUUAUAUUUUUUAACAUAUUAGUUUCUUUGUUAGAUGAUUGGAUAAUUAUAAUUACAUCUUUGAGUUUUAGGUUCGACUUUCCUACUUAUAUUUCUAUUUUUUUCAUGUUGCUUCAUUUUUUUAUUUUUAAUUAAUAUUUUUAACAUAUUAACUCCUUUUAUUAGAUAAUUAGAUAAUUGCGAUUACAUCUUAAGUCUCAUAUUCCAUUAUUUUCAUAAACAUAUUAAUGUAUUUUUAUUUCAUGUUAUUUCGAUUUUUUUAUUUUUAAUUAAUACUUUUAAUUAAUAAAUAUUUUAUUUUCAAGUCUUUUUUAUUUGCAUUAAUAUAUUUAUUAAUUAAAAUAUUAAUUAAAAAACACCAUAGAAUAAAAAAUAUAUUAAUAUGCUUAUAAAAAUAAUGGAACCUGGGAUUUAAGAAUGUAAUCGUAAUUAUUUAAUCAUCUAACAAAAUGAGCUAAUAUAUUAAAAAUAUUAAUUAAAAAACUUGAAGCAAUAUGAAAUAAAAAUACAAAUGUGAAUAGAAAAUGAAUCAAACCCGAGAUUUAAGGAUGUAAUUGUAACUAUCUAACCAUCUAACAAAGGAACUAGUAUGUUAAAAAAAAUUUAAAAUUUAAAAAGCUUGAAGCAACAUGAAAUAAAAAAUAAAAAAUAUGUGUAGGAGAAGAAUUGAACUCGAGACUCAAUUAUAAAAAUGCUAACAUUUAAUCAUUUGACCAAAAUUAAAAGCAUGUCUAGCUAGACGCGUUUUCUCAUUCUCUCCAGAAUAGGACUAAUCCGUAAAAUAUUUUUAAAAAACCGGCACUUUUAGUUAAUUUACCCCAAAAGAUUUGCAAUUAUUAAUUUUACCGCGACAAAGAAAAACUGAAAAAAAAAAACACGAAAAUUCAAAUCGAUGAAGCCAUAAGCUUUAAAAGGUUAUUUGCAGAGUUCAGCCUUUUUGAGUGUACGCGUUUUCAAACCCAAAACGAAUAAUUUUUUUUUAAAAAAAGGAGAGGAAAAGUCAUCUGAAUUCUGAAGUCUAAAUUGAUCUUAUCGUGUUGUAUUCAGCGUCUGACUCAGCGGCGUCUUCUCUUUCAACUCAGUGAAACAUUUCUGGGUUCCUUUUUUGGGUUAAGCUUUGAUCAAAAGAAGAAGAAUAAAAAGGAAGACGAUGAUCAUGGACAAGAACUGGAAGUUUAUAAGAUUAAAACAAGGUUUCGGAGUUGGUGUCUUGCUGUUUUUGUUAUGUCAAACUUUGGUUUGUUGGUCAUUGAAUGAAGAAGGUAAGCUUUUUCUUUUUUUUUGUCUUUUUUGAAGUUUUGGAUUUUGUUUGUUUGCUGGGAAAGUGAAGGAAAAUAUAUGAUUGGUAAUGGAUAUUAUGCAGGAUUGGCGUUGUUAAGGUUAAAAGAUAGAGUUGUGAAUGAUCCUUUUUGUUCAUUGUCGAGUUGGAAAGAAGAAGAUGGAGAGUUAGACCAUUGUUCUUGGUUUGGUGUCGAGUGUUCUGAUGGCAAAGUUGUUGUUUUGUAAGUUUUCUCCUUUUCUAUGUCUUACUUUUUCUUGCUCUUUUGAUUUGUGCUGUUUGGCUGCUGAGAAAAGAAAGGAAAAUGAAUUGUAAUCUUGAGUGCUCAGUAUUUAUUUAUUUAUUUAUUUUUCUGGAGAUGUUAGCUUUGGGGAUAUGAUUAUUCAAACAGAAAUAUUUUCUUUACAAUUUUGCAAAUUUGAGACUUCCAUAUUUAGUAUAUUGAAAUUUUGAUAACUUAUUUCCUUUAAUUUGUUCUAAAAUUUGAUGGAAUGAAUAAAAUGCAGGAACUUGAAGGAUCUUUGUCUUGAAGGAACAUUGGCACCUGAACUUGGAUCUCUUGCUCAUAUUAAGUCCAUGUAAGUGACUAUGAUUUGUUUAUCCUUUUGUUCACAUCUAUGUUGCUUCCAUUUUUCCUUUUUUUUUUGAAAUUUUAUGUUGGAAUUCGAUAGAUCUUCUAUGAGAUCUUAAAAUACAUGAAAAUCUUUUCUUUAAAAGAAUAUACUCGUCUCAUCCACGAGUUUAUAGUCAUUCUAAUACCAUCGUUUCCUCUACAGUAUUUUGCGGAACAACUCUUUUACUGGAAUUAUCCCCCAAGGCAUCGGAGGACUUGACGAACUAGAGGUGUUGGACUUGGGAUACAAUAACUUCAGUGAACCGGUUCCGCCCGAACUUGGAAACAAUUUGUCACUGACGAUCCUGUAAGUCGACAGUGUCCAGGGACGAUAACGGAUUGGAUAUCUACAUUUUCUGUAAUAUUCCAAUCCGAAUCUGUUUUCAUUUGGAAGCUUUUUCUUUUCUUUCUCUAUCACCUAGUAUAAUAACUUAAUUUAUGCUUAUGUUUGCAGUUUACUGGACAAUAAUGAGCUCCUCAAUAGUUUAUCUCCUGAGAUUUAUCAACUUCAGAAGCUUUUAGAAACUCAAGUGGAUGAAAACCGACUAUCUAAGGCUGCUAAAUUAUCUUGCAAGCAAAAUAUCAAUACAUGGUAUGCCAUCAUAUUUCCAAUAGAAGCCAUUCUUAUACAAUUCGAUGUUGUUUCGACUCUUUAUUUUGUUUUAAGUAUCGACAUCCAAAUAUUCAUGUUUGACGACAUGGGAUAUAACCCUCCAAAUAUAUUACAAAUACAUGAAAAAGCAAAGAUAUGUACUCACAUCCGAUACUCACUGAAUAACAUAACUUAAGAGUGAUUGCAUCAAUCAACUAAGGUCAUGUCCAGGAUGGACCUUUUUGUGCUGUGAAAGUUAUAUGAAGUUAUAUGUGAAGUGUUGUACAUAUGUUAUUCCAAAAACAAAAUUAAAACAUAAAGAAUAUUUUGUCUGGAUCAAAUAGAUGUAAUUUUAAUGAAAAUUUUCAUCCUUUAGCUUUAUUACUUUGUCUUUUUCUUUAUGAUUGUGUUUAAUCCUUCUUUAUCUUUAUAUUCUCUGUUAGGAACGUUGGCCAAUCUGAAGAUGCAAUGCGAAGGAGACUGCUUCAAGCAAGGCCACCCUCUAUAAACUUCAACAACAUAUCUCUGUCUUCUCGUCCUUCACCUCGAGUUCCUACUCCUGUAUCCGCUGAACCUUCCGGCAAUCCUACAUUCAGAAGAGAUGCUCAGGUUAACCGAUCGUCCUCUCCGACUGCUUCUCUGUCUCCGUCUCCGCCUCCGUCAAUCCCAAAUGCUUUGGCUCCAUCACCUUCAGGAAACAAUCCUAUUAAUUCGGGUUCAGAUCAUCGACCCGCAAUACUGGCUGGAGCCAUAGGGGGUGGUGUAUUCCUUCUAAUAUUAAUAGUCAUUGCCUAUCUCUUUAAAACUUCUAAGGUAUCUGCUGUGAAACCUUGGUCUACCGGGCUAAGCGGACAGCUUCAGAAAGCAUUUGUAACCGGUAAUUCUUCUGUCAUGUUGCUGCCUCAAUUCUUCAUUUUUAUUAUAGACUCGUGAUGUACCUGAAUAAAUUUGGAAUAAAUUGGAAAUAAUCGAGCACAUAUUUGUAUCCAACACAUUGUACCUGAAUUCAUGUUGCAUUUCAGGUGUACCAAAGCUGAAGAGAUCAGAGCUGGAAGCAGCCUGCGAAGAUUUCAGCAAUGUGAUUAGUUCUUCAACAGUUGGCACUGUGUACAAAGGGACACUGUCUAGUGGGAUUGAAAUAUCCGUGGCCUACAUCCCUGUGAAAUUUGCCAAAGAUUGGUCAAGGAAUUUAGAAGCACAGUUCAGAAACAAGGUAUUGUACUGAAAACAUCCAUCUCUGUUACUAGGAUUCGAGUGGAAAGAUCAUAUCUCUAUACUCAUGUCUCUCUCUCUCUCUAUGCCUCGGACAUUGCUGUCUUGCUUUACUUGGAGUGUUCUUAUUGGUUUGUCUAACCAUAUCUAGUUUUAUAAUUUCAGAUUGAAACAUUAUCAAAGGUGAACCAUAAAAAUUUCGUCAACCUAGUUGGAUAUUGUGAGGAAGACGAGCCUUUUACGAGGAUGAUGGUUUUUGAAUAUGCUCCGAAUGGAACACUUUUUGAGCAUUUACACAGUUGAGCACCUAACUCUUGUUUCUCGGAUGUAUUUCUACAUAACAUGGAAUAAGAACAUCAUAAUAUGUUCAGUUUUUCCUAAGUUUUCCUAUGUAUUUGGAAUGAUAUUGCAGUUAAAGAAUCCGAGCACUUGGACUGGACGACCAGGUUAAGAAUUAUGGUGGGCAUCGCUUCCUGCCUAGAGCAUAUGCACCAGCUGAACCCUCCCAUACCGCAUACCAAUUUGUCGUCAGCUGCAGUCAAUCUAACCGAAGACUACGCGGCCAAAGUCUAUGAUCCAUUCUCCUGGAACGAGAUAACUGCAGCUGAGAGUGAAACUGAUAGAAAAUACCAUUCGGAUACACCAUCAUUAUCAAGGCCAGAAAGUAAUGUUUAUAGCUUUGGGGUAUUAUUAUUCGAAAUCUUAACCGGAAGGAUGCCUUACUUGGUGGAUGACAAUGGUUCGCUCUACGACUGGGCAUCGGACUAUUUAAGAAGGGAUCAACCACUCAUGCAGAUGGUUGAUCCAACUCUAAGCUCUUUCGAUGCAGAUCAAGUUGAGAAAAUCGGAGAGGUGAUCAAAUCUUGUGUCCACCCUGAACCUCAACAAAGACCAGAUAUGAGAGAAGUCGGUGCAAGAUUGAGAGAGAUCACUGCAAUUACACCUGAAGGUGCAAUCCCGAAAGUUUCUCCUCUUUGGUGGGCGGAGCUGGAGAUUAUGUCCACAGAAGCAAGCUAGGGGCUGAAGUUGAAGUUAUAAGAAUGAAACUUUGAUGUUUUUAUAUAUCUUAUAUAGGUGAAAAGGCAAAACGAAGGUUGCACGUAUUUAGUUUAGGUGAAUUGAAAAUCUGUUGUAUAUACAUACACACACACACUGAUGCAGUGAUACAUACAUACAUACAUAUAUAUACACUCAAGAAAGAGAGGAAAUCCAGGAAAAUCUUCGUUCUGCAUUUCAGCGUGAAAAUACGCAAAUGGAAAAGAAAAAGCAUAAUUUGCAAGCCUAUUGGUCUCUAUUUGUUCUGAUUUGUUCAUUGUUAGCUUUAAUUUUAUUUUCUAUUUCAAUUUUGAAGCAACUUCUUCAUCUGUUUUACCUUUAUAUGAUUGUUAGCAAAUCAAAUAUAAUUCAAGUAAACAAAUAGUAAUGUUUAUUGUUCAUCACUAGAGGUGUUCAUGGGCCGGGCUGGGCUCAGGUCGGGCUCAACUAAAAAAUUAUGUUCAUUUAUUGGGCUAGGGCCGGGCCAAACCCAAAAAAGGGCGUAAAAUUUUGCCCAAGCUCGACCCGGAUAAAAAUACUAAAACCCGGGUCCGGCUCACCCGUAUUGAUUUUUUAUAUUAUUUUUAAAUAUAUAAUACUUCAAAAAUACUAAAAACAUCAAAAUAAAUAUUUCCCUAACAAAUUGAAAAUAAAUUUUAAAAAAUAUGUAGACUUAAAUAACACUAAGAUAAAUGCAACUUAACAAGCAAAUACCUCUAAAAUAAUAAAAAAAUUAACAAAUGCCUUUAAAAUAAUAAGAAAUAGUAGCAACAUAAUAGUAAAAUGGUAGCAAAAUAGAGAGAAAACAACAAAAAAAUAACAUUAAAAAAUGCAUAUUUUUUUUCCUUUAGUAAAUUCGGGCCGGCCAAGUCGGGCCCGGGCUAAAAAUACCUUACCCGAGGCCUGUCUCAUUUUUAAAAUGGGCCUUAUUUUUUUGUCCAAACCCAUUUUUCGGGCCUAUAUUUUUGUCCAAACCCUCUCACAUUUCGGGCAGGCCUUCGGGCCGGACUACCGACCUCUAUUCAUCACUUGCUGAUAGGAUGGUGUUGGCUACUUGGCUUCCUCUUGUAUAUUGCCUAUAACUUGUUUAUAAGUAAAGUGGGAAAGCUCGAAAGAGAUGACAAGCGGCCUACUAAUCACAUCUAGACACACAUACAAGAGGCACAACUAUGAAUUAUCCAUUGAAACUUUUUGUGUGGUAGGAUGGAAAAUGAAAAUUUUCUUCAGAAUUUAAUCACUUAGAAAGUUAUUUAAUGUUUGAUAUGUCAAAAUAAUUUUACUUUUGUUUUGGACUUUCUCAUGAUAAAAAAUGAGAAAGUAACUUUUCCACAUUCAAUAUUAAUUUGGUUGUUGCUGUUAAAGGAAAUUUGUAACAUUCCAUUCCCGAUCCGAUCAUCGGACCCGAGCUACGAAAUGCUACAACAGCAUCGGAGCAGAUCACAUUCAAUAUAGGCUUUAAAAUUCAAUUAAACAAUACAACAUUUCAUAAUCCAUGCAUAAUAUGAUUUACAAAUUAAACUGAGUCUCAAUAUAGCUUACGAAGGUUCUUAAGUUGACCCAAGAACAAUUAAGGAUCAAUUUGAAACUUUUUCAAAAUUAAUAGAAAUUUUUGCAAAUAUGAGUCACAUGACCGUGUGCCCAGGCUGUGUAACUUAUUGUGCCUGUAUGGAAUUAAUUUUUCAUGCUUCAAUAGUCACACGAUCGUGUCUCAACCAGUGCAUAUUAUACAAUCAUAUGACCUGACCGUGUAACAAUCAGAAACCAUGUUAAUAGAUUCUACUUUCAAUGGUCACACAGUUAUGUCACCAAUCCGUGUGGACACACGGCCAUAUGCAAGACUGUGUGAUGCAUAAACAUGACAUUUUGUACGUGAUUCAAUUCAAUCUUGUAUCACAUCAACUAAUGCACUUAAUCUUAACUCAAACCUACACAAAAACAUCCAAGUGGUACCCAAAAUACAAAAAUUCCAUCCAUUCCUUCAAUUCAUGUCAAUUUAGGCUAAAACUACUUAUAAAUACCAUUUGCCUUUUAACACAUUCAUGUCCAGUCAUACCAUAUUCAUAACAAAAUGCCAUUUUAACCAUUAAGAAUAACAUGAUCAAAACAUGAAAUACACACAUUCAUGCAUAUAGUUUACAUUUAUCCCAACACUAAAAUAUCAUAUAGAGACCAAAGCAACAUGUCUCAAAAUCAACAUACAUACACAACGACACCUAUGUACAUGUCAUAUAUAAUCGAGCUAAUAUGAACCAAAGUCUAUCGAAACUUAAGAUGGAUAGUGUGAACUUUGGUGUGGUCCGAUCCACUCGAUCUUAACUGUCCAUCUACAAGGAUAAGCAACAUAAGCAUAUUAAAUUUAACUUGACUUACCUUAAUAUUAAACAAUAUAAAUAAUUGAAACAUAUGGGACAAAGCAUGUUAUAAACCUUGACAUCCUUAUACAAUUUACACCACAAAUCCCAUGUUUAGUGCAUUACAUAAAUACAUCAUAUCAAAUGCCAUAUGAUUUUAUUCAUACACAAAUAAUCAUACCAUUCAAUACAAGCUCAUCAUACAACCUUGUAAAUAACAUCUUUUUUAUUCAUUACCUUUCUAUUUCGUUAAACGUUUUUGCUCAGAGAACUAUAUUAAAUUAAUCUCGGAUAGACAAGACUUAAAUUGCUCUUACGAGUUGGGGAGAGUUUAGAACACAUGCAGUAUUUCAAUCAUCGAUAAGAUAACCAACUCCAAUACAUGGUACCUCUUAUAUUUAUAUGGCAUGAAAGCCAACACCGGUACAUAGUACCUAUUGUAUGUAUAUGACAUGAAAGUUGACACCGAUACAUAAUACUUGUAUGUAUAUGGCAUGAUAGCCAACACCAGUUCAUAGUACAUGUUGUAUUUAUAUGGCAUGAAAAUCAAUGUCGGUACAUAGUACUUGCUGUAUGUAUAUGGCAUGAUAGCCAACACCAGUACAUAGUACCUAUUAUAUAUAUAUAUAGCCUAAUUGUGUACUAAGUUCUCUCGGGCCACAAAUCUAUUUCCAACCUUCUAAACUAUCAUAACAUUGCCAUAUACAUGGGGUUUUUUACUGAAAUAAAUUAAGAAAAAGAAUUAUAUACCAAAAUAGGUUGUCAGCUGAAUUAUUUAUCAAAAUGGGUUGUUCAUUUCAUUUGCGCUUAUCUGACAGGCGCGACUCUUUUUUUGAUAUUAAAAAAAAUAUAUAUAUUUUUUAAAUAAAAUAUUAUUUUUUAUUUUCAAAUCAGUAUAACCCAUGUAUAGAUACGAAUACAGGUUGCGUCUAUCUCAGAGGCGCGACUAAUUGAGCCUUUCUCAGAGGCGCUAUUAAUUGUGCCUAUCUCAGAGGCACAAAUGGUGGGGCCCACAAGAGUGUCUGUUGCUUAAUUUUACCCCUAUAUAUACCUUAAAAAUUGUCAAUAAAAAUAAAAAAUCAAAUAAAAUUACAAUAUAUAAAAAUUACAUUAAAAAAAUACAAAACACUGGAAACAUUGAUAUUUGUGGGUGUUAAAUAAUUUAUAACUUAAUUUUAAAUUCAUCAGAUACUAAACUAAACACAACAUUGAUAUUUGUGGGUAUUAAAUAUUUUAAUUAAAAUUUUAAAUAAUUUUAAUAAAAGUAUUUGUCAAUAUCUUAAUUCAUACUUAGAAUCAACAGUGCAUUAAAUGGAAUUCGAAGAUUAUAUCCUACUUGUUAUUGUAGAUAUAAAUAUCCAUAUCCCAUAUUUUUUCACACAGUCAAAACUCUACUCCCAUUGUUUAAAAUAUAUCUUAAUUAUGAGUUUUGGGAAACGCUUUUAAUUGAUACUAUUAAUGUAUUAUUAUCAAUUUUUUAUUUUUUUUAAGUUGCUAUUAAGUAUUGGUAUGUUAAUACUUGAUUUAUAUUCUUCAAUAUUUCUACAAUCAUUUUUUAUAAAAAUAAUUUUAAAGUAUAUAAAUUUAUGAAAAAAAUCUGUUAUGAUUAAACUUAGACAAAUUUAUAUCCAAGUUGAUAUAAAAAAUAUGAAAUGAGUCUGCAGUAACAGCAGUAGAUGGCACGCAGGGGGCUGUUUGUACACUGUGCGGAACAGUACCAUUUGCGCCUACCUGUCAGGCACGAUUAGUCGCGCCUAUCUGACAGGUGCGACCCAUUCUAAUAUAUUUUUUACUCGUAUUUUGAUCCGUUGACCGUAUUUUUACAUGCAUAUAAAUUUAAAUAUUUUUAAUAAAAAUAAAAAUAUAUAUAUUUUAUUUAAAAAAAUAAAAAAAAUAUUUUAAUAUAAAAAAAAGAGUUGCGCCUGUCAUAGGCGCGAAUGAAAAAAACAACCCAUUUUGAUAAAUAAUCUAGCUGACAACCUAUUUUGGUAUAUAAAUUUUUUUUAAAUUUUUUCAGUAAAAAACCCCAUAUACAUGUAACAUGAUUCAAUUAACAAUCCAUGAAUCUUCCAUUCUAAAUAACUAUUUAUUUCACUCGUUACUAUUAUCGUACUUAUACUAAUUCAAUCUCUGUAGUCGUAUACAUGUUUUUCAUAUUUCAAAAACAAUCAAAACAUAUUUUAAACCGUGUAAUAUCAUCAUAUACACAUCAUUCAUUUAUACAACAAUUUCACGAUCAUUCAUUACCAUACAUCUAUUCAUAUUUAUCAUAUAUUUCAUAUUUUACGAUUUAAUCCAUUUAAUGCCAAAAACUUUAUAUAUAUAUAACAUUUCCAACUAACAGUAAAAUAAAAUAAUACAAAUAUAUAAAAAAAAUUAAUGAAGUAAGUCUAUAUGAACUUACCUAGAAAACAAUAACUACAAAGUGUCAGAGACUAAUCUACACUCUCUCAUAUUUCUCGAUUAACUUUCAAUUUAUUUAAAUCUCAAUCUAUAACAAUUUAUUGCCAAUUAUCAAUGACAUUUACUUUAUAAUAUCCUAUUCAAGGCAUAUGACAACUUAAUUUUAUUUUACAUAAUUUUCCUAAAAUUUUACAUUUUAUUCAAUUUAAUCCUUAAAAUCAAAAUUAUAAUAAUUUUCACAUUUUAGCAUCAUUUUUACUCCAAUUUCAAUAAAAUCCUUGUAUAGCCCUCUAAAUUCAAUAAUUACAAAAAUUUUAUGUCAAUUUUAAAAUAUUUUCAUUUUAGCCCUAAACUCAAAACUAACAAAUUUCACUUUACAAAUUAACCCUAUUACAUAUCUAAGCUUCAAAUUCUACCAUUAAACAUCAAAAGCUUCAAAAUUCAUCAAUGGAAAACUUUUAAAACUUUAACAAUUUUAUAACUUAAUACCCAAGUUAGCUAAAUUAAGUUGCAACAAUUUCAAAAAUAUAAAAUUACGGAUAAACGGUUCCAAAAUCACUUACAUGCAACAGCCGAACUUCUAAGAAUGAAAACAAUGGCUUCUCUUUUUCUUUGGAUGUUCGAACGAUGAAAAGAAGGUAAAAGGGUUGAAGAUGACCUGACAUGCUUUUCUUUUUAUGUUGUACUUGUAUCUAUUUCAUUAUUAACAUAUUUUAACAUGUAAUUAAUUAGGACAAGCACUAACCGUCCCACUCUUUUAAUUUUAGCUAAAUUGCCACCUAAAUCCUCGAACAAUUAUUAAUUAAGCUUUUAAAUUAACAAAAUUUAAUAAUGAUUAACUUCUAUCCUUUUUAUGAUUUAGUCCUUAUACUUUAAUUAAUCUUGAAUUUAGUAAAAUUUCCUAUUCGAAAUUCAAUUUAUCCAUAUAAUCACUCGAUAAAUAUUUUAAUGAAAACAUUUUCGAACUCAGUUUUUGAAAGUAAGGUCUCGAUAUCUCAUUUUUUGACACCACUAACUUUAGGGUCAGUACACUUGUACGUAACUAAUUAUCCAAUUGUCAAUUUUCACCAAACCAAAAUUCAAUGAAAUAUUUUAAUUAACUCGUAAAUAUUAAUUAAUAAUAUUUACAAACUCGAUCAUCAUAAAAUAAGAUUUCAAAACCACCAUUUCUAGUACCGCUAAAAUUUGAGAUGUUACAAAAUUGAUCAAACAAGUCAUGACAACUAAAUACUGACUUAAAAUUUUUACAAUUUUUUUCAUUUUCUUUAAAUUUUGUUUCUUUAUUCUAUUAUUCUUUUCAUCCUUAAUCUUUUCUUCUUUCUUUUUUUUUGUCAUUCAUUUUUUUCUAUUCUCUUUCUCGUCCUUUUUCCUCAUUUUCUUCCUGUACCCAACUUAGCCGCAAUCGUUAGUGGUUUGCUCUGAUCACUCAACCCUUCCCAAAUCCUAACCUAAACCAAAUUCACAAUACCUUAAACUCACAUAUCUAAUAACCUACAAACAUGUAUAAAAUCAUGAACCCAAAACCUCUUUGCAACCAAUUUUGGGCCCAUCCUAUGAAGCCGGCGGAAAACUAUAAAACAAAAGAAGAAAAAACAAAGUAAAAAAGAGAGGGGUGAUUUAUGUUCACAAAAUCCAGUUAAGAAAAUGGUUUACUGUAAUAGUAUAAGUUAAGAGAGGGGGGUGAUUUAUGUUCAAUCAAUUUGUGAUAUUUAUAAUAAUAAGAUUUUAUCAGAAAAAUAUAAGUUUUUUAUGCAAGACGGAUUUGAAUCAUUCUUGAAUUUUAACCAAACGGUCUUUUCAGAUAUCUUCGUACCCCGAAUUGCACUGAAUGUGAGCUCAAGCAACAUGAACCAAACACAAAAUCAAGAAACGGUUUUAUUACUUUAGUAAGAAAGUAAUUCUAAGAAAAUAAAUUCUCACUACUUUCUGCGGAAUAGCGAAAUAUGAAAACUUGUGUAAAUAACUCUACUAGUGUUAUACAUUUAUAAAGAUAUGAGAGAAUCCUAGUUGAAUAAGAAUUAUACAAAUAAUAUUUAUUUAAUAGAAAAUACUAUCCUAAUCCAACUAGGAGAGAUAUGGGCAACACAUCCAAGUAAAUAUUACUAGAGUUGUCACCCCUUACUUAUCAUAUGAGGGGACUUGGGUCUCUCUUGUAUUGAGUCCACUUUUAUGUGCUUCUUAAACUUUUUACUCAACACUUUAUAAUCAAACCCAAUAUUUAUUUUUCUUUCUCAAAAUAAAUAUUAAUUAUUUAAUUUUUUAAUUAAUUAAAUUAGCUAAAUUUAAUUUUCUAAUUGAAUAGUUUUUUAACUCAAUUUUAAUUUCGUUAAAGUCAUGACAACUUUACUUUAAAAGUAUGUAUAAAAAAUAUAUUUAAUUUUCAUAGUCAAUGGAUUCAUAAUGACGAAUUAAUUUAAUUCUAUUUUCGAAAUCCAAUUAUUUAGUUAUAAUUCAUUAAAUAAUAAUUUGAAAACCUUAAAUUAAUUCUCAAGUCAUUUUUAUACUUAGUGGGAAAACGCAUUCAUUUGUGAAUGUGACUUAUUUCUCUAACUUCGUCAUUCUCAUUCAUUAAUAUUCGUUUGGUUUUAGAUGCAAUUUAUUUUUGGUUUCAACAAGCUAACGGAUGGACCGAUUGGACAUAUAUAAUUAUGACUUAAAUAAUUUAUAAUUAAGUUCUAGCUUUUCACUUAUUUAUUACAAACUUAUUUAGUCACGAAGUCAUUCCACUAUAGUAUUAUGAGUGAGCUCUCCUUAAUUACAUACCAUUAUUAAAGCUACUUUAAUAAGUAUUCGUCUAAUGACCUUGUUAUAAAUGUGUUACCUUCAUAGGAUAUCCUUAAUCUCUUUGAAAUAAAUUUGUUAUCCUAAUAUGAUCUUAUUUUAUCUCAUGAUAACUAUUAUAUCUUUUUUUAUGAAAAGUCAACUACUAUAAAAUAGUAAUCAAGUAUUUUAUCACAAAGACAAACAGCAUGUGGCCACAUUUACUUUUCAUCUAUUAUAUAAUGCCGAUGAAAAGAUAUCAUUUACUUAUUAGUUAGGUUAUGAAUUUCACUAUCAUAAAUGAUACUACAUGCCGCAGAAGCCAUAUACUCAACACACAAGUUUUUGAUUCAUUAUCUAUUUGAACAUAAGUUUUUACUUACAUCAAAGUAUACGAGUUACACAUACAUAGUACAUUAUCCACUCAAGAUUAAGGUCUGACAUAUUAUGAAUGCCACAAGUAAUUAAAGCUAUAAAUUAAUCUAGGAUCUAUUCUAUUUUAGUCUUGUCUGAUGUACUAUCAAUCUAAUUAAUUUUGCUAAUUAUUAAUUAAACAAAGUUCUACUAAUUUUAAAAUAAAAAUAUUACUUAAAUAGAGCUCUAAGUAUAAAAUAUAGAAAAAAAAUUUAUGAUACUUAUAAUCUAUACUACUAUAUAUAUAAAAGGAAGGCAUUAGGCUUUGCUUAUUUGACACCCAACUUACUCUUUUUUAUUUUUACAUUGUUAACAAUAAUGGUUAUUUUUUAAUUUUGGUCUCUCUACUUUUUAUUUAUAUAAAAAUAGUUUAAUUUCAAUUCCUGUCUCUAUACCAUAUUAAAAUUUGAGAUUUAAUCUUUAUAUUUGAAUAUUUUAUAUAAUUUGGUACCUCAACGUUUAUAGUGCUAUUAGUUAAUUUAAAUAUUUUCUUCUAAUUAAAAUGUUUUAAAGAACCACUAACAUUGUUAAGUUUUUUUGUUAAAUUUAAUUCCAUUAUAAUGCCACUUUUUUGUGAAAUGAUUAUUAAGUGAGUACUUUUUAAAAAAAAAAUUUAGAAUGUCAGCACCAACAAAUUUAAGAGAAGCAUUUUAAUGAUGCUAACAAUUGGAAUUGAAUUUUUAAAUUCAAAAAAUAGAGAAACUAAAUUCUUAAAAAUAAAAAGACGAACACUGAAUUUCGAAUAUAUAGAGAGUAUAGAAACUUAGAGCAUAUUGUAACCUUUAAAUUUUAACUAUUUAGUCCAAAAAUAAUUAACCCUACACAAAGCAUGGGUUGAAAACCAUACCGGCUAUAAUUAUAAUUUACCAUUAUUAGUUAAAAAAAUUGACAUAAACAAAGUUGUGUUGAUUUUAUUUUAAAAAAUUCAAAAUGAUAAAUUAAUAUAUUUUAAUUAAAUUCAAUAAUUUAAAUAAAAGUAUUAUUUUAUAUUAAUUAUUAUAAUUAAGAAUAUAAUAUUCUAAAAAAAUUAAUUAAAUAUUAAAUACUAAAUGCAACAAGUUAAUAAUAAUAUUAAAUAUAAAAUAACAAAGUCAAAAAAUGGUGCAUUGAACUUACUGAUUUAUAUGUACAUAUGGAUAAUAAUUUUAUAAAUUAAUGCAAAUAUAUUUUUAUUAUUCUAUUGAUAAAUGAGAUAAUUUCUCGAAAUGCUAAAUCAAAUCAGCCAAUAACAAAGAUAUUAGUGACAAUGAAGUAAAUAAUAAACAGUAAAAGGGUAUUUUAGCAAAAAAUGACUUCCUGAAUAAACCUUUAACAUCAAAAACCCCUGGCACCGCCGCCCGCCUCCUUACUUCACUGUCUUCAAUUGCGAUUUCCCUUUUUUUUUCCGUUUACAAUGUCAGACCCCGAUUCUCUACCCGACGUGACUCCACCUAAAUCGAAACCCGACCCGGAACACCCAAAACCCUUCAACACCGAUGACAUCGACGAAGAAGAAGAAGACGACGACGACGAGAACGACGUCGAAUACGAUGACGAGGACGCAAAAGGCGAGGUAUUUGGAGAGCCGAACCGCCCUAAACCUCACUCUCGAGAGGCUCAGUUCCGUUUGGAAAAACUCAAAAUGGACUCGCUGCUCCAGCGACUGCAAAGCGGUCCGGUUUCGGUCCGAGUCCACGACGUGAUCAUCAAAGGGAACACGAAAACCAAGGACCACGUAAUUGAAGCCGAGACGGAGGUUUUGAACAAUGUUGGCUCGAUGCAAGAGCUCUUAAAAGCGUCACAGAUAGUGAAUUUGCGGCUCCAAGCACUUGAAAUAUUUGAUUCCGUGAAAAUCACGCUCGAUUCCGGCCCGCCGGAACUUCCUGGAACUGCUAACGUGAUUAUCGAGGUUGUUGAGACAGCCAGCCCGCUUUCGGGACAGAUUGGAGCUUACACGAAAGCGGAGGUGAUUUUCUUUUCAAUCUGAUUUUUUGAAGCUUUAUUUUUUUUUUCUUUUCUAAUUUGCUUGUUUUGACUUAUAUAUGUUUUGGUUACUGAGAAAUUUGGGGAAAUUGUUGCAAUGUGGGUUUUUAUAUACAUGAGUUUAGUGUGAGUAGUUGGAAUGUGGAACUAGGUUUGAGUCUGUGAUAACUGAAUUUAUUAAGUGUAAUGUGGUAAUUAAUUAUGUUACUCUGACUCGUGCAUGAGGGUCAGGUAUGAGUAUGUUUCGGGUACAUGUAUUGUUCAAAUUCUCUGAAGUUUUCAUGUCGGACAGGGUAUGUAUUUGGAGGAUCAUAUCUCAUACCCGUCUAGAUACAUGCCGGGCAGAUGGAGGUAGUUAAAGAGAAAUGAAGAGUCGGAACAAUGUAGAUGAUUUGAUUUUGUGGAGAGGAACUCUUUUAUUUAAGCUGACCGUAAAAUAUAAGGAAUAAUGACAAUGCUAAUGAAUGAGAAUAUUGCGAGUUAGUGGAUUUGCUGGAGUUUUUAUCUUUAUUAAAGAUUUAGAUAGAUAAAAGAGUAGAAACGAUGCCCAUUGAGUAAGGCUGCAUAUAUGUAGAUGUCAGAUAAGUGUUUCCAGGGUCAGAAUGAAGGUGCAUUUUGUUCCAUUUGUAUGACAUUUAUGCACAUGCAUCUUAUGCUAUAGAUUUGCUUUCAUAGGCUAUUUAGUUAUGCAUUUGGUCACUACAUGUGACCAACAAAAUGUGAUAUAGAAAAUAAGCUAAUGACAUAUGCGUGAUUGUAAUGUUUGUACUAGUUUUGACUUGGAAAGUUCUGUUUCUCCUACACUUUGAGCACUCAUUUUCUGUGAAUUUAUAAGUAUGAUACCUUGAAUUCUGUUUUAAAGUUGUACAAUGCUGUUGUAGGCUAGAUCUUCCACAGUGGAAGGAUCUCUCAAGUACAAAAACUUCUUUGGUUAUGGGGAUCUUUGGGAUGGUUCAUUGGCAUAUGGCUACGAUCACUCAGCUGAGUUGAGCGCUGGUGUUUUUUUGCCGAAAUUUAAAGGACUGGUAACACCUGUCUCAGCACGAGCAUACUUGCUAUCCCAAGACUGGCUAAAGUUUUCUUCUUACAAAGAGCGAUCGAUGGGCCUUUCUCUUGGAUUAUUUUCUACUCCAUAUCAUGAUUUAGCAUAUAAUCUUGCGUGGCGUACCUUGACAGAUCCAUCACAAAUGUCAUCGAGGUCCAUAAGGAGGCAGCUUGGCCAUAAUUUACUUUCUUCUUUGAAAUAUACCUUUAAAUUUGAUAGGAGAAAUUCAACAAUGCGACCAACUUGGGGUUAUGCUUUUGUUUCUACUACUCAAAUUGGUGGCCUCGCACCUGAUAGUCGAAGCUUACGCUUUCUGCGGCAGGUAUGAAUUAUGCAUGCUUUUUGUUUACAUCCUAAGCAUUCUUGAUUUUGCCUCACAAUCACGCAUUUGAACUUGUUUGUCAGCAUUGCUGUUUGUCAUAUUUUUUUUCUUUUCAUUGAAAUUUAUGACAGGAGUUUGAUCUUCGUUACGUUGUUCCUCUCGGAUUUUAUCAUGCUGCCCUUAAUUUUGGGGUUUCUGGCGGUGUUGUCUUUCCAUGGGGGAAUGGGUUCUCAAGUAGGCCAUCAUCUUUGCCAGAAAGAUUCUUCUUAGGUGGCAACAUAUCUCCAGUUUGUGCUUUAGGAGGGCCGACAGCAUUGUGGGGAUUUAAGACAAGGGGAUUGGGACCGACAGAACCAAAAAGACAGGUUAACAAUGAAAGUGCCGAUCCUUCUGGUGUGGAUUUUCUUGGAGGAGACCUUGCUGUUACUGCUUUGGCAGACCUUUCUUUCGAUCUUCCAUUUAGGUGGUUUAGAGAAAAGGGAAUCCAUGCUCAUGUGUUUGCAUGUGCUGGUAAUGUUGCUAAAUUAACAGAGAAUGAGUAUCGCAAUAUCUCUGUUCAGAAGUUCGUAGAGUCACUCCGAAGUUCAGUAGGUGUUGGACUUGUUGUUCCUACGAGUUUAUUUCGUAUGGAGGUUUGUUCUCACUCUCUCUCUCUAAUUAUUUUCAGUCAAGCAUUGAUAAUUUGUUAGAUCUUAAUUUUCUUUUUUAUAUAAUUUUACUAAUAAUCUAAUUAGGACUUUAUAUUCUCUGAAUAUUCUAUUAUCGAUAAGUUUUGAUAAUUAAGCCGGGGCUGGGGGUUUUGAACUUAGAAUAGGACCUCCUUAUUCAGGAGAACAUCAAGUCAAAUAAAGGUUUUGACACUAUGAAAUGAUAACAUAGUUGUAGAUAAUUUGACUGUUCACAUAGGUCCCAUUACGCCAUUCAUUUCAAUCGGUGCCAUUUUUGUCAGAGAAAUUUUUUGCUGAAUGUAAUUAAGAUAGGUUAUUAAGAUCCGUUUCUGGCCGAAUUUCCAUGCUGCAUAUAGAUACUAUACAAAGGAUUGAUAAUAGAGUUGAUAGCUCAAUGCCAUUUUUCUCUAUUUUUGCCAUCGACUGUUUUGUGUGUGUUGACUUUCUUAAUGAGAAAAAAGAUAUGGUAUGAUCGAGUCAAUUUGCUCGAGUUCUGUACAAGACUAAUGACAGUUACUUUUGGCACCCCGGUUUCCAUUGUGUUGUUUAGUGUUUUACAUGAGUCAAGGAGCUGCAAUUUUUAUAGCUAACGUAAUUUCUCCUCCCAUCUGGUCCAGCUUAACUACUGCUAUAUACUGAAGAAGUUGGAUCAUGAUCGGGCCAAAACCGGUGUUUGGCUUACUUUCUCUGCAGCAUCAUAGAAGUUUUGGACUUUAUAUUGGUGUCUGGCACAAGUGAAAACCGGUGUUUGGCAUGCUUCCCCAGUUGCAUCAUAGCAUUCCGGAUCUUAUAUUGGGUGUCCAGCAGAAUUUUGGAAUCUAAUCGAUGUCGAAUUGAGAUUUUCAUUGUUAUUUUCUUUUUACCUGGAAAAUAGGCCACAUUCAUCACAAAUUGUAUUUCAUAUUCCAGUUGCUACAAUCUUGGUGAAGAAGCAACUUUUUAAGCCAAAUUUCUCUGUAACCCAUACAAGAUAAGCUAUGGGUUGAUCUCAAACGUGAAUCAUUAUUUUGUAAUUUCGGUCGGAUAUUUACUGCCAUUAAUCUUAAUAAUUCUUAUUAAAAUUAAAAAAAGGCAUAAUAUCAAAAUUAGUUUUUUUAAAGUUUAAUAUUUUGUCAACUUGAUAUUUAUUAUAAAAUAUUAGAAAUAUGGAUAUUAUUUUUAUUUUAAUAGGAUAAAUUUGUAAAUUAUCAUUAUAUUCUCAAGAAAAUAUUUAGUGUACUAAAUAAAAUAAUAUAAUUUUUCAAAGAUUUUAAUCAAUACUUUUCUACGUAUAUAAGUUAAAAUUUUUAUUAAUCACAUUUUCAAUAAUCAUUUUAAGGAAUCGUUGAAAUUAUAAUAUGAGAAAGCGCUGAAAACCUGGUUGUUGCUAAGAAUAGGGGACAUCUAAGAACUAGCUUACACCCUAUACAACUUCCAACACAACUUACGACCUUCAACGAGUUAUGACAUGCCUGUCAUGCAAUUCAUAAAAAUAGGGUAGCUUCUUGAUUAAAUUUCAUUUUUUUAAAACUCUAUGGAAAUAAAUAAAAAUAAAAAAUAAACUAUUUUGUUAGACACUUACAAUUGAGUCAUUUCUAUUUUAUUCAUUUAAUAUUAAUUUGACUAUUUUUGUUAAAGAAAAUUGAUUAAAUUAGUCACUUCACAUUAAAAGGUACGGAAUAUUGACUUAAAAUUUUACUUUUUUUUCAUUUUCAUUUUCUUUAAAUUUUGUUUCUUUAUUAUGUUGUUAUUUUCAUUCUUCCUUAAUCUUUUUUCUUUUCAUUCUCUCUCUUACUCUUUUCCUCGUCUUCUUCCUUACCCAACAUAAGUUAUUCCGACCACUCAACCCUUCUCAAAUCCUAACCUAAACCAAAUCUAGAAUACCCUAAAUUUAAAUAUCUAGCAACCCACAAACCUGCAUAAAACCAUGAACCCAGAACCCCUUUGCAACCAAUUUUUGGCCCAACUUGUGAAACCGAUGGAAAAUCAUAAAACCUAAGAAGAAAAAGCAAAAUAAAAAGAGAGGGAAUAAUUUAUGUUAGAAAAAUUCAGUUAAAAAACGGUUUACUGUAAUAGUAGAAGUUUUAAAAAAAAUUUAAACUAAGCUAUUUUAUGAUAUUUAUUGCAAUAAACUUUUACUAAAAAGGACAUAUGCUUGAUUUGAAUUGUUCUCGGCUUUCAACCGAAUAGUCUUCUUAAUUAUCCUUGUAUCUCAAAUUGUGUCACGUGUAGUCUCGAGCAACACGAACCAAACACAAAACAAGAAACGAUUUUAUUACUUUAGUAGGAAAGUAAUUAUGUCAACAGAAAUAGGUAGAAAAUCAUAAUUACUUCAAAAUAAAUUUUUAUUACUUUUUGCAGAGAGAGAGAUGGGAGAAUGCUAAUUGAAUAAGAAUUACACAAAUAAUAUUUAUUAGUAAAUAUUAAUUAGGGUUGUUGCCCCUUACUUAUCAUACGAGGCACAUUGGGGUCUCUCAUAUAUUGGAUACAAUUAUAUGUGAUUCUUAGACUUUUAACCCAACACUUUAUAAUUUAAUUAAAUUCAAUAUUUGUUUUCAACUUCCCAAAAUAAAUAUUAAUUAAUUAAUUAAUCUAAUUAACUAAACUGAUUUCUCAAUUAAAUAAUUUUGUCAACUCAAUUCUAUUUAUGUUAAAGUCAUAAAAGAAUCUAUUAAAAAAUAUUUUUAAUUUACAUAUUCAACGGAUUCAUAUGUGGCGUUAAAAUAAAUUGACGGACCAAUCAGACGGUGACAUGUGGCAGCUUCUAGUUUAAUCUAAUAUUUUUCAAUAAAAAAAUUAAAAGAUCAGAAAAAUUAUAAAAGUAAAAAAAAUUUAUCAAAAGAAUAUAUAAAUGAUUAAAUAUUAAAAACUAUGAAAAUUGAAAUAAAUAUUAUAAAUAUAUAAAAAAUCUAAUAAAUUAUAAAAUUAAUAAAACAUAUUUAAAAUUUUAUAAAAACAUAUUAAAAUUCUAUAAAAAUCAUAAAAAGUAUUAAAAUCUAUAUUUUAACUCAUAAAAAUUAUAAAAACUUGAAUUGGACCGGCUCGUUCAAUUAGACUGAUAAGAUCGAAAUCAAUAAAGAUAUCAAUCUAGAGAAAGUCAUUAGAUUGGUUGACUUAGGAACCAAAUUAUUGAACUGAUUUAAAAAAAAUGUUUAUUUUAUUGUUUAAUAUUUUAUUUAAUUGAAUUGGACAAACCUGACAAAUUGACAAAUCGGUGGCCUGAUCAGUUCGACCACCGCUUUGAUUUUGAAAACCUUAGUUAUAAUAUUUCAUUCUGACAUAAACUAAUAGUUGGAAAAUGGAAUUUUGGUUUGAUAAAAAUAUUAAAAAGCACAAAAUUAGUUCGACUGCCAGUAAUUAGGUCAACUGGUCUAAUGGCUUUACUUGAACCGGUGCAUUCGUCAAUUUUUUAUAAGUUUAAUAAGUUUAUAUCAAUUUUAAUAUUUUCUGAUUUUUAUAUAUUUUUAAUGAUUUUUAAUAUUUUUUAUGAAAAAAUAUUAGAUUAAACCAAAAGCUACCAUGUGUCACUACUUUAUUGGUCUUAAUUUCAAACUAUUUUAACGGUCAAUGUGAUUAAUGACAGAAAUCAUUAAUGAAUGGGCCUAAUUAGGUGCAAAUUUAAUACAGAGGCUUAAUUAAUUUUUUUCUUUUUAUAUUUUUUUAACAGUUUAUAGAGAGAGAGAGCAAGUCUCUCUAGAUAAUUAUCUUUGGGAGAUCUUCAUAUCCACUCUUCUCAUGCUAAUUUUAUGUGGUUAUUUUAAGUCUUCAAUUGAUAAAUAAAGUUAAUUUCUUACAAUUAAAUUAGAUUGUUUAUCUAUUUAAAUUUUUAUUUUUAUUUCAUCAGUCUCUAUGUUUAUUUUUAAGAAUUUACAUGUUGCUUAUUGACACAAAAUACUGAUUUAUUUAAAAUAAUGUUUUCGCCUUUUUAUGGGUCUUCAAACUAAUUGAUGUUAUUGAAGAUAAUCAAAAUUUUUGAAAUGCAUAAAGUCAUAAUAAUAAACUCACCUUUAAUUAUUUAAGUAAUCUUUCUAUUAUUCAAUUUUUUGUAUGGGAGUACCAUUAUUUUAGUUCUAUUCAAGGCACUUAGCUAAAUAGUUAAUAUUGUUGUUGAAGUUCUUUACAAAAUACGAUUGUCACGUCUUAAAAUAUAAGGGGUUAAUUGGAAUAAUUAGUUAAAAAAUAAAUUAAGUUUGAUAGUUAAGUAGUUAGUGCACUCCUUAAAGGUUUUAGGUUCAAGCUACACCUCUUUCAUUUCUAUUUUUUUUUUAUUUUCAACAAAUUAGGAUAAAAACCACACUAAAAUAUAUAUUGUCUGCUGUAAAAACUAAACAAGAAAUAGGUCUAAUGGUUAACAUUCUUGUCCCCUUGCAUACUCGAGUUUGAGCCGUCCAAAACCUCCUCCAUUUUUUUUUUAUUUUCGGCAACAAUGGUAAAUUACCAUGCAACCCCCUAGGGUUCCCAAAUCCAAGGUAUUUAGUCCCUCUGUUCCUAAUCCCACUUGGACUAUGCUUUCUUUUCAACCACAAUUAGAAUUCUGCUCUCUUUUCUCUCUAUUUCUUCUCAUUUUCUUUUCUAUCAUCUUAUUUGCAUCUUAUUUUACAUAUUUUGUUGUUGAAUAUUUUGCUUUCCCCAAAUAAAUCAAUCGUUAAUUUUCCUACUGGUUUCGUAAUUUUCAUCAAUAACAUCUUUAUUAUUUGCCAAAGAACCAGUAAGGACAUCCCAAUCCCAAUGAUUAAUCUCAAAUUUUUAUUGAACUUCUAUCCCAUGCUAAUAUUUUGAUCAAUUAAAUGAUCUUUUAUGGAUCUUGUCGAAAUUUUCCAUUAAUCUUGAUGAAUCUUGAUUCCCAAUGUUAACUUGUGUAUAAAUGUAAUUUGAAAGAGCUGUUUUAGGUGCGUCGGACCAAAAUCAAGUGUAAGGAACGACAAUUAGACUCUCGGUAAAAGGUGUGUGUUCUAUCCCAAGUGAAUCGGUGGUGAUCAUGUGUAGGAAUAAGGUCACACGGUCUCUCAGGCGUGUGGACCACACGGCCAUAUGCUUUGGAAAUCCUAGUCUAGUUCAAAUCUCACACGGCCCAGAACCUUUCACAUGGCCAUUUCCCUCAAAUAUGUUAAUUUUGUAAUUGCCACACGACCACAGUCUGUUACAUGGCCUAGCCACAUAGUUGUGUAACCCUCCCACACUGUAUAUAGCACAUCAUACUACCUGGCCACAUGACUGUGUGACCCCUAUUUUAUAGUUUUACCCAAAAUUUUGAGAAUUAUUCAGAUUAGUCCCUACAUAAUCCCCAAACUAUUUUUAGGAAUUUUAUUCACUCGAUUGAGCCCCUGAUUUUAUGAAUAUGCUAGAUUCUGUGAUUUGAUGACUGAAUUUCUAUUGUUUAAUGAUGAUAUAUGAAUAUUUCAUGUCUAUUGUCACUAUCUUUCUGAUGAACUGAUACUAUUACUCUUACCACUAUAUUACUAUUUGCAUGCCUAUUAUCACUGUUGAACUGAUCACAUGUCAAAUAUGCCUACUAAUACUAUUGAAUUGAAUACAUGUUAAGCAUGUCUAUUGUUUCUGCACUGUACUCUUACUAGCAUGUCAUACUGCAUUACAUGGGGUGGGAUGCUUUGAAAGGAGGAAGUACUAAUAAUUUAUCUGCAAACAUUGGUGGUUUAUCCACAAAUUUACUGGCAGCUUUUAUCUACAACUAUGUUGUGUAUUCACAACCCACUAGCAGCGUAUUAACCUGCAAACACUGGUGGUUUAUCCAUAAAUUUACUGACAGUUUUUAUAUGCAAAUACAUUGUGCAUCCACAACCUACUGGCAACGUAUUAGCCUGCAAACACUAGUGGUUUAUCCACAAUCUGGAGUGUCCGGGUUAAAAGAGUUCUGGGAACUUUUAAUGUGAAGUGUAGCAGUGGAGUAUGACCUUUCUUUGUGGUUAAACUGAAAUUGCAUUGCAUUGACACUCAUAAACAUACUUGAAUGAAUUGCUAAUUUCUACUAUACUAUACGAAUUAUACUAUACUGAAAAUUGUUAAUACGUAAGCUUGGUUUAUUACAAUGCACUAGUUUUCUUGUAUGGAACUCACAUUAAGCUUCAUAGCUCACUUCCAUUUAUUUCCUUAUUUACAAAUAACCCAACAGGUUAGGAUGCGGACAUGACAUCCAGAGGGUAUCGACUCGAAUUUGAUUUUAAUAUCAUAUUUUAGAUUUUUUAUUUGACAUUUUUUAUUAAUCAGAGAUUGUAUCGUUUUAUUAUUAAACUAUGACAUGAGACUUAAGAUUUAUGUUUUUUAUUUUAUAACAUACAUGAUAUUUAAUUUGAUUUUAGGAUGUUGAGAUAUAGAUUUUAAUUAUCUAUGCAGGAAAUAUGAUUUUUAUUGUUAUUUAAAACUAGGCUAGAUAUCAUUUUUUCCACUAUUAGAUUAUAGCUAAAUUCUGAAUAUUAAAUAAAUGGGAAAUUUACCAUGUUUUCAAAAGUAGUCACCAUUUUCAAGGAAAAGCUAAACUUAAUCGUUUUUUUAUCUCACGAAUUUUUCUAAAAAUAGACUAAGUUUUCCUCUAAGAUAAACAAAUUUUUUAAAAUGACUAUUUUAUAAACUCCAAUAGCUUACUGGGUCAUUUCGGUGACCAAUGUAACCUUCUGAAUUUGGGCCUAACGUCUAGGCCGGGUGAGGAGGUUACAACAAUUUCAUCUGUAAAAUUACCAACUUAAAUUAUAAACAACUAUAUAUAAAAUUAUUGUGUUACUCCUUUCGUUCUAGUAAUUUUUGAUUUGAUAAUAUUUUAACUUUAUUGUUGAUGGUCUUUUUGGCCUACCAGUCCCUCAUUUUAAAUUCAUAUAAUCAUAUAAAUAUUUAAUUUUAAUAAAGAAUGAAGUUUUUUUAAGUAAUAAAAAAGGGUAGUUGUUGAUAAAGUUAUGGUAUGUGAAUAAUAUUUUAGAGUUUUUAGAAAUAAAAUUUAAAUUUAAUAUUUAAAAAUACUGUAUCCCUUUCCCCAUUUUGGAGUUUCUCCACCAAAACUUACUAAUUAUUUUUUCAAGCUCAUGACAUAAAGUUACAGGUAACAAAUGUAACACCCCUACCCAUAUCCAUUGCCAGAAUAGGUACGAGGCAUUACCGGAGUUUACUGAACAUUUUUAGAUAAUUCUGAGUCAUUUAUUAUUCAUAUUUUGAAAAUAAUCAUAAUGUCUCUUUAUUGGCCCUUGAAGCCCCAAACAUACAUUAAAAAUCAACCGGAAUUAAAUCGGGAUCAUAAAAAAUUUCGCAAAAUCUUAAAUUUUAUUUUCAUCUAAGUACUUACCAUUUCAAUGCUUCUUAUAAUUAAACAUGUUACCAUUCAAUAAAUAGCUUGACCUUUGUCUAAGCGUCAAGCCAUAUCAUUGUUAGUAUACUUGCACAUAUUUCAUAUAAAUUCAACAUUGAUAUACUUAUUUUCUCGACAUGUCACACUUGAGUUUAAUAAUUGUCUUUACUUACAUAAUUUCCUUGUAUCAACAUAUCAAAGAUAAUCAUAUAUAUACAUGUCAUGAAACAUAUCAUUCUCUUACCAUUUCUUCAUAAGCAUAUAUCAUUCAUUUCAUUAUAUCAAUAUUUCAUGCUCCAUCAUUUCCAUAUAUUUUAUGUAUAUUUAUUCCGGUAAUAGCUUAUAUCAAACUUAACAUAAAUUAUAUUCCAUGUACUUAUACUUUUUUCGUUUAUCUAUCUUCAUAAUUAUUUCAUAUAACCAUUCGUCAUCUGAUACAUAUUACCUGAAUAUCAAUUGUUCAACAGAUGUUCAUAGCGUCUCCCAUCCACGGUCUUAUUUAUCUUUGACAUGAUGCCAUAGUGUCUUUCAACUAUGGUCUUACUCAUUUUCUGUCAUGUUGCCAUGGUGUCUUUCAACCAUGGUCUUACACAUUUCAUAUCAGGUUGCCAUGGUAUCUUUCAACCAUGGUCUUACACAUUUCAUAUCAGGUUGCCAUGGUGUCUUUCAACCAUGGUCUUACACAUUUCAUAUCAGGCUGCCAUAGUAUCUUUCAACCAUGGUCUUACACAUUUCAUUUCAGAGAGCACACUCCCGCGAACCUCAUCUUUACAGUGAGAUUACCAGUCCAGGCUAAAUCCCCUGUAAUAUAAACUCAUAGAGUAUUGUUGGGAUUACCAGUCCAGGCUAAAUCCCCUUUUCUUAUUGACUUUAAUCUUUAACUUGAUUUUUCUCUCUCCUCCAGCUUCUAUUUCUUGAAUCCAACUUGAUAUUCUUGCUCCCCAUCAUCUUCUUGCUAUCUUUCUCUCUUGAUGGCUAUGGAAAUUCUUUCAAUUUUUAGGUGAAAAUAAUGAAUUUUUGGAGGAAAGACUAAAUUGUAAGAAAAGGAAAACUUUUUUUCUUCUUCUUCUUCUCACGUUAGUUGCAUGAGAAUGGUGAUCAUCUUCCCAUUUCUUUCCUUACAUAUAUAUAUUAAAUAAAAUAAUAAUAAAAUAAUAAAAUAUCAUUUAAAAAUCAAUUUAAAGUAUUAAUAAACUAAUAUUUAUUUAUUUAAUUUAUCUAAAAUAUCUCCAACAUCAUCAUUGUCUCUAGAUUUCUCUUUUCCAAUUGACCAUUUUGCCCUUUGUGAUCUUUUAAAAUUCCAAUCUUGAGUCAUCACUUAAUUUGGUAAAAUUGUAAUUUAGUCCCUCAUAAUUCUUCACCUAUUCAAUUUGGUCCUAAUUCAUCAAUUUUCCUUGGUUUCUAGAUCAUUCCACCCUUAAAAUAUUUGCACUAUUAGUCCUUCAACUUUUCAUAUUUACACUUUAAUCCUUCAAAUUUUGAGUAUUUACUCUUGGGCCACAUAACUUUUCUCACUUUUACAAUUUAAUCCUUUCUUGAAUCAAUAUGUCAUAAUAUAUUCCCAAUAUUUACAUAACUCAAAAUUUCCCUUUUUGUCACUUUAUUUCCUUAUUUUACUAUAUCACGGAUAAUAUUUUACUAUAAAAAUUUUCGGGGUAUUACAACAAAAAACAUUGCAUAGAAUAAACUAGUAUGGCUUGUAAAACCGACUUAAUGAAAACUUCUUCCUUUAAGUAAUAAGUACCGAAUAUUCCAAUUUUCUAAUUUUUUUUUUGCGGAUUUGUCUUUGAAACUGACGAAAGUUUCUUCUUAUUUUUUUUCAUCUUCCAAUCAUAGUUGGGAGACCUAAAUAUUUUUUUUUAGAUCACUCGAACUUCAUACUUCAAGGGUCGCUCCAAUCUGAUCUUUAAUUCCAUUCUGCACGUUGCUACUGAAAUAAACAAGGGAUUUAUCAAAAUUAAGUAGUUGGCCCGAAAUCCCUUCGUAUUCUUUUAUAAUCGUUUUAAUAGCGUUGACUCCUUCCAAACUUGCUUCCUCAAAUAGGAUAUUGUCAGUUGCAAAAAAUAGGUGAGUUAGGGUUAAACCACUUCUUCCCACCCUUACCCCUUUAAUAAUUCCAUUAUUUUUUGCUAGUUUCAGUAGUGAGGAGAACCUUUCUACACACAAUAAGAACAAAUAUGGACUGAGUGGAUCCCCCCGUCUUAAUCCGCUUAAACGUCUGAAUUUUUCUCCUAUUGUCCUAUUAAGAAUAAUUGAAUAUUCCACUAUUCGAACAUAGCUCAUUACUAGACUCAACUAUUCUUCGCAGAAACCCAUUUGUCUCAUAACUUUUUUUAUGAAAGUCCACUCCACCCUGUCAUAUAUUUUACUCAUGUCCAACUUUAAUACAAAGUGACCCCGUGACCCUACUUUCUUAUGCUUUAAAAUCUAAAGUAUCUCGUAGGUAAUAAGGACAUUAUCCGUAAUUUGCCUUCCAGGAACAAAAGUUGCUUGUGCUUCGUCAAUACAAUUGGAGAAGACAUUCUUCCAACAUGGCAUCGAAUAGGAAAGUCCAACGAUUACUUAACGAGUUCAUGGAUCUCCUCUCCGAAUAUGCAAGUAUCGAAAACAACUUAGACCAUAGAAACCCAUUUCCACUAACCGUAUCUCAACCAGAAAUUGACCUGAUAGACUGCAACCCAUCUGCAACCUGCCAAAUGGAUAUCGUUGAGCCAACAAUAGAUAAGAAGGAAAACCCAUCCCCCGGUAUAAUAGAUCAAAUGGAUUCUAUUCUAUCGAAUCAAGCAAACUCCGGUACCAAAUCAUCCGAUCAAGUAAAUCAAGCUCCAACAAAUGAAGAUCCUACUGGCUCAUAAUGCAAAUACUAACUAAUGGUGUUAAAAACUUAGAAUAGGGGAUUGUACUGGUAUAUAUAUCCCUUUACUUGACUGUUUAAUGCUUGAAACUGAACCAUCAGAUGUAUCUUUUUUUCUCUUUGAUCUUCCUUGUGCAUCCAACUGUAGAAUUUAACUUAUUAGUGUUAAGAGUUGAGUUUUCUUUUUCUUUUUUCAUGUUAUUGAUAAAAUUUCAUCUUCUUUGAGCUUCGUACAAACAUCCUCCUUGUUCCCUUCCCAAAAAUUUUUAUUCGACAUUCACAUUUUUCUUCUAGCACCUAACUUGUGUUAAACCUGAAGCUUCCAUUCUCAUGAGCUCUAUUGCAUUCUACCCCAAAAUUUAUCAAUAUCGGGCAAUGAUCAGAUGUAGCAUGCGUUAGAUAUCUUAAAGAAUACUUCGGGAAGGCCUCCCACCAUACUUGAUUAGCCACCCUCUAUCUAAUCUUUCACGAACAUUAUUUGCUGGCAAUCUACCUUUCCCAUGUAAACCACAUCCCCGUAAACCCUAAAUAUUAAGGUUACAUUUUUCCAAAACCUCACAAAAUCAGGCCAUGUUUCUCUCACUCCUUAGUCUACCACUCUUUUUCUCAAAUGAAUACAUGAUUUCAUUAAAAUCUCCCACGACCAUCCAUGGCAUAUCUCGACUAUUCUCUAACCUUCGUAGAAGGUUCCAAGAUUCACUUCCAUUAUGUUCCUCUAAAGCACCAAAAAAACAUGUCAAUCUCUAUGUUAGCGCUCUGCAUUUUACCAUGACAACCACAUCAAUAUGAUUGGCUGAAUAACUUCGCAACUGUACCUCAUCUUCUUUUUUCCACCAAAUUGACAAUCCACCUUUGGAACCUUGCACACCUACGUCUAUUCCAUUAGUAAAUCCACAUCUCCCUUGAACUUUUUCCAUUAUUUUGUCACUUAACUUUGUUUCUAAUAGAAACAAAAUUUGGGGCUAUACGCGUCUUACCUUAUUUUGAAGGUGAUUAACUGCUCAUGGAUGCCAAUCCACGAACGUUCCAACUUAGAAUUUUUAUUACGCCCGGUCAGCACGCUGAUUAGAUGUUGCCAGUCUCUUUUUAAAUUGAAUCAAAGCACUUGAGUCAUUCUCCUCACACAAAUGGUCAUUCCUUAUUCUUUAUCGUAUUUUUCCUUCACCAUAUUUGACUGGAGUAUCUUCUAUUAUGGCCUCCCUUUGUCCCAUAGACUAUUCUCAUUGAGAAAAAUCUUCACCAUCUAUUCUUCUUCUUCCUUGUCCAUAUAAUUCCAUUCCAACAGAGCUAUUACCCUUCUUGAUUCCGCUUGGCAAUUCCUUCAUUAACCAUAUACUUCCGGCAAGCAGCUCAUUUCUAAAUGGUGCUCUUAGUGAGAGGUUCCAACCAAAUAUAACCUUUUGAAUUUCGAUGGUCUUUUGUACCGAGCAAAACCCCUUCCCAUGACCAAAUUUUCCACAAAGAAAGCAAAAUAAUGAGAGUCUUUCAUAUUGGAAAUACAUGUAGCCCUCUUGUCAUUUUGUCAGCGUCGGCUUUUUCUUUCUCUUUAAAGCUAGCCUUACAUCAAUUUUCACCCUAAAUCUCAUAUAUCUUUGUUCUCCUCGUGAAAUCAAAGCAACAUCAUAUUGUAUAAAUUGUCUAACAAACCCCUCCCCCCUAAAUUUCCUUGCUAAGCCUUCCAAUAUUACUCCAUAUGGUAGAUUGUGAACUCGGAUCCAAAAAUAAGAAUAAAACAAUAGGAUCUGCUUUAGAUCUUCUCCGAUACUCAAUCGGUGGAAAAUUAACAGAUGCCUGUUAAAAGUCCACGACAUUCCAUCCAAUACUCUUUUUAUAUCCACUUCAUAGAAGAAUCGAAAUAAGUAUUGUUUUCCCCCUAAAUAUAUGAUUAUAACUCUUCCUAACGGAUGCCAUAAGUCCGCCAUAGUUCUCUUAGGAGACGAAAAGUGAAUUACGCAAUCUGUAAGAGUUCUCCCCACUAAACAAAACCGAAGAUCUUCAUCAUCAUUAUUCAGCUCUCUUUCACAGGGAAUCGACUCUUCUUCUUCAUCCUCCAAAUUCAUAUUAGUGAUGUCCGCCUCCAUCCGUGGCAAGCUUUUUUGUAGGUAAACAUCCACUCUCUACAAAUCCCAACUAACACUAACGUGCGCCAAUUUGAUGUUGUGAAAAUGAAAAAACAAAGAAAAUGGCAUGCUAUAAAACCCUAGCAAACAAAAGAACUAGAAAUCUAAACCCCCUUUCUAUUAAAUAUUGUUUUAUACUUUGUCAAUUUUUUUAAUUUCAUUACAAUAAUUUGAUUUGAUAUAUAUUUUUUAAUGAAUUUUACUUAUAUGAUAAUAUUGAAAUUGAACAAAAUAAUUUAAAAUGGUUUAAAAAUACUUUUAUUAUUAAAAUUGUAUAAAAUUUAAAUUUGAUUUAUAAAUGUUUUACAAUUGUUUUAAAGAUAAAAUCUAUUUAACUUAUUUUUUUCUAAAAAAAAAUUAAAAAAUCAUAAUUCUAGAAUUUUUUUUAAUAAGAUAAUUUAGCAUUGUCAAUAUUUUUAAUAUUAUUAAUUAAAAAUAUGUUUACUAUUUUGCAUCAAAUAAAUUAAAUUAGAAAUGUGUCUAAAUUAGAUUUUUUAUAAAUUAUAAAAAUUUUUAAAGAUAUAUUUAUUAUUAAUCAUAAUUAAAUUGGUCUUUUCAACAAAGUGUAAAUGGUAAUAUAUAUCAUUUAAAUAAUUAUAAAAGAUAUAGAAAAAAUAGAAAAUAAUUUAAAUUUAUUUAUAAUAUUAAUCAUAAAAUUAAAAUUAUAAAAAAAAUUAAUAUAUUAUAAUGGAUGCAUACAAUAAAAGUAUUUUAAUAUUUUUAGGUAAUGAAAUAGACUUGCAAGUCAAGCUUGGAUAAUGGAUAAUGAAUAUUCCAUAUUUUUUUGUGAACUGGAAUAUGUACAUAUGAUAUUCAAUCGUAUAUUGUAUAAUUAUUAACAUACGAUUCAUAACUGAUUUAAAUACUAAUAUUUAUUUAUAUUCGUUAUUUGAAUCUGUUUUAGAUUGGGACAAAGGAGCUUUGGACCCCUUGUUAAAUGGUUGAAUUUCACUUUUAAUCCAUUUUAAACUUUAACAAUUUAAUUUAAUCCUUUUUAAGCCUUGACGAGUGAACACAAGUGGAAAUGAUGAUCCAGUCUCUCCUCCGCUUCAAUCAUGUCUAUAAUUGCUGGGGUGCCUUGACACAUGAGAGAAGGUAUAUACAAGCAAUGACUACUAGGGUAGAACUUAUUAAAGUAAGCCGACCUAGGGGGGCUAAUUAAAACAUUUUAAAAAAUUUAAGCGAAAAACCAAAAUUUCCCAAAACUUUUGGGGGCCUUAAUCUAGUUUUGUUAUGUAUUUCGACUAGCUUGCAAUUAUUCAAGCAUUAACAAAAGGCAGUAAUCCCUAAAAUAUUAGUAUUGUUGAAAUUACUGAUUAAAGUCCAUUCACCUCCCAGUAAAAUUAAUGAAGCCAUUUAUGUACACAAGAUCAUAUCCAUGUAGACAAAGAUUAUAUUCAUAUUCAGGGACGAAUAAAUUAUAACUUUUACGAUAAUAAAAAUAUAAUUUUAUCAUUUAAAUAGUCUAUAUUUUUAUAAUUUUUAAAUAAUUAAAUUAAUUUUUUUAUUAUUUUUAAGAAGGCUAAGGCAUAAUUUUACCUUUUUACAAUCAACCUAAAAGACAUUACCAUGUCAGUGGUCUCAACAACUUCAACAUCAUGUACAUAACCAAAUAUUUAAUAUUAGUUAGGGUUUAAAAACAACAGUGACUCACUUUUUUUCUGUCCCUUAGGAAGAGAUUAAUCCGACUUUUCACAAAACUUGAAAACCAAAAAUUGGCCCUUCAUUCCAUGAACGGUUUCUUUAAAUUAUCCUUUAAUUUUUCUAAUUACUUUUACACUUUUUUUUUCAAUUAAAACUUUAUGUCCACUUCCAAUCUAAUCCUUUACAGUCCCUUCUUUCCAUUGGCUGUUUUUCAGUAUCCUUGGACGAAAAAAUCUCAACAAAGUCAUGUGAAUAUAAGACCGUUAGAUUCAAUUAAAAUUAUUUAGUAGGUUUUUUUUUUAAUAAAUAAAAGAGAUUUUGAGUUAAUAAUAAGAGAUAAAGUUAUACAUAUCGAGAUUUAAUUGUGAGAUAUAAUCUUUUUAAAAAUUAUUAGAUAAAGCAUAUUUAGAAAGUUUUUUUUUAAAAUUUCCGCUUAUAGAAUUAAAAUAUUCUAGUUAAUAAUUAUUCAUUAAAAUAUCACUUAAUCAUGUAUGAAGGAUAGAGUUUUUUAAAAUAAUUUAAUCCUUCCUAAUAAAUUAUUUAAAUCUAAAAAUUAAAAGAUGAAAUAGAAAAAAUAACUUGAAUUUUAGUUGAUUUGAUUUUAAAUUUUAAUAAUUUUAAACUUAAAUAAUCUAAAUUCUAAUAUGAAACUUUAAUUACUUAAAUUUAAAGUUAUCCAAAAGGAUUCAACUCAAUUUAAUAUAUUUUAUUUAUAUUGUUAUUUAAAUUUAUAAUUGAGUUUGUGUUACGAAUCAAUCGAGUAUCAAUUUGGUUGAAAAAAUUAUGGAAAUAUGCAUAAAAAUAUACAUAUUGUGGGAUUUGAACGCUUCUCAAUUAUAUUAAUAAAACAUUUAAUUUAUCACAUAACUAAAACUUUAUUUUAAUAUUUUUAUACAUAUUUUAUUACCUCCAUUGAUUGUACAUUUAUACUAUUAUUUAAGCUCCUGACUAAAUUACAUGUGAUGGAAUUUUAUUAAUACUGUAUUUGUAGGGUGUGUCUCAUAUUCUUCUCUCAGUUAAACUCUGUUAUCUUUUCCUAGUUGGACUCUAAUUAUUCCAGGGGUCAUUGUAUCCUUGUUUUGAUGUAUCAACUAGCAAGAGCUUUUCUUUGCUAGCUAGUGAUAAGAUGUAAUAGCAUAAGAGUUUUGGUAAAAGUUUCGUGGUAAUUAUGGAGAGUAUUUUAUACCCCUUUUGUGAGUCUCUCAUGAAGUUUUAAGGUUUUGUUUAUCGGUUUGCUAUUUGAGAGGUCAUUGUAUCCCUGUUUUGAUGUAUCAACUAGCAAUAGCUUUUCUUUGCUAGUGAUAAGAUGUAGUAGCAUAAGAGUUUUGGUAAGAGGUUCGUGGUAAUUAUAGAGAGUAUUUUAUACCCCUUUUGCGAGUAUCUCAUGAAACUUUAGGGUUUUGUUUAUCGGUUUGCUAUUUGAGAUUUUGAGCUUUGCAUUUGGGGUUUUGGAUAAUGUAUAAGUUGUUAUAGGUUUAUUUUAUUCAUAUUAUACUUUCGUUUAUUUACUUAUUUAGUGAAAAGUCGAAACAUUUUUUGCUUGUGGUUUUUAUCUUCUUCGGAGGUGUUUUUCACGUAAAAUAAUUGUGUUCGCUAUUCUCUAUUUUUCUUAUUCGUUGUUUAUACGAGUCGAUCCUCAAGAGUAUUUGAUUGAGUUGGUGUCACAAGUUAUCUCGACACGAACUCAAGAUUGAUGACAACAUCGUGAUAAACAAUUUAAGUUAAUUUUUUCAUUUUAAUAUCGUAUAUAUUUCACGUGUUAUUAUUAAGUAGUUUCAAACCAUACGUUUAUUUAUUUUAUAUUAUUUUUAAACACACAUUUUUAUUAUAAAUUUGUGGUUUUAUACGUAUAUGCAUAUGAUAAAAUUUCUAAUUAUUAUAAUAUAUCCUUUAAAAAAUUAAGAUAAACUUUAAUAUUUUGUCACAUUAUAUGAAUUUUAGGACAAAGAUCUCCUCAUCUUUACUUCCCAACCGUCCACAUUAACUGCCAAAUAUGCCUCAACUUCCACUGUUAUAAAAGCCUCGACACCUUCCCUUUCGCUAAAAUGGCGUCUGCCCAAGACUCUCAGCCUUUCCACUGGCACUACGCAGAUCUCGAAGACCGCGGCUUCCAAAUCCACGGCCGAACUCUCUUCUUCACCGUCGUCCUCUUUGCCAUCGUCCUUAUUUUCGCUCUCAUCUUCUUUUACACUCGAUGGCUAUGCAGUUCUCAUCGACAUGACCUAUCCCCAGCCUCUCACGUACCUCCACAGCCUCCUCCUCAGCCUCGAGGGCUCGACCCCAAUACCAUCAAUGCGUUGCCGAUAACUAUGGUGACGAGGGGGAGGGCGGCGCUUGGGACCGAGUGCUGUAUAUGCCUUGGACUGUUUGAAGAUGGUGAGAAAGUUAAGGUUUUGCCUUCGUGUCACCAUUCUUAUCAUUCCGAGUGUGUUGAUAGGUGGCUCAGUGCUGAGUCGAGUUGUCCACUGUGUAGAAAUUCUCUUCAAGUUGAAUCAGAUCGGCUUCGUCAGAUUCCAGUCAUUGUGACUCAGUAAACAAACACGCACACGAAAAAAAAAAUUUUGUAAACGAUGGUGGAUUUGAGUAGAUUCCUUUUAUGGGUUUUUCUCUGCUUUUUAUUUUGUCUUAUAUUGUGGGGUUGCCAUGAAUGUAAUGCUACCAUGUGCUCGAUGAAAUUGUUCAAUGAAUAAAUUGUUUUGGCUAAAUUAUGCUUCAAGUACCUGUACUUUUUAUUUUUUUUGAAUGUUAGCUUCUCUAUUUUUAGGUCUAUUUGUUAAAGCGGAUAAAAUUUUUCUAUUAUAUUCGUUAGUGUAAUAUUUAAAAAAAAUAUUAAAUUCGUUAGUGUAAUAUUUUUUUAAAAAAUACUCUCUUAAUAUAAAAAAAAACAUGAUAUUAAUAAAUGAAAUUGUUUUUUAAACUUGAAAACUAAAGUGACUAAAUUCAAACUGAACAAAGAGUAGAAGGACUUGAAGUAGAUUUUACUUUUCUGUUUGUCAACGACGGAGAAAGUUAGGUCAUUUGUUGCCUUGUGCCCUUGGAACGUGGGCUGUUGUGAUUGGGGAAACAAAAUUCCAGUUUUUAUUCCCUUUAUUGCAAUCAAUGCUAAAAGGACCAAUAUAAAAAUCAAAAUACAAUAGGGACAUAUUCGCAAUUUUCCAAAUAUAAUUUAUUAAACAUGAGAAGUUUUGUUUUGUUUUUUGGUACGAGUAUAUGGAUAAUUAUUAGGUUAAAGCACGGCUGUUUUUUUUUAUAUAAUUUAUAAUAUAUACUUUAUGAAGAAUCCAGAAAAUACUUUAAUUGGGAUAAUGCAAGGUGGAGAUUUGUUUUGAUAGUCCCUUAAUUCUAAAAAUUAUAUUUUAACCCUUGUGUCAGUGAAGUAAUUAAUAUUUCUUCUUGCCUUUAAUCAGUCAAUAAUUUGGCACUUUAUUUGCAUCUGAAAAAUCUGUGUGCCCUUAGACUGGAAAUAUUAUAAAUUAAAUUAUUGUUGUGAUAAUGACUACCACUUAAAUAAAAUUAUUCAUUGUUACAUAUUUUUAUAAUUUUAUAAACUAUUGAUAUUUAAAAGUUUAGUUAUUGUAUGUAAAAUUAUAUCGAUAUAAUAUUUCUAUAACAGAAGAUUAGAGUAAUUAUUUGAUACAUCAUUAAUAGAGUUUUUAAAAUUUCACAAAUGGGUUAAAAGUCUGACAAUUGUCAUAUUUAUUUAUGUAAUUAAUUUUUUUUACACCCUAUAAUACGGGUAUUUUACCAAUAAAGGCUCAUUUCUAACUCUUUUUUACAGAAAUGGGCCGAUUUCUUAAUUAUUUACCGGAAUAGGCCGAAAACGGAAAUAUCGCGUCCACGUCAACGCGAAGUCAGAGUAUUUGCCAGCAAAGCGCGUCCAUGAGGAAGCACUUUGUCCACAUCAGUAGAAAACGCUUCCAUGAGGACGCGGUUUGUGCUGAUGUAGACAAAGCGCUUCAUCAAGGACGCGCUUUGCCCGUGUUUUUCAUCUGUUGGGAUUUGGGUUUUUAGGGUUAGGGUUAGGGUAAGUUACGGUUUUUAUGGUCUAAUGUUAGGGUUUUUUAGGGUUUAUGAUUUUUGUAAGGAUUUAAUUAAUUAAAUUAGGGUGUAAGAUUAAUUAAUUAAAUUAAGGUGUAAAAUUAAUUAAUUAAAUUAAAUAUUAAUUAAAAAAUUAAUUAAAUUCGAGUUUAGGGUUAAGUAAUUAAAUUUAUGUUUAGGGUUUUGGAAAAAAAAUAUAUGCAAUAUAAAUUAUGUAUUAGUGUAUUUAAAAUAAAUUUUUGGUUUUUUUUUCUUCAGUAGUAUCUGGAAAAAAAAAUUUAAGAAGAAGUUUCUGAAGAAAUAGUAUCCAAAACGCUUCAAGCUGGAUGCACUGUCAGCAAAAUUACUGAAAAUUGCUCCCACAUGGAUGUUUUUUUUCUACAGUGGUAUUGAGAAAAUUAUAAUUAAAAGACUAAAAACAACUUUUAUUUUAUUACAAAUAUAAAAGAGUAAAUUAUAAUUAAAAUACUAAAAACAACUUUUAUUUUAUUACAAAUAUAAAAGAGUAAAUUAUAAUUAAAAUAUUAAAAACAACUUUUAUUUUAUUAAAUGAAAGAAUAUAAAAAUAGUUUAUACAAGUAUAUUAAAAAAAUCAAUGUUGGUGCCGGUCGGAAUCAGUGCCACAUAAGGGUCGUCGACGGUUACGCGCUGGAUUCCUCCUUGGUUCAGGUUCCGGAGAGGGUUCUGGUUGCUCCGGCGGGGAUUGUGGUUCAUCCGGCUGGAGAUCUAGUUGUGGGUGUUGGGAGGAUGAGCCAUCUUGAUAGAAUAAUGACUGCGGAGGUGUUUGCAUCACCCAUGGCGGAGGUGUUUGAAUCCCAUAAGGUGAUGGGGAUUGAUAAAAAGAAGAGCUCCCCGAUGGCGCCUCGUGCGACAGCGGCCUAUAGGUUAGCGGUUGACUCGGAGUAAUUGGGAACGGAGAUGAACCGGGCCAUGCAUUCCAACCUGCCAUAGGACUGGAAAAAGGAAACAUAUAAGGGUUAAGAUAUAUAUAAGGACUAGGAUACGCAUCUGGCAUAAUCUGAAAAGGCUGUGAUAUAGGUGUCGUUGGUUGAAGUGUUGGGCCCGGUGACUGUGUGGGCACUAUUGAUGGGCCAGCUGAUUGUAUGGGCAUUGUUGAUGAGCCCGAGUCGUUAUCCCUUCUUCUUGGAUUUAAAGGGCCUCGUCAUUCCCUUUGGACACGAAUUUGUCGUCGCCUCUCUUCUUCGGACAGUAAAUAUGGCUUCCCAUGGAUCCUAAAUCAUAGCAUGUAUUCGGGCACGGACGCUAACUCAGGAACGAUGAUCGGUUCCCGAGUAGGUAUAUAAUCAUAUCGAUUCUCUCACAUUUUGAUAUAUGCUGAGUGGAAUCUCGGCCAAUCCGUAUGCAAUUGCCGUAAGUCUAUUUUGUGCUCAUCAUCGAGCAGCUCAGGUGCCACAGGAAUCGGUUGUUGGAAGCCAAAUUGCUGCAAUACUCGAUCUUACUGGUGUAUCUCCACGAUAGCAUAGUUGACCAAUGGGACCUUUACGUGCCAAACGUUCGGAUUUUGAAAUAAUUCAUCCGGAAUUACUGCCCGAAUUGCCGGAUCCUCGUAUGGUGUCCAUUGAAACUAUAUGAACAUAAUAAAAAUAUUAGUUGUAUACAUAAUACAUAAUACUAAAUACUAAAUACUAAACAUUAAAUACUAAAUACGAAACGAGUAUUUUAUUAUCUAUAUAUAUUUUAUUUAAAACUUACUUGUGCUUCCGACCAUUGGUCUAAUAAAAGCCGUAUAUCUUCAAGAGAUGUAGGUAUUCCAACAUAACUCGCCGAAUGGUUCCACCUAAUUAAAUAAAUUUUUAGCAAACAAUUAUAUUUUAAAUCUACGUAAUAAUUGUAAAAUCUAAUUUAAAAUUUACCUCGUUAUAAGUGGGAAUGUAUAUGGCUGGUCCACUCGAGGACGUAAAAAUGGAAAACGAAACCGUGCCUAUGAUUGCAGUAGUGAUAGGCAACCUCCGAUUUUGACUUUAUUCGGUCGUGUCGCCCCGCACAUCUCUCGGUACAAUGUUGCUAACACGACAGGCCCCUAACUAAGUUCACCAGUUACUCUAAAAUCAACGAGUUUUAGCAGCCAUCUCAGAUGUACGCGAUUUCGUGAUAAGUCCGGCAUUAGAUAACCUCCGAUCAUCUCAAGAAUGUAUGCCCGAGCAUAUCGUAUUCUUUCUAGUUCAGUCGAAUCAUUAUCCAACUCUGAAAAUGUGUCUCGUAACCAGCCCAUCUCAAUCCGAACUCCGUUAAUAUUAUCCGGAAUAGCACCCAAAAGCUCGUAACAUACGGCGCCCCAAUCAGCAGAAUAAGCAGACCCAGUGACCGUGUACCCAUCCACCAGCAAUCCCAAUUGCAACUCCACGUCUUCCAAAGUGAUAGUACACUCUCCGCAUGGAAGAUGAAAAGUGUGCAUUUUGGGUCCCACCUCUCUAUCAACGCACUGAUUAGUUUCGAGUCCAACUUGCACCCCCGGCCUAUUGUGGCCACGUGCCAAAAACCCGCGUCCCGUAGGUAACCCUCCAUCAGCGGUGAUGGAGGACCAGACAUAUUACGAAUAUAGCAUUGCAACACCCGAUCUACAGACUGUUAUAAAAAAAAUAUAAAAUUAAAAUUGCAUAAAUGAAAAAAAUAUUAAAUUGUAUUGAAAAAUUAAUUAAAAUUGCAUAAAUUAAAAAAUAGUAAAUACUAUUGAAAUAUUAAAAUUAUCACUUACCAUUGUCAUUUGAUCGACGGAGAUGUGUUUAUUAUCGAGACGAAUUAAUUCCCUUUCCAUUGCAAAAAUUUAAUUUAAAAUACAACUAAUUCAAAAAAAAAAAUUUAAUAGAGCUUUUUUGCAAAAAUUAAAGAGAACUUUGAGAAAAUUUGAGAGGAUAUGAGAUAAUAUGAGAGAAUUUUUGGAAGAAUUUGAGAGAAUUUGGAUAGGAGUACUUUUUUUGUGUAAAAAAUCAAGGGGAGGGGGUUUUAUAGUUUUUUUUUUUACCGUUGGGGGCCCAAUGGUCAAAUUUUUGACUGUUUGAAAAACACGGGCAAAGCACGUCCCUGAGGAAGCGCUUUGUCCACAUCAGCGUCCUCAGGGAAGCGUUUUCUGCUGAUGUGGACAAAGCGCUUCCUCAGGAACGCGCUUUGCUAGCAAAUAUCCUGACUUCGCGCUGAUGUGGACGCGAUUUCUCCGUUUUCGGCCUAUUCCGGUAAAUAAUUAAGAAAUCAGCCCAUUUCCGUAAAAAAAUUUGGAUAUGGAUCUUUAUUAGUAAAAUACCCCUAUAAUACAUUGACGGUAUAUUAAAUAAUUUUCCUUUUUUUUACUUCAAUUAGAUUAUUAUACAAAUUUUAUUUUUGAAGUUUUGCUUAAUCAACUUAUAUGAUUAUUCUUAAAUUUAUUUAUUUAAAUAUAAUUAUAAAAUAAUUAUUUUAAUAUUAAUAUAAAAAUUAUAAUAUUUCAGUAUUUUUUAAUACUAAAACAGACUUUUAAAAUAGUCCAAAAUUGAUUUGAUUCCAGCUUAAAGGGUGUUUUUUCUUCUUCCGGAGGGAACCUGAGAAACCCUAAACUUGAUUUUGGGCUAAAAUAGGCCGAUUCAUGGUUUAACCCAACAUAUAAUAACAAAGCCCAACUACGGAAAGGCCAUUAGGGAUUUAGGGUUUUAGCUUUUAAGCCUAUAUAUAUAAUCUCAAAGCCUUACCUUUCUCUUCCCCACUCUCCUCGCAGCCUCCGUAGAAGAACACUACACGAGUGGUUUUGAACUGCAAAAGGAGAUCGAUUUCGAAGCCUUUUCACCAUGAGAGCUAAGGUGAAAACGUCAAAACCCAAACCAUGAUCUUUUUGAUUUUUUUAUUGAAAUAUUGAUAUGGUUUUUUUUUUAUAUAAAUUGUGCUAAUAUCAGUGGAAGAAGAAGCGUAUGAGGAGGUUGAAGAGGAAGAGAAGAAAGAUGAGGCAAAGAUCUAAGUAGUUUAAUUUUAUCUUAAAGCAAGCAAUUUGUUCUAUGUUUCUUUAGAUUUUCUGUUGUUUGAUGGAUACUUUACUUUAAAAGGAUUUAAGUUAUCUUUAUCGAAACCUUUUGAAUAUUCUGGAAACUUGUUAUUUUCUAUUAACAACUUAUGGCUUUGGAUGUUAAUUUUCUAAUAUUUUUGGCUCAAAGUUGCACUUACUUGGUGUUCUCAUUUUAUCUUCAAAUGGAAAAUUAUGGCUACAGAUUUGAUUUUGGCGGAUGUAGCUAUUGACUAAGUUGAUGAGAUAUAGCUGAUUUCUUUGGGCCAUGAUUCUAGAAGUUCUGGUAUGAUUGUCAGAUUUUUCAUAUCUACAUAUGAGCAUAAGAAUAUUCGAACUCAUACCUUUCAAAAUAUUGCAUCAACAAUUAUGCCAAUUCAUUAUUCAACUUAGUUGGCGGUAUGUUUGUUCGAUAUGUGAAUGUGUUUCAUAUUAAUAUGUUAUGGUUUUCUAGAUUCAUAUUUUUAGAGAACUUUCUAGGUACAAUUGAAUCUGUUUUAAGCAUUGUUGAGAGAUUUGAUAGAAAUUUUCGAAGGAGACUAUUGGUCCCCAACAAUCAAAAGUAUUGUUUAUUGGGGUUUUUGUCUCCCGUCCAGCGACUACCUUGAGGGCUUGAUUCACAAAGCCAGGAGUACUUCGACUGUGGGUGUAUGGCCAUCCACCAAGAGAGUGUGAAUGUUUCAGCUUUUGUGAGGUAUGAAUCCUUGACCUAUGUUAUAUAGGUCACACUAGUUGGAGAAGAUGUACUAACGUGCGGGAGAAGAUCGACUGUGGGUGUAUGGCCAUCCACCAAGAGAGUGUGAAUGUUUCACCUUUUGUGAGGUAUGAAUCCUUGACCUAUGUUAUAUAGGUCACUAGUUGGAGAAGAUGUACUAACGUGCGGGAGAGAUCGGUUGAUUGCGUGGUGGAUAACAUUUUAGAAACUUUUUCAGGAAGAGUCUCAACAAGGAUUUUAUUCUAAUGUUCAUAUUCAAAUAAUAUUUGUUAGGUUCUUUAAAUACAUUUAAUUGUUUGAGGAUUAUAUACAUAUUUGGAUAAAUGUCGGAUAUUUUGAGAGAAAUGAAAAGUAAAAGAUGAGUUAUUAUGCAAUGGACAUUGAGGCAUGGAAAAAAAUUAAAGACCUAUAUACUCAUUUCUAUUAUAAAUUACACAAGUUUAGGCUCUACAAGAAAUAACCUUGGCAAAAAGAAAAGAAAGCAAAAUAAGCCCUAGAGGGAGGUAGAUUUUAAUUGUGCCCAUGACUUAAAAGUUCUUUACUUGAUUCACCAAGCCAAUGGCGUCGGUAACCGGACAAAACCCAUUAAUAGGUGUUACAAUGAUCAAUUCCCUUAGAGGCAAGUGGCGGUGGUAUAAGUGACCCAAGCCUGGUUCCCUUGUUUCGUUAAUGCGCUUUCAUCUAGGGGCAUGAAGCCGUCGGAUUCCAUGAUAGCUCGACACAAAGGUGAGCAGUGGUUCUCUCCUAAGGCGUGCUUCGAGUGAGCUCUACAUUGUUGUCAACGUCGAGAGCUUCAGGGGAAAUUCUUUCUCCAAGAAAUAAGAUCAUUUAAAGAGAUUACAAGGCUUUAAUGAAAAAAAAAUUGGAAAGAUAAAAAAUUAAAAGGAUAAAAAACUAAAAAGAUGGAAAACAUAUUUUUUUCCUAGGGAGAGAGAGAAAAAUGAAAAUAAUAAUUUUUCCAUACAUUGCUUGGUUUGCUUGGUGGAGUUAAAAUAUAGAAGGAAAUGAAAUGAAACAUCUGAAAAUACAUAAUUUUGAAUUAGCAUACACAUCUCCAUUAUUAUUUCUCCUCUCAACAUUUCAAUUUAGAAAUAUUGAUUUUUAUGUAUUAUCAUAGAAAAUCAUCCUCUCCUAUUUUCAUCCCAACCAAGUACACUCAAUUUAUUUUCUUUUCACUUUUUCAUUCUCUCCUCCCAUUUCUCCACUUCUUUUACCCACCUUAAAUGUAACCCCAAUGGUACAAAAUCUCUCAGUAGCUUCUACCAACCUUGUCAUUUUCUUUUUGUUUCCCUCUAUUUCUCUUUUAGACAUAAACCAAACAUCAGCUCGCAUUUUCUGAACAAAUUGCGAUGUCUUCUCACCCUUUUCUUUUCUUCACCUCCAAACGACAGGAAUCAAAGUUUUGAAUUGUAGCUUUCAUCCUUAUUAAUCAAGGAAACAUAAACCAAGUACAAAGCAUCUCUCAUUAUCGUAAACUUGCAAUUGUAAAAUAUACAUAAAUUAUGUGAAUUGACAACGCUAAGAACAAGCUAUAUUUUCUGCUUUGAUAGUCUGAUCUUCCAAACGACGAACCAUGUAUAAAACAGCAUCAAGGGAACUGUUUAACAGUUAUUAAUGAAACAAAUAUUUUUUAAUAAGCAAUGAGACAUACUUGAUCGCCAUUGUUAUCAUUGCAAAGGCGCAAAGCUUUUAACAACUCAAUGAACUCAGAGAACAGUUCAGGCGGAUCAUCGGAACACAUCAAAUUCAAACUCUGAUCAAGAUCCUGUUCUUGAUUUCGAGGUCAAUUACGUGUCCGGAAGAUCAAAAUCUACAAAAACUUGGUCGAUCCUCUCAGUCCGUUCUUGAUUUUUUUUUCCCCAUAAUUACAUCAUACGUGCAUUACUCUUUCGUGGCAUGUCAUUUUAAUUUUUUGGAUUCCAAACCUAUUGGACCCGUAUUCGCAUCACAUAAUCAUCAUUCCGAUCAAAAUAAUCAAAUCUAACUAAAGACCAGCAAUAAUAUUUAUUUUGUAUAGAAAAGAUGUACAUGUAUAUACUGCAAACAUAUUCUACCAAUAAAGAGUAGCCCAAAAAAAACAUGUAUAUGGAUCAUAAACAAAUUUUCUGUUUCGAUUUAGGAAAAGAAUGAAGCAAAAAGAAGAAACAAUGAAGUGGGAAGUGUUCUCGUAUAUACUGCUGGGUCAAUUCCAAGGACAUUAAAGGAAAAUAAAACUACAAAAUACAAAUAUGCAUGUGUGAUAAAAAUCCUCGGCUUACCUUCUUACCAGCAUCCAAAAAAAUGCCUCUUUCUACCAAAAAGUAAAAAAAAAAAAGAAAAAGAAAAAGAAGAGAAUAUUAGAACAUAAUAAUAUCACAUAAUAUCACACAGAUGAAACAUAGAAAUGGCAUUAUUAUAAACUGAUCUUCAAGCCUGAAGAAAUUGCCAUGAUUGGAACUAUGAUAUCAAUGUCUUAUUUGUCACAGCAACAGAAGGAAUCAACUCGGCUAAAAAAUAUCUUUCAAACCAACCUGUCAUGAGUUAAUAACUGCUGCCCAUUGGUGGCAUGCCAUAAGGUGGCAUCGGAGGCAUUCCCAUUCCUCCCAUGGGUGGUGGUGGAGGUGCAAAUCCACCACCCAUUGUUGGUCCUCCCAUUCCUGGCAUUGGCGGUGCAGGCAAGGCAAGAGGUAGUAACUGAGCAUACAUGUUCUGCAAUGUAAGACAAUUAAUUUUAUCAGUAAGAAGCAUUUUGAAUCAGUCGAAAAUCUAUCUACUCCCACUGUGCAGGGGUAGAGAAUACAUUAUCAAGAAAAAGGAGAUCAAUUUUCGGCUCUCCAAGUUAUUAUUACCUGUUGUGCAAUGACUUCUUUCUCUUCUUGCUCUUUAGCCUUUACUUCUUUUUGAGCUUCUAUCUUAUCCUUGAUAAGUUCAUCAACUUUGCCAGUAUAUUCACGGAUAAACUGUAAAUUCAAAGAGAAAUUAAAAAAGGUUCAAACAACAUAAUCUCAAAACAAAAAAAAUUACAGGUUGAACUAAGAUCAACCAUCCAAGCAUUCUAGCUAAUGAAACCCUAUUAACUGAUGAUACUGAAAGCGGCAGAGCACAGAAAUCACCUGCAGCAGAUAUGGAAAUGCGAAAUCAAUCAUAUUGUUGAUCCAGGCCAGUUCAAGAGCAACAUCCGCUCGAAUUAAGUCAUAACAGACAAAGAGGCACGAUGCAAAGCAUUCCUUCUUGCCCUGUACAAAGAGAACAUCAACACUGAAAUUAAGUACAAUUCAAAACAAUAACCAACAUUAUAGUGAUAAUAUCAUUAGGAAAACCACCAUAGUGCAAAAACAAACAUCAGUUAACUAUACUUUCCAUGUCCUAUACCUAUAGUACGAUAAUUGAGUAUUAUGUCUAUACUUUCUAUGUUACUCAGACUCGGAUGUUAGUGUGGGAUAGAAAAAAUGUGUCUGGCACAAAGUAUAUUUAUGUUUUUCUUUUUUUAAGUUUUUCCAUCUAUUUGAACAGUCCUUGGAAGGUCAUAUCCCAUUAACCGUGUCCAAAUAUGCGCUGGAAAUAAGUGUCAGACACAGAUAUUUCAAGAAGAAAGAGUAGAAAAGCAUAACUCAUAUUUGCACCGGAAAGGAACAAGUGGAAGAGAGCACAAUAACAUAAUUAGGAGUAGCAAUUGGCCAAAAAGGUGUAUUGCUUUCUACCUCCAAAGUCCAAACAGAUAAUCAGUCAGCAUAUAUAUUUUUUUAUGUAAUUUGGAAUGAGUUCAGUACCUGUUCAAUGAAGUAAACAAGCAACUCCUCGGCAAGUUCACGUUCACCAGACUGUGAAGCUGUUUCCAUUGCAUCUCUGUAAUGGUUGUCCUUCUUUGACAAGGCAAUGGACUGCUUCCAUCUGCCUGCCUUUUUGUAGAUGUAUGCAGCAACACGCCUCAUUUCAAGCAGCUCAUGUUUCUCAAUCUACACAAGCAAUUUGGAAAUAAUAUCAGAAACAAACCCAACACCAAACACUAAUGUAAGAAAAAGAGCACUUCACCUUUUGUGCAAGUCCAAUCUGAUCAAAGUUAUCAUGCAAAUCAAUAGAUUCUCUUAAUCUAUCAUAAUCUUCUUCCUCCACAUAAAUCUCAUUCAAUGCCUCGUUUACUGCCGAUACAUUGUUGCUCUGAACAGCAACCAUGUAUGGCUUCACAAGACGUAGAUGGCCAGCCUGAAAUUCCAAAAGGAAAUAAUAGUGAGCCCAAAAUGAACUAUGGUAAUAACAAAGAAAAUCAUUUAUUUCAAUAUUAGAUCAUCUUUUGCCAGAAUUGAACCUUUCUCAUAAUGUCAACAACUCGAGUGUGAUCCACACGAAGUGCAAGCACGUUCAGCAGAUCAUUGAUGAGAUCUGGAUGUUCUUGCAAGUAGAAGUGGACAGCCUUGUAAUAGAGCUCAACACUAGCAACUUUGACAAUAAUAUCUUUGAACUGCAUAUGAUCCCAUGCUUCAGGAGAGUGGUUCAUGACAGUAGUUGCAGCAUUAUCAAACUCGUCAUAUUGGAUAUACAAAUAGGUAAGUUCCUUCCAAUGCUGCUGCUCAUCACAAGCUCUUAUCAGUUUGGGAAUGUUGAGACGCGUAGAGAACAAUUUAAUGUGCUCCAUAAGUUUCUCUGGACGAUAUCUGGCAUACAGGACUCCCAACUCAGUAAAGAUACCCAUGUGUGCACGCUCCAAUCCUAAACCACUCUCCAUAAGAGAGAUUAACUCAUUGAAGCAUCCUCUAUUCUGAUAGUAUUCACUGACUUCUUCCAAGUCAUCCACCUAGAAAAUCAGCAAACAUAAUGGUCAAAAUCAAUGGGGUCAAACAGUCUCCAACAGACAAACAUGAGAAGAAGAAAAGGGGAACUGUAUGCGCAAUGACUAUUGCUCCUGAAAAUUGCAAGUCAACUGGAAAGUAAACUCACCUGCACAAUAACAUUAAGACCACAUAUUUGUGCCAAUCUGAAUUCCUCUGCAUCAACACAAGCAAAGCAAACUUCCUUCCAUGUCUUGGCACUGUUUGCUUUCCGUGCUGCAUCAACAGCACCCUGGAAUUGUUUAAGUCUCACAAGUGUAACAGCCAACUUAGCCCAGUUAGAUAUAAAUGCAAAUAUUAUUUUUGCAGCUUCAUAUAGUUCUUCAUCGAACAACCGAUCACCGACAUUUUGAAGAUUAGCCACAUUUGGCAUGAGAAUGAAUUCUUCAAUUUCACCCAGUCUAUCAAUCUUUGCAUAUGCAUAAAUGAGUUCACUGUCAACCUUGGGCUCCUUGACUUUCUGCCUGACCAUCAGAAGGUACCUUACGAGAUCAGGGUAGACAUUAGCAUCCUCAGAAGCUCGGAUGACAUCAAGGAAGUGAGUAGCAUCAUCUGCACGGAUAAAUGAUUCAAUUGCAUCGCUCACCAGCCCUUCCCUCAGUUGUGCCUUUGCCACCUGACUCCAAACAGCAUCUUCUUCAACUCGGAAGGCAAAUUCCACGGCUCGAUCAAUGCUUCUAAUGUUAUCCAGUAAAACAUUGACAGCCUGAACAUUUAAGUUAAACUUCUUGAAAAUUGAAAAAGCUUCUUCAUAUAGUUGAGCUUCCACGGCCACUUCUCCAACUGCUGGUCCAUCAAAGUUAUCUAGCCUAUUAAUAUAAUCCAUAACUCGAGAGGGAUCUGCCUUGAUAGCUGUCAAAAUAAGUAGAUUUUGCAGAUUAAAGUUCCCACUGAAUGCAGAGUUUUGGAGCACAAUCUUCUCAAGAAGCUCAAUUAGUUCAUGGGGCAGGUCAGCAGUCAUGAAAGCUUUAACAGCAGCAGAGACUUGUUCUGGACUUCUGCUUUCUGGCAAAGCAGUUGACACAACCUGAUCAAUUAGAUGUCUUCUAUAUUCAUUUUCAGGAUUUAGAACCUUCUCCCAAAGAUCGCCAUCCAUCCUCUCAACAACAUACCUGUGAUCAAAGGAUGGUGCACCUAUAAGCCACUUAAAAACAAAAAUCUGAUAUAUCAUCAUAAAUAAACUAAAGAAUUGCAUACCUGGCCUGCAAUUUGAACAACGAGUUCUUAUUUGUGACAUUGAUAAGUUCAUCAUCACAUUGUCCUCUUCGGUAAGCCACAACUGCCAAGGUGGGAUCACGUUUCUCACAAUACUUACCAACAACCCGGGAAUCAUAGUAAGGAUUGGUUGUGAGGAAGUGCUCUGGAUUGUUGUUGCUUUCAAUGAUGAUUUUACCAAGAGCAUUGUGGACAUGCACAUCUUGGCUUCCCUCACUCACAAGAUGCUCCAAGAACUGCGUAAGCAAACGAAGUCGAUUUCUGGAAAUCACAUGCAGGAAGAUGAGAAUCACAAAGUAGUGAACAAAGGAAAUGAGGACCAAAGAUAUGGUAAGAAAUCACCUCUUCUCACAUUCAUCCACAAGUGGCUCAACUGGAAGCAAGGAACGGACUGAGAGAAUGAGACCUUUAAUAAAAUCUUCAGGGCAUUCAUCAUCAAGCAACUGCCCCACUACCAAAGGAGCAUUGCCCGGGUUCACCUGUCAAAAGAAGCAAGUUCACAAUUACCUGGGUUUAAAUUGAACUCAUAUCAUAUGCCAGUAAACAUAUCCAGUCAAGAAAAUUGUAUACCUUCUGAACAUAACCUUCAAUGUAACGGAGCAUGUUAUUUGUGUAGAGGUAGUGGGUCAGAUCAGGAACAAACCCAAAUCGAUCACAAACAUUAAUCAGGGGCCUAGCAUCAGGAAGCUUGGCCUCCAUCAGGAAGUUCUUUGUCUUUUCAGCAUCAUAGAAGUUUGAUUCUCUGGUCACACGCUCAACCUCCUUUAUUUGUCCAGUUUUAGCAGCCGCCUCAAUGUACUUAAAGUGUAUAUCGGGGUCCUCACUGUCCCAUAAUCAGAACCAACAUAGUAAGUGCCAUAUUAGAUAUAUUAGAUAUAUCUGCAGUAUGCCCAAUCAAACAAAGGACAUUUCUUGUUUGCUAAAUAGCAUACCUUGAACUCAAAUAAGAUCCCAGGAAAAAGUACAAUCCUUCAUAUGACUUAAACUGCUCAAAAAGUUUUAUGCAAGCCUCAACACCCAACUGCUCACAGUACUCCUUGGCAACCUGCACAGCCACAGCUUAGCCUUCGGUGAUUUACUAAACAUUAUUAGCAUACUAUUAUAUAACAUGCUUUACCUGAACAAUUAUUUGAAGGUUGCCUCUUAGAUUAACCAGAAGAAGGUCCUUCAUGCACUCCAAGGCCCAUUCUCGUGAAAGAGUGCCAAAAAACUCAACAAGCGACUGAAAAUAGAAUUAUUAUUGAAUAAAAAUAUAUCAGGAUUUAGUAGUCUAAUUUUUCCAAGAGAUAAAGAUAGCAGAAAACAUGUACCUGAGGCUCAAUAGCAUGUGUGUUCACGAUGACACGUUUAAUGUCAGGCAACUCACUGUAAUGCUGCAGAAAAAGAUCAAUGAGAUAAUUACCUAAAAGUUAAAACAACACAAGAUGCAACAAGUAAAAAUCUAAAUAAGAUGAUUACCUGCAGAGCUCGCACAUAGAGACCAGCUUUCUCACAAAGUUGUGCAAUUCGAGGGCGAUCAUAGUGACUGAACAUUCCAUUUGCUAAGAUGGCAUCAGCAACAUUAGGAAAAGUUACUAGAUUGAUUUCCAAAACCUGCAUAGAAAAGAAUGUUGUUGACCUUAAAUUAUUCUUUUCAAAAUUAAAACCAAAAUUAGAUUAGCUGAACCAGCACAUAAAAUAUAUAACCUUCGUCUGUAGAAAAGCAUGCUCUGGCAGAUUUGGCUUCAAAACAUCUAAAAGAAAUGCGGUAGCCUCCCGUAUCAAAUUCCUCUGAAAAAAGGCAGAUAGCAAAAGGAAACAAUCUCAUGUACAUAGAAACAUAAGGUUAUUGACACAACCAAUUUGAUGAGCAGCAGACCUGAAGAAAGAGGUCAGUAAUAGUGUUGUAAUCAACCGGACAACCUCCCUCCAUUUGAGACAUCAUCAAUGCAAAAUUAACAGCUCCCUGCAAGUAAAACAAGAAGCAAGAACCCAUUUGUCAAUGAAAAUUACACAGAUUCAAUCCCCUAAAAAAAUCUCAUAAUAGUAGCCGUUGAUUGGCAAACAAUAAAACAAAGGAAGCUUUUACUUUAAUCAGAAUACUCAUAAAAUUUUAAUUAAGAGGCUCUAAUGAAGGGAAUUAACACAAUUGAAUAUAUUUAUCGAUUGGUCAUAUGGCAUGCCUUCAAUACCUCAAACACUAAAGACUACAAGAAGAAGAAUGACGAACCUGUGGAUCUGUACGAAGAAUUGUUUGCAGAAGGAACAGAUAGUCAGGAGAGUACCCAACCUGAGGAAACAAUUUAGUCAUGAAUAUUCAAUGCAAGCAUUCACAGAAAUGUAAAAAGCAAGUGGAGAAAAAUUCUCAUCUUGAUAGGCUGUAAAAAGGAGAGCACACAUCAAUCACACCAGAAAAUGCUAACAGCGAAGAAAAUGCAGCAAUUACCUGCUUUGAGUAUAUUAAGAUUUUGUCGAACUCCCUACGUUCUGCAAAAGCUGCAACAACUUUAGGAGUUGCUCUAGCUUUAAUGUAUAUUUUCAGUGCAAGAUCAUUAUCCACAGUCUACAACAAAAGCAAAAUGAAAGUAGAAGGCAGCAAAAAAGAGUCAAAACAGUCCCAAUUUUAAAAUGAAAUUUAGAUACAACUGAAUAAGAUACAGAUACAUUUCUAUUAGAGAACAAAACAAACCUUCACAAGGUCUCCAAGUUCCUCACUACAUUCCAAUUUAUCUUCAGCCAACCAAUUCUCUAGAAGAUUCUUCUUGUUUUGAUUUACCACAAGUCGAGAUAAUUCCAAUGACUCAAAGGCAUUGAGCUUUCCCUUUGUUAAAAGUGUACCAAAAUACUGCAACAGUGGUGGAGUCUGCCCAGCUUGCACAGGUACACUCUGCAGCAUUCAAAUAAACAUUUCUGCCUCAGAUAAAAUCAACACAAACAUAAAAACCAGAAUCUGCAUUAGCAAAAAGGGAAAAGCAAAUAUUACCUGAAACUUGGCAACUGUAUCAGGCGUGCGAAGGAUCCCCUGUGGAGACUCUGCUGCAAGCUCAGCAGCUUCUUUAUACUUUGUCUGAGCAAACAAUUCUUGAAAACGUUGGACAACCUGAGAUAUUAAAAACCACAGAAUCAAAACCCUAGUAUAUUCUUAAAAGAACAAAGUAAUCAUAAACAAGGAUCUAAAUAAACAGAUAAAAUUGAACAACUUAAACUACAUAUUUUUGUUAACAACACUCGGCAUCAGAUAUAGAGAACACAAAAUCUAAUUAAGCAAUCCAAAUGCUAUCUCCAAUCUCAGCAUUGCAGCAAGACCGAAGAGAUCCCAGAAUCAUUGAAGAAAGUUACCACAAAAGUAACUGUUGGAUAAUAUAGAUUACUCCUUGGGAUAUUAUUGUCUGGGAACUAAAACCUACGGUUAAUAAUAUCAGGCUCUUACUUCUCAAUUGUCAUUUCAAUGCAAAGAUCCACAAACCAUAGACCAAGCUAUACACAUAUCAAUCAACUUACCAGGUUCUCUGCACCUGGAAGGUUUCCUCUUUUAGCCAGAUUGACAGCAAGCUCCAAAUUGUUCAACUGAAACGGAAAACAACCCGGAAAAGUUGUAAGCCUGCAUGUCUCACCUUAUUGAUAUCAGAAAACACAUGAAAGGCACAAAAACAUACUUGACCGCUAACAAAUGGCACUAUUGUUGCUUCAUUUACAGUAGCCAACAACACCUGACCUCGCCUGUUGAUGGCAUAAAACCCUCCUGCCGACGAAGCUUCAGAUGUUAAAAAUAUUGGGUCUGGACUUAUUCUAUUUCUGUAUACAGCAGUCGCAGUCUCUAGAUCAUAAACAAACAGCAGCCCAAGCUUUGUGAUAACGUAGAUCAAACUAUAUUUGUGUGAUAUCUGCCAUUUAACAGAAACAUGUCUUAUUAAUGGCACAAAAGUUUGAAAAAAGAUUUACCAAGAAAAACAAUCAAAGUUGAGGACAUUAUACUACCUGCAUUGCAACUGGAAAAUCAUCUUGAAAAUCUGGUGGAAAGAAUAGAUCUGCCUGUUUCUUUGAAAAUGAUGGCUUACCUGUCAUAUUAGAGGUUUUGUUAAAAGGUUCGAAAUUAAAUGGACAGGAGAUACAACACAAUGUUGUAGCUACUACGUUGUUUUCAAGAAAAUAGUUAAUAUACAGCCAGUGCCAACACAUGCCUCCCAUCAAAAUUAACUUAGAAUAGUCUAGAUCAUGAUUUAGAGUUUGCUACAGAUAAAAUUCUAGGAUUACUGAAUUAAACCCCAAAUGUUAUUUGACUACUGAAAGGGGCAAUGGCAAAUUGAUCUAUUUCUUUAUUUUUAUUUUUACAUUCAUUUUUGAAUUCACUUAGACAGACCCUCAGUUUCCCCUUAUAUACGAGAAGGAGAUAACAAAAGUAUAACAGACAUCAUAGCAAGCAGACCUGGCUGGGCACCAAGUUCAAUUACAUGCAACUUUGAUACAAUUUGGCCAGCAUUAAAACUCUUGGUAGCAAAAGAAAUAAGAAUAGAAGGAUUCUCAUUUCCUGGAACCUGCACAACACAAACAAGCAUAUACAAUAAGCAGGCUAGUUAAUUAGGGUAUCAUAUCUAGGGAAUAAAGUACAAAGAAAUCUCCUUACCUUAAAUUGUGCAAAUGAAGCAGCAUGAGAUUCAAGAGCUUGACUACGCUGCUGAUCAACAGAGAAAAGUUGCAUGUUCCCCUUCACCAAUUGUGGCCUCUAAAGAGACAAGACAUGUAGAUCAAAUCAGAAUUACAUAGUAGCAGCAGAACAUUUUUCUAGAAAGCGAAUUUCAUCAGUAAUAAUGAUUAUGCAAAGAACUAUUCUAACAGUAGAAAGACAAGAUGGGGAAAAGGAAAAGGUAAAGAAAACUAGAAAAGGGGAUUACAGGGACGCAAAUCCUAAAGGACACUGCAAGAGACAGAAUUAAUCACCCAUAAGGGUCAUAAACUAAUUCAGAGUUCUCUAUAGCAGUUUGAGCUAUGGGCCACACAACAACCACGCCAGCUAGAAGAACUUCUUAGGCACAGUUAGCUUAGGGUAAUGUUUUGAGUAUGUUACUUUAAAAAUUCUGUUUUUGAUGUAGAACAAAAUUUACUUAACAUUUCGCAGUUUUCCAAAUCCCAAAACUCAAUACAAAUGAAGCAACAACCCCUUAAAAAAACACUUUAGAAAGCAUUGAUAAGGCAACACCUACCUCAGGUGCACCAGGGGCAAUUCCAAUCAAAACCAACCACUUCUCCGAAGGAUCACAUUUAUAGUUUAUUAUCUGAUUGUUCACCAAGUUUGCUGUUCUUUCAAACAUCUUAACUGGCUCAGAAUCACCUGCCAGAAAUAAGAUGCAGUGAGACUUGUAACACACAAAAUACUGUUUAAUAGAUAAAAGUACAUUCAGAAAAAGAAGUUUUUAGAGCUGAAAAAAAACAGCACCUGGGAUACUAGAAAAGUUAACAGAAUAACUUCUUACCUUCAAUUGACCAAUGAUACACGGAGGUUUGUGUGACCAGACCAAGCGUUUUUGGGGUAAUCCAUUUCCAGAAUACAACCUGAAAUGAACCAAGGGCAUUUUGCUAAGGUCAUGCAAUCAAGUUUAGCAUUAAGGAAAUACAAGUAAAGCAGAGGCCGACAGAUACUGCAAUAACAAAAUUGGAACCAUUAAAAAAAAAGAAAAAAAUUGAGACAGUAAAUGCAUUUGACCGGUUCAGGCAUCUGAUGCGAUUUAAUUUUCGCUUUCAUCUCUAUGUUAAAUAUUUGCAAGUGAUCUUGAGUUGUUCCCGGUAGUUGAGCUACAAAAGCAAUUUCAUAUUCUGUUAGCAUAAAGCAUAGAUAGAUUUUAAAAAUUAAAGAAGACAUAAAAUUUAUACUAGAGAUAUUUAAUCUCCUUCUCCCUUAAUUAGUUUUGUUAAAAGGAAUGUGAAGCACUUGUAUGACUUCCAUUUCAACCAUAUUUUUGUUGCAUUACAGGAUCAAAUUGAAGUAAUUUCUGCUAUAAGAACAUGCUUGCUCUAAGCAGUGCUGAACAACUGUUUGAUUUGCAAAUACACCCAAGGAAUAUAUGGAUAAAACAAUAGGGAAGUGAUAAUUACUCUGACCGUAUAUCACAUACACUAAGAUUCCAUAAGCUGGGUCCUUGCAGUUAACAUGUAUUGCAACAUUCAUUUGUUCAUUUUAGAAGCAAAAAGCAAGUAACAAAUAUUAAACACAAGGAUGGUAAGUAUCAUUUUGAAAAAUAUAUUGUAAACAAGUAUUCCAUUAAGAAAAACCUCAAACACAACUAGGUUCUUUGUAAGGCCAGAUGCAAAACAGAUCAAUAUCAUGAAUCCAAUCUGUGCUCUAUGGACCACACAAGACAGCGAUAUUAAAUAUACAACCCAAUAAUCAAUAACAAAAACGCUAAAUAAUUAAUAAUCACUAUCAAUUACUACACACAUUUAACAAGCUUCAAUAAAAAUAACAACUUAAGGCUGGCAGUUAGGUAACUGACCUUUCAAAGCGAGGAUUCUGGAAUUUGGAUUCAUGAGAGCAGAGUCAGCUGUAAUAGGCCGUCUCAACGGCUGCAUCGGCAUGCUCAUGUCGAUGAUCACAACACUAUUUUGUGGCGCGGUUUCCCUCACACAAAUAUACUUAUCAGAUUCCAUAGUUACAUUCGUGAAUGUGAUAAAUUGUGGAUUAAUACCAACGCUCGGCAACUGCAAACAGACAACAUCAUCCAGAUCACUCAAAAUUCUAACUAUGUCAAAACGUAAGGAGCAACUUUCAAACAGAUCUAAGCAGGUUUUACAGAUACUAGAUCUGAUAAAGUUUAUAAAGUAUUCGAUUAAGCUUGGCAACCGUUGAUUAACUAUAAUUCAGCUGAAUUUUCUAUAAAAUAAACGACCGAACCGAAACGAAAGAGUGAGAGAAGGAGAGUGAAAGGAGAAUACUUACAGUUAAAACCUCCUUCAUGGCGAUGGGAGCGUUCGCGGCCGCCAUGGUGGCUCAGAUCAAAGGAUGAAGAUCCACGAAUCAGGAGCGGAUCUAACGGCUGAGAUUGAAUCUUUCAAUCGCGAGUCAAAACUGAACACUGAGAAAGAGACGAGCAAAACUAUAAAAAAAAGUACUUUGCGAAGAGAUCUGAGGCAGAGAAUUAAAGCAUUUGAAAAGAGAGAAAGUGAAGCAGAUGGGAGAGAUCCAAUCCAAGGCACCGGAGAAAGUGGAACGGACGUGUAAAAAAUGUGCCUUGAAACACUGGUGUGCGCAUUAGCUAGCUCUUGGAUUAAUUAUAGAUGCUGGAUCCGGGUAACAACCCGGUCCAAAUUUCAUUUUUAUUUUUAUUUUGAAAGGAGUCAUUUGCAAAAGCAAAAGCAAAUGUAAAUAAAUAGUAUUAACCUAUGUUAAAUGUGACAAAAACUGAAUUAAGGGAUCCAAAAGAUUAAAAAACACAUGUAAAUUCAACUCUUAGUUGGUGUUGGACUCACUAAAUAUCAUUUAAAAUUGAUUUACGUUUUAAAUAAAUUGAUUGUGUAUCAAAUUAUUGUGUAUAAUGUUUUAUAAAACAUCACAAAGGCAUUUUACAAUUCUAAAAUUUUGCAUUCCCUGAAUAAUAAAAGAUGAUAGUGGAGAGCCAACUUUCUUCGCUAAUAACAUCAGAUUACAUUAUGGUUACACUUUCCAUUUAUGUUUGAAUUUGUUAACCUUAACUUGUGUCCAAAUCUACUCCAAUAUAUAUGCAUCUUGAAUAUUGUAAGAGAAUCAAUUCGUCUCUUAGACUAUCUUCACUAGAUCCAAAGUUUCUCUCGGAAUAUGGUUGAAUUAUUCAUUUUCCAUAUUACCUACAUGGUACAUGUCAUUGUCAUAUAAAAAAUCCUCAAUUCCGUUGUGAUGUCACGAGUAUAAUCUUGUUAGAGAAUUAGUUCAUCAUGGUUCAUUGUUUGCUGAUUAACAUAUAACAUCAUGCCCAUAAUCGUUUUGGAAAUACACCACAUUAAUUUUCAACUAACUUUCUUGACAUUGCCUUAAGUCAAUUUCUCACAAAUCAUAAGCAGUGGCAAAUCCUAAAAUUAAGUUUUGGGGGCUCUAGUAAAAUUUUUAAAAAUUUUAAGAGUUUAAUAAGAAUUUUUUUAAAAAAUAGGGUUUAAUUAAAUUUUUAUGAGAUUAAUAAGAAUUUUAAGAGUUUAAUUAUUUUUAAGAAAAAAAUUAAAUGGUAUAGUGAGAAUUUAAAAAAAUUAAAUAAUUAAAAUCUUCUAAAAAUUAGAAAAAAAAAUUUCCAAAACUUUGGAGUCUUAGGCACUUAUAACGUUCCACCCCUAAUCAUGAGUCACUUGCACAUCAAAAUGAGCAAUGUGAAGGAUAAGCUUAGUUGGUAGGCAAACAUCAUUUAAUGGAAUUGGUUAGACUAGCUACAAAACUGGAAUCAAACUCUAUACUUGAAUCUGACUCUAUGCUGAAGUCUAACUUUAGGCUGAGAUCUUUAUAAGAUUGAACUUGCUAUAGGUGUUGAUUAGCCUAGAAUUCAUACCUCAUAGAUUGGAACGAAUUAGUGACCCUUAUGCGUGCUUGAAAGUGAGUGAAAUUAGCAACAUGUAUGGAAUUGUACUGGUUAAGCUUGGAAAGAAGUUAUAUAAUGUGAGCGUUGAUAAGUCAUAUCCAAAGUCUCAAUAUAUAAUUUCUAUCUACACCUUCAAGAUACGUUUAUCAUAGUAGGCAUUUGUCCACAAUAGAUUAAAUAACCAAUCAUACCACAAUAAAAGUAAAGUUUAUUAAUCAUUUCGUAAUCAAACUUCACUCAUGUAACAAUUUCAUCAUCUUCUUGCAUAGCACAGCCUGGUAUUAAAGAUUCUAACGAACAAAAUCAACCCAUAUAACUUUCCCGACAAAUUAGAUAAGAUGAACAAUGAAAAAUAGAGGUUGAUAUUCUAACCAAAAAAAAACCCAAAGUUGCAUCGAAAUAUAAACAUAUGAAAACUAAGUGUGUACCUAAAGUAUAAUUUGGUGUCCAUCUAGUGAUCAUAAAAAGAGCACUCUUUAUUCUCAACAUGCUACCCAUAAUUGUAAGUUCUUAUUUUACUUGACAUUUCUUGUAAAUGAGCAUUGGAAAACCAUUUAACAAUCAUGUAAAUAGUUGAUAAUACAAUGGCUCCAAAAAUCUUGACUUACUAGCUCAUCCCAGUCAUAAUUGAUGCUUAAUAUGAUUUUUUUAUAUGGUUAAGUAUAGGGGUCAGCACUCGAUCGAAUCGAGUGAAAAGAUAUUUGAGUUAAUCUAGUUGGUAAGUAUUAUUUUAUCAUCUUAACUUAUUUUGAAAAAAAUUUCGAAUCAAGUUGAGUGAAACAAAAUUCGAGUCAAGUCAAGUUGAAUCGAGUGUAAUUAAAAAAUUAAACAUAUCAAAUUAAAAUUUUAUUACAGUAUAACUAAUUUCAUAUUAAAACACAUAAAUUUGAAACUACAUAUAUUUGAAAACUUUUUCAAAGCAAAAUAAUAAAAAAAAUACUUAUAAACUUAAAUAAUUAAUUAACUUAUUUAGGUCUCAAAAUUAUUAAAAAUUAUUUUGAUUUUUAUUGUAAUUUUUGUUGAGAGAUAAAUUUGUUCAUUUUCAAACUUGACAGAGACCAAAAGAGCAUUUACACCAAUCUUUUCUUUGAAUUGCAAAAUUUAAUUCGAUUCGAACUCGAAACUCAAAUUAUUUAUUCGAAUUGACUUGAAUAACUCGAUUCGAUUAACUUAAAAUUUAAAAUUUUUUUCGAUUUAUCAAGUUUUGUUAACCCCUCCUUAUUAACAAUGUGAUAGACGUUUUGUAUUCAAAUUUGCAUACUAGGGUUGAGGAAGAAAAAAAAAGCAAAGAAAUAAAAAAUUAUUAAAAUGAUGGAAUUUGGACGAUUUUUGAAAUAUAAGUUUAAGAAUUAUGAUUAUUUGAAUAGAAUUAAAUUUUAUUUUUUAUUUAAUUUAUAAUUAAUUAUAUUUUUAUGAUAAAAAUUAUAUGUAAAAUAGUGAAUAUAAUUUUAAAGUCAUAUAUAAAAUUUAUUUUUUUAAAAAAAUUUGUAAGAGUUAUUGAUUAUUUUUAUUUACUUGAAAUUUAUUUUUUUUAAAAUAUUUAUAAGAGUUAUUGAUUAUUUUUAUUUACUUGAAAUUUUAUUUUUUUUAAAAUAUUUAUAACAGAUAUUUUAAAAUUUUAUCAAAUAAUAUCUAAAAAUCAUAAAACAAAACUCAUUUUAUAAAAAUAAAUUCAAAACCCCAAAAUCUAUUAUAAAAAAUAAAAAAUUAGAUAGAAACAAAUCAAACCAUCAAUCUAACCCAACUCACUCCUAUUAUGUACAUCCAAGAAUGGAUCUAGCUAGGCAGGCAAAAGUUUUUGAGCCCCUAAAAUGAUUUUAUUUAUUUAUUUAUGUCAUUUAUAAUUUAUAAAUUUUAAAUUAGUAAUAGUAAAACUAUAACUUUGAUUUAUAAAAAAUAAUAAAAAUUUGAUUUAAUCAUUUAAAAAUUAUAAAAUUAUAGACUAUUAAAAUAAUAAAAUUAUACUUUUUUAGUCUCGUGAAAAAAUGCUGGCUUUUUUUAUUGGUCGUCUACAAUUGGACUCUUUUUGGGCACAUUUGGGAUUAGCAAAGCCCAUCAAUGUCCACUUGAAACUAUAAACCAUAUUUGGAUAGACAUUUGUGCGUGACCAAAAAAUUAUGUCAAUUAUAAGAUGAUUUAUAAAUAUUUGGUUUCAAAAAUUAAUUUGAGAAGAUAUAUAAUAUUUAUAAUGUUAAAAUAUUAUUACUAAAUGAAAUUCAUAUAAUAAUUAGUUUCUUAUCGCUCGCAAUGUAGAAGCUUAAUAUAAAUAAUAUUAAAUUUAAUUUUUAAAAAUUUAUUACAAAAUUUAUAACUCUUAAAUGUAUAGUUUGUAUUAUGAUUAGGAUAAACUAAAAGAAUAGUCACCUAAUAAUGAGAGUAUUUCUAUUUUAUUUAUCCAAUUAGAAAAAUUUUAAUUUAGUCAUUAAUAUUUUUAAACUUUAAAUUUUUUAUCAUUUUUCCGCUAAGUCAUUAAUCGUAAGUCAACCAUUAUAAUUUUUUUAUUGAUAUAAUAAUAAUAAUUUUAGUCUUUUAAAUUUAUACAUUUUAUCAAUUUAUUUUUAAAUCUAAAAAUUCAAAAAAUAUAUAAAAUAUUUUUGAAAAAAAUUUAAAAAUCCCAUUUUUAUAAACAUGAAAUAUCUUAUCCUUGUAGUUUUCAUUUAAUAUAAAAUAGAAAACUUUGAGCUUGUUUUUUGGAUUGGUGUUUCUUUUUCUGAAUUUGUUAAACGUGCCAUAGUGGAGGAAUUGACGGGAUUUGGAGCAAGAGUGCACACAUGUUCACGGAAUGAAAAUGAGCUUAACAAAUGCUUGGUAGAUUGGAAAAGUUCAGGCAUUUAAGUUUCUGGUUCUAUCUGCGACGUAUCCAUUAGAGCACAAAGAGAGAGUUUAACCGAAAAUGUUAAGUUUUGUAUUCUACGCAAUUGAUCUGGACUGUUGUCAAUAAUUAAAUGUGUUAUUUUUAUGUUGGGAUUUUGUCUUUAUUUUUCGUGAAAAGUCAUGUACGAUUUAUAAAAGAGUCGUUUUUAUUGAUGAAGAUCAAUACCCAUAGGACUUAGGAUAAAUAUUAGUAUUAGAUGUGUGAAUAAUUGUAGAGAUAUCUACGUACAUUGUAACUCGAAUAAUCUAUCCUGACAUUUAAGGUGCUUAAUUAUAUGAAUUGAAAAUAAUUAUAUAAAUUAAAAAUUACAUAUUCAUUAACUAAAAUUUUAAAUAUAAUAAUAAAAUUUGUCAAAAUAUAAUUUUAAGCAUUAUAUCGAUUUAAAUAACUAAAAAUAUUAUUUUGACAAAUUAUUACGUAGACUGGAAAUGGCAAUAUUAAACUAAGGCUUAGUUUGGAUGGGCGGUGUGUUUACCUCCGGUGAGAUUAAAAAUAGCGAUGGCGGUGAGAUUAGUUGCUGUAACGGUGAGAUUAGAUACUGUAGCGAUGAUAUUAGAAACAAUAGUGGAGUUUGUGUUUGGAUUCAAACAUAUAGCUGUAGCGGUGAGGUGAGAAUAAAAAAUGACUAUUAAGAACAUCAGAUUAGAAUUGAUAUAUAAUAGAAAUUUUUUAAAUUAUUUUACUUUUUUAAAAUUAUUAAAAUAUGUGAAUUUAUAAAUUCAUUUAAUAAAAUAUUAAAAAUGUAUCUUCUAAUAUUUUAUUAUAAAUAUUUUAAUGAAUUAUAUAAUCAACUUAAAUUAUUUAUUAGAUAAAAUGAUAAUUAUUUUUAAAUCAAAAUAAUUAAAAAUAUGUGAAUUUAUAAAUUCAUUUAAUAAAUAUUAAAAUGUAUCUUUCAAUAUUUUACUAUAUAAAGUAAAAAAAUUAACAUUUUUAAAUCAAAAUAAUUAAAAUUUAAAAUAAAUAAUCUAAAAGUAGUUAAUUUACUGAAUAGUAAAUUAAAAUUUCUUUUGAUAAUAAUGUAUAUUAGUUUCUUAUAAAAUAAUGGGGAAAAUGUUUAUUAUUUUAAAUUAAUAAAAUUAUCUCACAAUGAAAAUACAAAAUUAUUGAAGUAGAAGGUAAAAUAAAGAAAGAGACCAAAAAAAAAAAAAGGAAGAGUAAAAUGGAGAAAAAAUAAGAGUAAGCGUGUAAAAGGAAAAAAUGACCACCAAUGAGAUGUUGGAAUAUUUGACUGGAGCAUAAAGCUCCAGUGGAGAAAUUGGUAUUCAGUGUGUUGAGUGAUGCUCCAAUUGUUUUGUUCUUUACAAUUCAAACAGAUUGGUACGAUGCGAUUUAGUUAAAAAAUAUUUCAAAUGCACUGAAAUGACAUCAAACGGACAUCCAAAGGUAGCUUAAAAGAUUACUAAACUAAGACACAAAUGAAUGAACUUUGUAAAAGCUCGACUGUCAAACAAAUGUAACGAAUAAAUAGCAUGAAAUCAUAAAAUAGGGAUUAAAACAUCAUGUUCUCAUCAAUAACUAAACCAUAAAUUAAUAUUCCCCAUGCAUGAAAUAACGAUACUCGUGUCAUUCUAUUCUCGGACGGUGACCUACGCGUACAUAACUUGUUCUCUAGCUCCGCCAGAUAACCCACCGCGUGUCAUUCUCGAAGGUCACCUGUCAAGCGUCACUGAUUAACCCCCACCUUUUUAUAUUUCCCGUCGUGAUUCGAGCUGAGCCCAAACAAACCACUAUAUAUAUGCUUAUUAAGAAACUGGAACUCCCAGGAUACUCUGGUUAAGAGCUUAACAGUUUAACUUCUUCAGUCAACGUCAGCAGUUUAAACCAAGAAAAAGAAGAAGAAACCAUGGCUUCCCAACAGGAAAGAGAUGAGCUUGAUCGUAGGGCAAGGGAAGGAAAGACCGUCGUCCCUGGUGGAACCGGUGGCAAAAGCGUUGAAGCUCAAGAAAACCUUGCUGGAGGUAAUUAAUAUAAUUAACAAUGAUUCUUUAUUAUUAUUAUUAUCAUUUUUAUGAAUAACUGUUUGCCUAUUAAUGGCUUUUCAUUUGGUGGUGGCGGCAAAGGGAGGAGCCGGGGAGGGCAGGCGAGGAGGGACCAGAUAGGAAGGGAAGGGUAUCAAGAAAUGGGUCGUAAAGGUGGGCUGAGCACCGUCGAGAAGUCGGGCGGAGAACGUGCGGCAGAAGAGGGGAUUCCAAUCAAUGAGGACAAGUUCGCGACGAAGCAGAGGGGCUAAAUAAGUAAAAAAGAAGGAAGAAAUAAAAAUCCAACGUUGUGGGAGGAAAGCAGCGGAUGUUUAUGGGUAGCUAAAACUAAAUUUUAAGGAGGUAUUCGAGUCAUGUCACGUGUGUCAUCAGUCAUGUAGUCGUUAGUAGUAAGUAGCAUGUAAAAUGGAAGUGUUUCAGUGUUUUUCUUUAAAAUAGCUAGGUGGAAAAUGGAGAUGUUUGAUGUCAGUUUAUGCUUCUCUGCAGUUAAAAGCUAACAAUGGAGAUGUUUGAUAUAAGUAAUUAUGACUUCCAUAAUUCAUUUAUGUUGUUUUAACGUAUUUAUCUCUGACAGAUUUGGGAAAGAUUUUAGUUGAGAAUCAGAAAGCUUAAAAAAGUCGAAGCUAUAUAUGAUCUUUUCCACUUAAAAGAAGUUGUCGAGAAAAAAGUAAAAAUGGAGAUGCGGGGUAUCGAUCCCCGUACCUGCAUGCUAAGCGAGCGCUCUACCAUCUGAGCUACAUCCCCAUUUUGGGGGUGCCUUGUUUUAGAAUCCUAGUGGGUGAUACUAGAUGAAUAUAUUUUAACUAAGGUUGGCAAAUCCAUCUUAAAUGAAAAAACCUAUUUAGACUGGUUUCUACCGAAUUGUAAUCGCUUGUUGGGAAAGGAACCAUCAACGGAAGGGCUAAGACUAGAAUGAUCUUAUCAAUUUCGACCUUUUUAACAAGUUUCCAUUUUUUUAGUAUAUGCAUUACAAUGUAAAUGCAGACUAGUAGUAGUAAAACUAAAAAUCAUUUCCAUUCCAUAAAAGCAAUUCUGCAAGAUAUGAUGUUAUAUACAAAAUCUAAAGAAUCAUUUUUCUAUACGAUCUUUUUUUUUUUUUUUUACCUCCUGUUUCUUUGUUUUUGGAACUGCGAGACAUGGUGACAAAAAUGGAGAGAAUUCACAUGGUGGGUGGGUCUCAAAUCAGAUGACGUGACAGCAGCAGCCCAUUGUUGGAGGAGAAAGUGCUUCGCGAGAUGAAACUAUGUUUGAGGGAGGACACUGAAGCUGAGGUAGGGUCCUAAAGGAAAGCUCAUGUGUAGUGCUUGAUGAUGCAACAGGAGCACUGCUUGAUGACGCAAUGGCAGGGACAAGAGAAGGGCAAAGCUGUUCCAGUGCCGAUAAAACCUUGCGCAUUCGCGGUCGUUGGGCCCUUUCACCUACGCACUCCGAUGCAAUGAGCACAACUUCAUAAGCUUCCUCGUGGGAGUACUCCCUUAACUUGGUAUCCAUGAUUUUGUCCAACAGGUGUCUACUGCCAAUAUUCGGUUGUGCCCACUCCACUAUGUUGUCCUCUAUACCAGAUUCUGUUUGUUGGACAGCACGGCGGCCGGAAACCAGUUCGAGUAAUAGGACUCCAAAGCUAUAGACAUCUAUUGCUGAAGUUAGCUGAUCUGCACAACAUUGCAAGAGAGCUAAUUCAUUCAUUCAAUACUUGUUACUUGGUUACGAAGGAAGCAAUGUGCUAUUAUCAAUUCCAUAAGAACCAAAAUCAGAGCUUGUGGUAAACAAAGAUUGGAUAAAAGAGGCAAACACAUUAACCUGUAGCAAGAUAUUCAGGGGCAAGAUAUCCUUCAAUACCGGAAGCUCGGGUUCGAAAAAUUGGAUCAGUGAGAGAUGGAUCAACGCCAGGAAUGAUUUUUGCGUAGCCGAAAUCCGAAAGUUUUGCAUUGAAGGCCUGCAACAAUAUGUGUCAGUGACUGAUACAACUGCUAAUGCCAUGAUCAACCAUGAAUGUUGCUAUCAUGUUACCAUUAGCAUACAUACCGAAUCUAGUAGGACAUUCGCUGCCUUUAAAUCUCGGAAUAUAAUUCGUUGACCAUGUAAGAAAGAAAGGCCUCUAGCAACAUCCAUGGCAAUUCUGACCCUUGUUUCCCACGACAAUGGUAAACGCUCAGGUAUGAAAAGAUGAUCCUCCAAGCUUCCGUUAGGUAGAUACUCACAGACCAAAAGCCUAUGUUCCUCUUCCAAGCAAUAACCAAUAAGCUUGACCAGAUUCGAAUGAACAUGGCGACCGAGGUCAUUAACUACGCUCUACAGUCGAUGCAAAUCGAUACAUGAGGCAAAGAAUAAAUUUUCAAACAAAGUUACCAUGAUGAAGGAAGUAACCUACCAGCAACUCAUCAUGAGUCAGAUUGCUGCCGGUUCUAAGCCGCUUCACAGCAACGGGUGUUCCAGUUGCAAGGCUUGCAGCUCUACAGGUCCGCUCAUCAAUGUACCCCAUGAAAACAUGACUGGACCCGCCGUCCCCAAGGCGAUUCGCCAAAGCGAAGUUUCUAGUAGCCUUGUCUAGCUCAGCAUAUGUGAAAACUUUCAGAUUGACGGUUGGAAAAUCACUUUCAGAUGUUAUUUCACUCAGGAGACCGGUUGUAAGUCCUGAAGAGAGAACCAUUUCUACGAGUUAAUAUAAGAUUUAAGGCCAUAUGUAACUAAGUUAUUCACAUCAAAACCGAAGCCUUACACGCCGAAUGAAUAGAUGUGAAACAAGUGGCUAUUUAGCAAGACAAGCAGAUUACUAUAUGAUUGCUCAAAUGUUUAAAAGAGUACUUCAUGUCAUUAGAAGUAUCAAAUUACAUACAUGCCUUUUGAGUCAAUUUCAAGUGAUAAACAAAUACAGAACAAGCCAAAAUGCCUUCUUUUCAAGGAAACAUAUAGUAUAAGUGAUUAACAAAAGGCUCGACAUGUCUACCUGAAAUCAAGUAAUCCACAAAGAUUAAGAACUAUUGCAUGAAAUGGAAGAACCCAAUCAAAACAAUAGCUUAAGUUAAUGGAAUGGAAGGUAACAAGUGAAAAGAAAGAUGGCAUGAAAUGGAAAAAACCCCAUCAAAACAACACCUAAAGUUAAAUGAAACCUUCCAAGAUAACAAGAAAAAGAGAAGACAAUGUCAUGGAAUGAGAACCCCCCCCCCCCAACAACACACACACAAAGAUAAAGAACUGUUGCAUGAAAUGAAAGAACCCCAUCAAAACAUAACAAUAGCUUAAGUUAAUGGAAAACCUUUCAGGAUAACACGUGAAAAGAAAGAUGGCAUGAAAUGGAAAGAACCCCAUCAAAACAAUACCUAAAGUUAAUGGAAACCUUUCAAGAUAACAAGAAAAAGAGAAGACAAUGGCAUGGAAUGGGAAAACCCCCCAUUAAAACAUUAUCUGAAGUAAAAGAAACCUUCCAAGGAAACAAGAAAGGAACAAAAAGAAACCAUUGCAUGAAAUGAAAAAUAUCCAACUGAAAACAUUGCCUGAAUUAAAUGAAACCUUCCAAGAAAGCAAGAAAGGAACAAAAAGAACGAUUGAAAGAAACGCCAUUAAUACAUUACCUGAAGUGUCAGGGUUAUUUUGCGCAGUAGGCCAGAAGUAUUGCAAGCAAUUGCCCAUUGUCACUUCACUCAGUAUCUACCUUUUCCUAUCCUUUGGAAACCAAAAACGAAGAAACAAAGGGAAUAAACUGUAUGUAUUUUGCGUAGAAACGAAAAGAAGAAGCUGAAUGAACAAUGUUAACGUGAACAAGUGCCUGGUAGAGAGGUCUCUGCUUCUUCUUCUUGUUCUUUAGCAUGAAAUCAGAGAAAAAAGGAGGCUUCUUUUUUAUAGAUGGUUAUAUUUUUUGUUAAGACUUUUUCAACCCUGUUAUGGCUGGGUUGUAUUGGAUAUAUUGCGGCUACAAGAAGGGGUAAUUCUGAGGAAUCAGUCAGCUUUCAUUUGCUGCCUGCUAAGCCAGAAUUUUCUUUUUUCAAGAAUUAAUUUGUAAAUUUUUUUUAUAAUUUUUGAAGAAUCAAACUAUAAUUCUAUUAUUUUUGUGUCGCAUUUGCAUAAUAUUAAUGAAUGUUUUUUUUUUAACAAUUGAUAUAAUAUCUUGUGAUUUUAAAUUAAUUUAAAAAAAAAUUGAUAACAACGAAACAGCUAAGCUAAACAGCGAUAACAAGAACUAAAUUAAUUAGUCAAAAUAAUCGUAAUAGGAUGAAGAUCAUCCUUGAGAAGCUCCCUUAUAAAUAAUUUUUAAUUUUUUCUAAACUAGUUUUAUUUUUUAUUAUCACAUUAAUAAAUAUGCUAUAAUUAUUAAACUAAGUUGCUCAACCUAAUAAAUAAUUUAAAAAUCUGUGUAUAUAAACCUAUUUUUAAGUAUGUAAUUGAUAUAUAUUUGAGAGUAAAAAUUAUAGUAUAAAUAUAAGAAAAAUAUUGAAAUAUACCAACAUAGAUAAGCAUGUAGAAUAAGAAUAAUGCAAUCUAUACCAAUAUUAAAUAGGAGAUAUAAUUGUACCAUAUAGAUAUGCAUCCAACACAAGUGUAUCUUCAGAUAAAAGAAAAUUCACAUCAAUAGAAAAUUACAACGAGAUCGUUGAUUAAGUUCACAAUGGCUUCGAUCACAGAAAUUUGAGUAAUGCCAUAACCUUCAACUUGGCUGAAACAUUGAAGAACAAUCCCCCAAAGAGGAAGAAAAUAAAAAAGAAUCAAGAAUAUGAAAUAAUCAAAUCAAUUUUCUUUGUUGUUUUGAUCCAUCUUUCACCUAAUAAUUCAAUAAUAUAUUGAAAUAAGUUAAGACUAAAGCAAAUGAGCAAAUGAAUCCUUUUUUCUUAUGCCACCAUCUGCUCUUGUUGUUCUAUGUACAUUUGCUCCACCCACGAUGGCAAAGUUGCGGUUCCCAUAGGAGUAACAUCUUUCACGAGGGAAUGAACCCAGGACACAUCUGGCUCUUCCAUUUUAGAUGCCAUCAUGUCUGUUGCUCUCACAGCGGGGUGGUUGUUUCUAAACCGGAACGAAGCGGAUUUCCUAAGCUUGUUUAGCUCAUCUCCUUGAAUACCCCAAUCCAGUUUCCCAUUAGGGGAGCUCCAAUCCAAAUUGUUUGAAGACAUUGUGCUUGUCGGAUUAGCAGGUGCAGCAAGUCCGGCAGGGUUGGUCACUGCUCCACGGUCUAUGAAACUCUGGCUCCGUUUUGCAAAUGCUGAAGACCGGGAAUUCAUUACUGCUGCAGCCACUGCAGCUGAUGAGUCAUAACCGAAUGCCGAGGGCUUCCUCACAGGGGAUGAUGUAAGGUUUGUUGGGUAGCUUGAACGUAGUUGGUUCGAGUUCUGGCGUAUUUUAAGUCCAGUUGGAGAUUGCAACUGGGCUUGUAUUCCGGAUUUUAUGGACAGUCCCUUCAAUGGAGACAGUAGGGAAGGAUCGAGAGAUCCAAAUGCAUCAUCGAGAUUAGUAGGCUUCAAAUCCCCGAGACGACCAUAUUCCUUACUCCAGCAAGAUGGGGAGGAGAGACUCGAUAUCUCAUCCAUCAACUGUUGUUGCUGCAAUUGAUUUUCAAGCUCAAGUAACUCCAUUUCCAAAUCAAAAUCUCGGGCACUAAAAGUAGUCUUCAAGCGGCUACCAGGUAGCUGCAAUGCGGGUGGGGUGAGGUUAAAGUUGUUCUGCCACAAGCCUCCAGACUUUGGUGAUGAAGAGGUUGCCAGAGGAGACAUGGGUGGCGUUGAAGUUGUCGGCAUCGGGAAAGAUGAAGAACCAAGUGCUAGAGGACUCAAAGUUGUCAUGUCUACUGCAUUCAUUGCAGCAGACCUCGGAGAAGGCAUUGCUGAUCCAGUGGAAGCAUACACGGGACGUAAUUCUUCAGGUUUGUGAGCAAAGAAACAAACUUUACGAGCACAACCGGUCUCAUCUUUGCAAAGCCGAGUCCGGUACUGAGCAGGAUGAAGCCAGGAUUCGAACACACCAUGAGCAUAUUCACAAGCAUCACCCUUAGGACAUGCCCCCCUUCGGAACUCAGGGCAUGGCACACAACUAUAAGGGUACUUCCUUGGGUCCCUUCUCCUCGCAUUCUCACCAGGAUGAACAAAAGGGCACUCAGUCCAAUCAUGGGAGUACGCCCUCGAGCAAGGCUUCACCUUAAACGUAUACAUCCGGAAGUCAUCGGUCCCAUAUAUCCCGUUGUUGAUAUCAGGCAGUGAUACAUCCAUAGGAUAUUCUCUCUUCUCAGACCCCUCUUUUGGCAACUGAGGCAUCGUUGUCUUAUCGGAUUCUUCUUCCCCCUUAAGAACAUCAUCGCCAUUCAGUAAUAACUCAAUCACCUUUCUUCUAUAAUUGCUUGAAGAUUUUAAACCCGGUACAAUCAGAUCAACAGGUUUGUUCCCAUUAGCAUCUACACAAUUCGCAUCGGCAGAUGCAUCAAGCAACAGCUUGACAAUCUCAACCGAAGAAUCUGCACCACCAGCAACAGCGCAAUGAAGGGCAGUAACCCCAUCACUGCCACAAGCUCUAUUCACAUCAAUCUUGCCACUUCCAAUGAUGUAUUUCAAAAUUUCGAUGCUACCAACCAUGGCCGCGAUCAUCAGAGGCGUCCGCUCUUCAAAUCCCAUCUUUCUCAACCCUAUUCUCCGACCAUACCAGAAGCUCGCUUCCCCGAAAUCCAAACCUUUCUCUUCUACUUCACUUUUGAAGGCUACUAGAUCAUCAGAUGCAGCCAAUUCGAGCAAAAUUGAUUGAGAACUGGCUUUCGGCUCCUGUAAUUCACCUUCCAUGAUGAAACUUGAGGGCUUAUGUUCACUCUUUGAACCACUGCACAUCCCAAAACACGGCCAGGCUAAUUAUUACAUCAACAAGAACUCAGUUUCUCACUAAAUAGCAAUAAUCAAACAAGAGGAAGAUAGUUCUGCUACAUCACAACACAUACAAUUUUUUUUUCGAUUUUUUUUGGAAAAAAAAGGUAAAUUAAAGAAACCCCAAAUCUAGAAUUAUCAGUUCCAUACACUACAAAUCAAAUAAUACAAAAAUUCAAACAUAAAAGAAAGAAAACAGCUAUGUUCUAAAUCAAAAGACUUGGUCUAUUCUAAGACUUCAGCAUCUCAGAACCAAAACUCACAACUUUUGACCAAAAAUCCAAAAACCCAACAAACAAGAACUCAUAAAUUCAAACCAAAGUUCAAGUAUUUUUACCUAUAAGCAGUCUCAGUUGAAGAAGAAGAAAAAAAAAAGGUAUUAGUUGAAAGUAGGUGAGGAGAAGAGUGAGUUUGGCUUAGAAGAAAAUUUGAGGAGAAAAAAGAGCAAGUUGGGGGGGCUUUUAAGGUUUGGGAAAUGGUGUUUGUUUAGUAGGAAAAUGGUAGGAAACUGCGGCUUUCCUUCCCCUCACUUUCUAUAUUAUGGGUCAAAGUCUAAACUUCAAAGGGCAGGCUUUAACUUAUUCUUCUUCAUCUCGAUUCUUCCAUGGCUAUCAUUAUCAUUGAGACAUACAGGGGAAAGGUCCCCUCUUCAUUACUUAAAAUUAAAGAUGAAAUGCAAAUGCAAAACCAAAUGAAAACAUUAUCUAGUUGGAUGUUUUUAAACUCCAAAGCUGAUUGGCCUUAGGUCUUAAUGCGUACGUUAAAGAUUCGCCCUCAGCUCACGCGCUUUGGAAUUUUGUAUACAAUUUAAUUUUAUUAAUUACUUUUUAAUUAUUUUGGAUUUAGAGUUUAUAGUAUAGGUUAACUUGUAAAUUUGAUUAUGGGUAGAGUCGAAAUGAGUUUGAGUAAAAUAUAAGUUCGAAAAAUAAGUUUGGAUAAAAAAUAAAUCUUAUUUUUUAAACGGAUUGGAUCUUGAGUAAAUUUUUUUAUAUUCAGAUCCGACCCGAAUUUGUAAAAAAAAAAAUUGUUAUUGUUUUUUAUUGUUUUGUCAUUAUUUUUUAUUAUUUUACUAUCAUCUUGCUAUUAUAUUACUAUUAUUUUGUUAUUAUUAUUUAUAUAUUAUAUAACUAUUAUUUUAUUAUUAAUUUUGCUAUUAUUUUAAAGAUAUUUGUUUGCUAAGUUGUAUCUAUAUUAAUGUUAUUUUAAUGUUUUUAGUGUAUUUGAUGCGUUAUAUUUUUAAAAUUUAUUUUUAUAUAAAAAAUUUUAAUUCAAGCAGGUCACACUCAGGUUUUAACAUUUUUAUCUAGGUUAGAUUUAGACAAAAUUUUAGAUCCUCAAGCCUAUAAAAUGAGCCUAAAUUUUUUACUUAAUUCAGCCUAACCAUGAUCAGCUUUAUUUAUAUAUUAUAAAUUUCAUUAUUUUAUUUUAUCAUGUAUAUUUAAUAAAACAAAGUAAAUGCACAAACAUUUACCCUUAAAAGGAAAAUGGAUUAUUUCUUUCUGUGUUUUAUAUGAAUUUGUGGAAAAUAAUUUUAUCCAUUACAGAAAAACCACUGAAAAAAAAGUACUAUAUUUAAGCAUUUAUUUUUAAUUAUAAUAUAUUUAGUAUAUAUUUUAAAAGAAUGAUACAUUUAAUUUAAGUAGUCAAAAUUCUUUCAUGAUAAGAAGAAAUGAUUUUAAAGUAUCUUUGCAUUCGCAUUUAAAUUUUUACAACACAUUAAUAAUAAUUUUUAUUAUUUUUAAUACACAAUAUUUUAUUAAUAAUUGAAAAACAGGGCUGACCUUUGAAUUCAGAUUAUUUGUUUGGAAACUUUUACAAAACAUUUAUAAUGUUUGUAGUUGUUAAAUUUAAUUUCUUACUAGAAUUAUCAUGUUUUUUAAAAAAAUAAUUUUUAGUUUAUUAUGAUUACUUUUUUACUCAAAUUAUUAGUCAAAUAUCAAAUGAGUUAAUACAUAAAUCAACUCGUGGAUUGUACAUCAUAAAAAUCUAGUAUAUUUAAUACAAUAAGUUACAUACAUUCAAAUUGUGACAAGUGGCAUAAUUAUAAUUUUUAUUUCUUUUUUUAAUUUUUAAUUAUCCAUUUUUUAAUUAAAAUAUUAUUAUAAAUAUAUCAUCAUUUUUUAAAUAAAAAUAAUUUCAAUUUCAAAUUGUAAUUAAUUUUAUUUUUAUUAAAUUAAAUUAUCAACUAAUUUUAUUGGUUGUAUAAUUUCAUUAAAAUUAUUAUUGUUGACAUUAAAUUUUUUUAAUAUUUUUUUAUUCUACAAGCAAUCUUGAAAAAUUGGUAUGAGUCUUUUUUUUUAAAUAUUUAUUUUUAAUAUUUUGUUAUAUUCUAUAAAACAUUUGUCAACUCCUAAUAUUACUUGUAGAGUUUAAAAACUCCACUAACAAAAUAAUUUAACUUGAAAUAUAUAUUUUAUAAUUAAUUAAAAUCUUCUUUUUUUUUUGUUUUCCGAUAUUCUAUCUUUUUUUUUUCAAUUUUUAAUUAAAAAGUAAUAUAAUAUUCACUUCACAUUUUUUUUCAAAAUUUAAAUAUUAAAUCAUUUGAAAAAUAAAUAUAUUCUACUUUUUUAAAUAUUUAACUUUUUCAUUAUUUAAAUAUUUAAUUAUUUUAAAAGUUGAUAUAAUUUUUCAAAUUUUUUAACAAUUAUUUAAACAAUUAAGGCUUAAUGUAUAAUUUGGUACUUAAAUUUGACAUUUUUAAAAAAGUGAUACUUAUGUUAAUUUUUUAUCAAAUAUAAUACAUGUAUUUAACAAAAUUAUACAUUUUGGUACUUGAAGUCCAAAGAUACUAGAAUUUAUAUAAAUCUUAACAAGUAAAUAGUUCAUGUAGUGAGAUUUUAAUAUUUAUAUUUUAUUUAUAUUAUUUUUACAUAAUAUUCUAAUUAUUUUAUCAUAUUUUUCCAUGUCCAAAAUAAUGUUUUAAUCUCAAUAUUUUUUAUGUAAGUAAUUUUACAUGUUUAUUAAAUAAUAUCAAUUUAACUAAUAUUACUCAGAUUAUUGGAUAUAAUAUAAAUAGAUAUAUUAAUUAGUUUUAUAAUUAAAAUAUUACAAUAAUAGAAAGCCUCAAACCAUAAUCUAAUAUAUAUACUAAAGUAAGGUUAGGACACAAUUUUGAGAAUUUUAAGUUUCAAAUGAGUUCUGUAUGUGACAAAUCUCACCAGUAAUUGACUGACAUGUCAGCUUAUUAUUAUAUUAAUUAUGUGGGUUUCAGUGGUCAAUAAAUUGAUUUAUUUAAAUUUCUAUUUCAGUACUAAUUAUUAUGGUGUAAUUUUUAUUAAAGUUUAUUAAUUUAUACAUACAUACAAUUAAGUUCUUAAUUAUUUUUAUUUUUCAUUUUGACCUUAUUAGGAAAAAUUAAUAAAUGCCAUAUAAGGUACAAUAUUAUCAUUUUUACUUUUCGGGUACGCUUUUAGGCCGGAUCAAGAUGACCCGACGAUGAACAAGUAUAAUUAUACCUUAAAUUAGUUUAGAGUUUUUUAUAAUGAUUUGUUCAAAUAAUUAACAAUCACUUUCAUACCAACCUUAAAAGUGGGAAAGUUUAGGCAAAAAAAAAGGCCCAUUUAGAAAAUAAGUCAAACCUCGGGUAAGAAUUUUUGGGCUUGAGCCCUAUUUGACUUUGCAAAAAAUAAACCCUGUUGUUUUCCACUAUCUUCUUGUUGUUUUCCCACUGUUUUGCUGUCAUUUCACUAUUAUGUUGUUAUUGUUUAGAUAUUGUAUAAUUAUUAUUUUAUUGUUAAUUUUACUAUUAGUUUAAAACCAAUUGCUUAUUAAGUUGCACAUAUCUUAUUGUUAUUUAAGUAUAAAUAUUUUUUUAUAAAAAUAUUUUCAAUUUGUUAGGAAACAUUUAUUUUAAUGGUUUUAGUGUUUUUGAUGUAUUAAAUUUUUUUAAACUUUUUAAAUAAAAAAUUAAUAUAAGAGGGCUAAACCGAAAUUUUAGCAUUUUUAUUCAGGUCAGGCUUGAGAAAAAAUUUAAGCCCAUUUUUCAUCAAUUGUGUAAUGACCCAAACUUUACAGUUAUCGGAAAAGUGUAUUUUCGGGUCUCCAUUUCUGAAAAAUGGACUCGUAAAUAUUUAUUAAAAAUAUUUAUGAAGUCAAGUGAGUGGUUAAUUAGAGUUUAAUGAAGUGAAUUAGCUUAAAUUAAGGAUAAUUAGAUAAAAGGAUUAAAUUGAAUAAAAUGUGAAAGUUUAAUUGUAGAUUAAAAGAAAAUCAAAAGGACCAAAAUAGAAAUUAUGCCAUUUGUCCUAAGGCGACAAAUGCAUAAAAAUCUUUGAUUUUUAUGCAUAAAUAUGUAUAAUAAAUAAUUAUUAUUAUGAUUUUAUAAUUGAUAUUUAUUAAUGUUAUUAUUAAUUGAAUUUAUAUUAUAUUAUGAAAUAAAUUAAAUAAAGAUAUGUGUAUGGUAAUGAUUUGAUACAAAUGUGUUAAUAAAAAUACAUACAUUUAGAAUACAUGUAUUUGAUAUUAAAUAGAUAUUUAUUAUUUAAAAAAAGAUAUUUAUUAAUUAAGUAAUUAUAUUAUAAGAUAUUUAUAUGAUAAAUAAAUAAAAGUAAGACAAAUGUAUGGUGCAUAUGGAGACAUGUGUGAUACUAAUAUACAUACAUUUAUAAAAUACAUGUAUACUUACUUAUUAUAUAGGUAUAUUAUUAAAUUAUAUAUAUUAUUAUUAAGUAAAAGAUAUUUAUAUAAUAAAUAAAUAAAAAGAAGACAAGUGUAAUAAUAUAUAUCUAUACAAAUGUAAAAUAGAUAUUGGAUAUUAAAUAGAUAUUUUAUAAUUAUUAUUGUUAUAUUAUAUUAUAUUAUAUUAUAUAUAUAUAUCAACGAAAGUAAAAGAAAUAAAAAAAAUCAGAAUGAACAACGAAAAUAGAGAAGGGAAAAAAAGAAGAAAAAGAGAAAGAGAGAAAAGGAGGGAUUGAAGUUUUGAAGCUUUAAACUUUAAUAGGUAAGUUAAUUUAGCCAUUUUUAUUUAAUUUUUAUGUUUUAGAAGUUUUGGAAUAAGAUUUUGAUGAAAUUAAGUUGAUAUUUUGAAAGUUAUUAGAUUUCUAGAUAAUGUUCAUGUUGAGUAAAAUGAUGAAAUAAGGGUUAAAUUGAUAGAAAUUCAAGUUAGAAAUGAAAUAAGGAUUGAAUUGUAAAGUAAUUCAUAAGUUUUAUGUUGAAGGGCUAAUUUGAGGAAAUUUCAAAACUAUUGAAAUAAGCUGAAAAUUUAGUAGUUAAAUUUGAGUUUGGAUGGAACUUGAAUAGAAAUAGAGUAUGAAUUAAGUUAGUAAAGUGAAUGAAUUAGUUAGGACCUAAUUGAAAAUAAGGUGUAAAUUGAAUAGAAAUUCAAUUAUUUGUUAUAAUGAGUGCUGAAAAUUAAUGGUAUAAUUAUUUUAAUUCCCGUAGCUAAUGUUGUCUCAGGAAAUCUCGGCUAAGUAAGGAAAAAGACAAAGACAACGGGAGUUAGCUUGGAAAUUACGGUUUGUAUAUCUAUAAUCCGAACUUAAUACUUAAAUUGUUGGAUUUAUUAUUUAAUAUAUAUAUAUAUAGUAGGUGUUUUGAUAUGAUUAUUUGAAUUGGAUUGAAUAUUGAUUAUAUUGAAUUGAUUUAUGAAUAUAUGUGAAUGUUUGAAUUGAAAUGAAUAUUGAUGUGGAAAUUGAAUAAUAAAUAUUUGUUAUAUUGGAAAAUAUAUGUAUUUGGAAGUGUGAUGAAAUUGAUAGAAAAAUGUGAUUAUUGUGAAAUUGAUUAUUUGUUAUUGAAAAAUGAAUUGAGUUAUAUUGAAUUGGGAAUAAAUGUGAUUGUUGAAGUGUAUAAUGAUUGGAAACUGGAAAGUGAAUUGGAAACCCUAUUAACAGUAUCGGGCCAGGUUGGAUAUAGUUGGCAUGCCAUAGGAUUGGAAGAGUUCAGGGAUAUUUUGACCUCGAGUCGAUGAGACACUGGGUGUCACUAUAUUUCUUCGGAUAGAUUUGAUGACGUACUGGGUACCACUUUACUUCGGCUAGGCCGAUGAGACACUGGGUGUCACUAUAUUGCUUUGAACUAUCUGAUAAGACACUGGGUGCCAUUCUGGUGUGUUUGGUUGGAUCUGUGUAUCCGUUUGAGUCCGAGUCAUGUUAAUAGGGGUUAUUAAAUAUAACAGUGAUCAGAUUGAUACUGAAUGAAGAAUUGAAAUGUGGACUGAAACACACGAAUCGUAUUAUAUAGUGAAAGCUAUCUGGGAUAACAAGUUGAUUUAAUAUGAAUGGUAAUGACUGUUAUUGAAAUGGAUAUGUACAGAACACUGAUUGAAAAGUGAAUAGUUGAAUAUAGUUUAUUGAUAUUAAACAGUGAACUAAAGUAUGAUUGAGACAAAUGAAUUAUGUAGCUCUGGAUUGGAUAAAAGUAAAUAUUAUCUAUGAAUAAAUCAUGGAAAGCUAUAUAGGUUAGUAAGUGAAAAGAAUGAAAUAAGUUACAAUAAAUUUAUCUAUGAAUUAAAUAAUUGAAUAGUUAUGAUUGUUAUAUGAUUUUAAUUUGUUAUAUUUUUAUUUUAUUAAGUGUUUGGAUUAUAGAAAUACCACUGAGUAUACCCAUACGUAUCGUAUGGUUUAUUUCCAUGCGCAGGUUAAGUUAAAGUGAGAAUGUCGAAUCAGCAUCCCAGGCCGAUCCCGAAUUCAACGAGGUAAAACGUGUUAAUUGUUGAUAAUGGCAUGUGUAAUAGCCCAAAAUUGGGUCUAGUUGGAACAGAGGUUUCGGGACCAAAAAAUAUGAGAUAAAAAUAAUUAUUUUAUGAUUAUUUUGAGGUCUAUAAUAUGAUUGCAUGAUUGUGUGAAAAUUUCGUGAAGAAAUUCUAUGUAUAAAAUGCUCAAUUUGAAGUUAGGGACUAAAUAGAAUAAGUUGCAAAACUUUCAUUCUAGAAGUUUCUAGUAUGAAAUUGCUUUGAAAUAUUAAUUAGGAGGUCUUAAAUAGGGAUUUGACCAAUUUCUAAGUGAUGGACAAAAAUUGGACAUGGAUGGAAUUUUUGAAAGUUUAGUAAGGAAGGGCAUUUUGAUCAUUUGGUAAUUAAAAGAAAUAAAAAGGGAAAAUAAAGCCAAAAUUUACUCAUCUUUUUCAUGGAGGCCGAAAUUAGCAUGGGGGAAACCAUGGCUAGGGUUUUCAAGCUUUCCAAGCUCAAUAGUAAGUCCGUUCAAACCCCGUUUUUCAAGUUCUUUACGUUUUUGGAAUCCCGGUAAUUUGAUUAAGCUUAUUCUAGCAAUAAUUUAAGCUAGGGUUCAUAUUUGGAAAAAUAACCAUAGGUGAAAUGUGUUUAUUUUGCUGUUUUAUGAUAGAAUAUGAGGUUUUAAAUUAUGUUAGACAACUUGUGCUACUCGGUUUUGAGUGAAAACAAGUAAAAGGGCUUAAUCGGUAAAAAUACCUAAUAGUCAUAAGUAUAUGUUAGAGUGAGAAUUUGAUGUUGCCAUAGAAGGGAAAAGUGAUCAGCAUGUCAUAAAACAUAAGAAUAAGGGAUGAAGUUUAAUUCCCGAGCCUAAGGGAAAAAGUGUAAAUAUGUAAAAGUUUAGGGGCAAAAUUGUAAUUUUUCAAAAGUUUGAGUUAAGGACUGUUUUGAAUAGUAAAUUAAUUAAAUAAGUAAAAUAUGAUGUUUUAGAUCCCAGAAAAUGAGAUUUAAACCUAGAAUGAGAGAAAAAUCGAAAAUUAGGAAAGUUGGUAAAAUGAUCGUUUUAGUAUCGAGGUAAGUUCAUAUGUAUAAUAAGCAUUAAUUUAUGCAUGUUUCAAUGUAAAAUUGAUAUAUUUAUUAUAAUUUUCGAGGUGUUGAAAGUAUGUAAGUUGGUAUGAUAAUAAUACAGCAAUAAUGCUGUAAUUUAUAUUUGAAAGUUAAAUUUAGUGAAUUAAUUGAAUUAUGUUAAAUUAAAUGAUUAUGGUGCCAAGUUUAUGAAUUGAUUUAAAAAUAUGUCUAUGGUACAUGAAGUGCAUUGAAUUAUCAUACAUAAAUGUGAUUUCUAUGAUUAUGGAUAUUAUGGGACAUUGUAAGUUCAUAUGAUUUUUAAUAAGGCAAUGUGUAAUUUAAUGUUAUUGCCUUGAUAUUAAAUGAGAUGUAAGUUUAUAUGUAAGUAAUACAUCAAUAUUACUUGUAUUAUGAUAUUUUAUAAUAAUAUUGGAAAUAUGUUUGUGGAUAAUUACUUUAUUGGUGAAAUUGUUGGAAAAGAGAGAGAAAUCUCGGUUGAACCUUCGGAAAGAUUGGAUAUAUGUAGCUAGGUCACAUGUAUGGUGCUGAGUGCACAUCAUGUGUACAAGAGAGCUACAAGACAUUAUGAUGUAGCUAGGUCGCAUGGGUGAUACUAUGUGUACACCAUGUAGACAAGAGAGCUACGGGAUAUAUGUAGCUAGGUCGCAUGCGUGGCUCCAGGUGAAGGACACCAUGUAAACAAGAGAGCUACGAGAUAAAUUGGCUAGGUCACAUGGGUGGUAUUGAGUGUUUACCAUGUGUACAAGAGAGCCGAUCUCUAUGAUGGGUGGAGCUAUGUGCUGAAACCACAAAGUAUCGAGGAUUGAUCCGAAGUGUUCAACGGGAGAAUCUCUAUGUAUUGCUUUGUGAGUUUUGUGAUGAAUAAGUGCAUGAACUUGGUUAUGUGAAUGAUAUGUUCAUUAAGUGACCAGGAUGUGGUAAGGUUAUAAACAAGUAAGUUAUACAUGAGAAUGAUUUUAUGGUGACCUUGUGAUCAUGGGCUUAUACUUGUGAUGUAUGAAAUGUGGUGAAAAUGAUUUGUGAUAUGUAUGUUAAAAUGAGGUUAAUACAAAGAAAGUGUGAAAGAGUGAAUUAGCAAUAAAACUGUUUGGACAGUAGCAGUAACAUGAUUUUGAAAAAUCACCAAAAAUAGUAGAAAUUGAAUCAGAGACUGAAUGAGAUAUUAAAUUAAAGCUUAAUGAGUCUAUUUUCAUAUAAAAGAAACAGAGCAAGAAAAGGAGUUCUAUAUUUUGAUAUAUUUAUGUUUUUGUGAGACUGGUUUAGAAUGAUUACGUGAUCCCCUGUUUUGACUUUGGAAAAUCACAAAAAAUUGGAUAAAAAUAAUUAGAGGCUUAAAAUUAUAUUUUUAAAAUUCCUAAUAAGUCUAUUUUCAAUAUAAAUCAACAAGAACAUUAUCCGAUUCUGUAUUGUGAGAUAAUUAAUUUUUAGUGAAGAGAGGCCAGAACUGUCAGAAUGUGAAAUAGGGGAAAUUUUAAUGAAUAAACUGUACUAAUUGGCUAAACCAAAAAUUAUGAAAAUUUUAUGGUACAAAGAUAUGUGAGUCUAGUUUCAGGAGAAAUUUACGGAUCUUAAUUUGGAGCUUUGUACCUCGAAUUAUAAAUAAGUAAGUGACUAUGACUUGUAUGGAUAGUUUGAUUUGAGCAUUUAUUAGUAAAUUGUGAAAUCGUACUUACAAGAAUGCUAUAUACGUUAAGGAUGUGGAAUGGAGAGGAGGAGGAGGAAAAUAAAUAUAUGUUGAAUACAUGGAAACUAUGGUAUAUGAAAUAUUGAUAUAAUGAAAUAAAUGAUAUGUGUUUAUAAGAAAACAGAAAGAGAAUGAUAUAUAUCAUGACAUGUGUAUAUAUAUAUAUGACUAGUUUCAAUGUAAUGCUUGUAGAGUAUGGAGUUGAAUUUAAAUGUUUUAGGCAAACAUGUUAUUUGCGCAUCUGAAUUGUGUUAUUUUAUAAAGAUAUGAUCUAGUUUUAAAUAUGAAUGCUUGAUGAUUAAGCUGAAGAUAUUUGGUAAGAUGAUAUUCUUGGUAUAAAUGUAUAAGUGGUACUAUAAUAAACAAGGUAAAAUGAGUAUGAGAGACACAUGUAUGAUGAUAUAAAAAUGCUAUGUUUGUGGUUUAAUUGAGAAUAUUGAAUUAUUAAAUGAAUACCAUGUUAUAUGCUUUUGAUUUUGUAUAAGUGUGUAAGAGAUUAAGGUUGACCAAAGCUUGGAAAAUAGCCCAGGUAUAUUCCACACAGGCAGAGACACGACCAUGUGUCUCAGUCGUGUAUGGAACAUGACUUUGGGACACGGGCGUGUGGAGCCUUAAAGCAUGAAAUUUUCAAGAUUUUCGUAAGUUCUCGGUUUAGUCCCGAACCCUUUCUGAAGUAUGUUUUGGGCUUCGUAGACUCAAAUAAGAGACUAUGUGUAAGUGAAUGAAUGUUUUGAAAUAUGAAUGAAAUUUUAUGUCCCGUAUUUUAGUUUAAUGUUUGUAUGUUUGUCCGGUAACGCCUCGUACCUUAGCCCGGCCUCGGGUACAGGUAAGGGGUGUUACAUUUAGUGGUAUCAGAGCAGGUUUAGUCGAUUCUCGGACUAACAUAGCAAGUGUGAGAGUUUAGUUAUACAUGCCACAAAUAUGUGAUAGUGUGAUGUCUCCCGACACUAAUGAGGACCAUUUUGUUUAAAAUGAAGUAUUCUCCAACCGAGCUACAUCUGACCAUUUAAUAGUAAUAUUAAAGUAUUUGAAUAAAGUGUAGCUAUGAUGUGUUAAACUCGGGAAGGUAUGAAUAAGAAUUCGUGAUAUAUGUAUAUGUGAUAAUAUGUCAGAUGAAAGUUUAUAUAGUGAUAUAUUUAUUCAUAUUUGUUUGGCCUACAUAUGCUGUUGAAUGCUUGACUAAAUUAAUUAGUAAAUGUGAUCACUAAAGUUAUUCAAAAUUCAUAGAAUGUAUGAGUGAGUGCACUUGUUUGAAAUGAGAUAAUUGGAAAUUUUAUGUAAGACAGAUAUGAAUAAUAAAUUGGUUGAAGUGGAUAAUAUGAUUAUAAUGAUAUAUGUGGAUAAUUAAAAAAAUGUGUCAUAUAGAUAUAUGUCAGAAUCGAGUUAGAGACUGUACGACCUCACCCCUUUACCGAUGAGGUGUAUAUAACGGAAAUUCAUGAGAAUCAUGUUGACUAAGUUCCUAAGUGUGGAAUCAAAGUGUUCAGUGAUAAAAUAAUUAUAGAUAUGACCAGAGACUGAGAAUGGUUGACAAGUGAAGGACAGAGUUAGAGAAAUAUCAGAGUUGACUGAGUUAUCUUGGGAUUCAAAUUGACGACAGAGUGUUUCUGAAAGUAUCGUCUUGAAAACAAUUAGUUAGUAUGCUGGAAAUUAUGAGAAAGAUACAAAACUUCACUUCGGUAAGAUUUUCGAGGACGAAAAUCUCAAAAGGGGGGGGAGAGUUGUAAUAGCCCAAAAUUGGGUCUAGUUGGAACAAAGGUUUCGGGACCACAAAAUAUGAGAUAAAAAUAAUUAUUUUAUGAUUAUUUUGAGGUCUAUGAUAUGAUUGCAUGAUUGUGUAAAAUAUAAAAAAACUAUGUCAAAAAAUUAUGGAAAAAGGAAGAAAAUAGAGGGAGAAGCAGAAGAGAAAGGAAAAAGAGAAAAAAAUAGAAAAGUUAAAAAAAUAGAAAUGAAAAAAUUAAAUUGCUUUAAAGGAAAAAAAAAGUGGACCGAUUGUAUAAAUUAACCAAAUUUUUAUUUGAAAUGAUGAUUUAACGUGUCACGUUAACUUACUAUGAUACUAUUAACAGUAAUUUACGACUCAAUGACUAAAAUAUUACAACAUAAUAAUAUAAGUGAGUAAAAAUGUAACAUUAGUUAAAUAAAAAUGACUACUUUAAUAGUUUUCUCGAAAAAAAAAUAAGACGCAAAUAAACGGGCACUGGGUGAAGAGGAAAAGAAAAGGCUGAGUAGGAAACACGUGUUGUGAGUUGCGAGUAGGCUAGGAAAGAGAAGACCCUGGAGUGAGUUGGGGUGGACCAGAAAUAGUGCUAGAUUCCAAGCUGUAACCGAGUCAAUAACGCAAUGGCACGUUUCGCUUCCAUUUUGCUAUAAUUAUAUAAUACGAAAUAAACUAAGUAUACAAUAUUUAAAUAUAUUAAUAGUAAAAAUUUAUUAAACUUUUCAAUGAAUUAAAUUUAAUACAUAAUUUUGGGGUUCAUUUAUAGGAUUUACUAAAUUUUUUUGUUGGAAGGAUUUAAUAAAUUAAUUAAUAGAAAUAAGAUAUGAAGUUUAAUUUAGGAUAAGAUAUCAUAUGUUGGCCUUGACUCAGCCUUCUACUACUUCCCACUAUUUGGAAACACCCAUUUUUAUUUUAAGCACGUGUCAUAUCAUUGAAUUAUAAUCUUGGUUAAAUAAACCAAAUACCAAAUAUGUCAAUUUUCUUUAAUUAACUUGUUUCUUCUUAGAAAAAAAGAUUGUUUUUUUUUUUGAAAAAAUCUGUAAAAGUGCGUCUAACUAAAUGUGUUUUCUUUCAAUGGUCAUUUUCUUAACGAUUUUUUAAACAUUGACAGCUAUAAAAUUUUAUAAAUGACCCAACAAUAUAUUUUUUUUCCUAUAAAUGUCAAUUCAUUUUUCAUUCUUUUUACUCAAAGCCAACUCUCUCUAUUCUCUCUAAACUCUCAAUUUUCUCAAAUUUUGUUCGAAAUUUUGCUAUGCACUUAUUUAAAAAUACUAUAGUUAUAUUUAAUUAUUUAGAAUAUUCAUUUCGAUUAAAUUUUCACGAAUGUCAAGCUUUCUCAUUCGUUUCGACAACAAGCUCAUUUCUGCCACUCAAGCGAUAAUGGUAAGGGGAAAUUUUAAUUUUUUUUUAUUUUCAAUUAAGUUAAAGUUAAAUUUUUUAAUUUUUUUUAAAAUUUAAUUAUUUUACUUUGUCGAUAUAAAUAGGUGGAUAAUUUUGUUUUGGAGGGUUUCAUACAUAAGUUAUCAAAAAGCCCAGACACCAAAAUUCGUGGUUGCUUGAAAGAUGAGAGAUUCUUCCAUGCGUCUCGUAUGCUCAGGGGUUGCAAACUCGAUCUUACACUCAUCAGCGCGUUGGUGGAAAGAUGGAGGCCCGAGACACACACUUUCCAUAUUCCAUGCCGUGAGUGUACAAUCACACUCGAGGAGGUAGCUUUACAACUUGGUUUACGGUGGAUGGGUCAGUCAUUAUGAGGUCAGCGGUUGUUCCCGAUAAAGAGGACCUUUGCGAGGCAUUUUUGGGGAAGGUGUCGAACAAGUUUCAAGAUAGUCGAAUAGAUAUAAAAUGGUUGAAGAAUAAUUUCAAAGAACUUUCUAAGGACGUGCCCAAUGCUAUUAAAGAAUAAUACACCCGAACAUUCAUCCUAAGGUUAAUCUAGGGCAUUCAAAUGCUCGAUAAAUCUCGAAAUUUGAUACAUAUAAGGUCGUUACUACACUUAGUUAUGUUGUAGUAGGAGUUGUGUUAGACAACAAAACCGAAUAAGAUGUCAAUCAGUGGUUGCCUGCUCCUACUGCAGUCAUGAACGUGGUGGCGACUACCAUUUCUAUGUCCCUGAGUAAACUGCCCUUAUAUGUUCUCAUUGACGACAAAGUAAAAAUAAUUUGAUAAUAAUAUGUAGUUAAUAUAGUAAAUGUUGUUUAUUUAUUAUAUGUUUGAAUUAACAUAUCGUUUGAAUAGGUGGAACCAUGGGCUAAUUAUGUGGGACUACCAAAGCAGCUCGAAGAUAUCUAGUUGUUGUUAGAUCAAUACUCGAAAGUUGAGGUUAGUUAUUGAUUUUUCAAACCUAUAAUAUUUACAUAAUGAUUUGAAAUUUAAAAUUCCAUACAUAAUAGAAUUUAUAAUUGUGCAUUGAAAUUUGAAUAGAUGUCAUACGCCGAUCCGGAUAUUAUAGAAUGCGUCUCGCCCAAAUUUUUGGCCAUCUAGAGUAUGUGGGAUGCGGGCGUGCCAUUGAUAGGGUACAAUAUGGUGGAGAUGCAUGAAUCAAAUUGAGUGAUGUGACAGUUCGGGUGGAGGUAAAAAUUUCUGCCGCCACCGCGAGACAUGGAAGCACUACACAAGCUUGACUACGGGGGAAGACCAAUAAAAAUUAGCGAGGUUAUCACAAGGAGUUCAUCGACAUUUGGAAUCAUAGGAUGAAAUUCUUACCCAUCUGUAAACCCUUUUUCUUAUCGCACACGAUGACUUGUUUGGAGUACAUGCCUUGGUUUAGAGUCGCCGACAAGCCAUAUCUAUUGUUGAUGGAGGCGAGGAGUAGGCAACUUCAUCAAAAGAGGCAUGACGACUGCCUCAGCAGUGUAGGUCCGGAGGAGGUGCCACAACAGGUUUGUACCAGCUCCAACCCAACAAGGGCCACCGAUGUCUGUACCACAUCUUGGCCAAUUCACUCUAUUUAUUCCUAUUCAUUUCACUAACCCCGUGUUAUUUUCACAAGCAUCACACUAUGCACACUAUAUCUGUAUCUCUCGCAAGUACCUUUUUUGAGGCACCUCAGUCCCCAGCAAACUACGCCCCGACACUGAUGGCGACACCAUUGCCGUCAUCAAUGCCAACAUCAAUUCCCACACUAAUAUCAAUGUAUUCAGGUUUUGUGACAUUGUAUUGUUAUUUUCCGGUAGUGUUACAAACACCCAAUGUGUUGUUGUUUAAUCGAUGUGGCUUAUUGGUAAACCACCUUCUUGUGAAGUGAAGGACAUACGAUGAGAGACUAGGACGACACCACACUUAAGCAUGGAUGAAUGCGAUGGAGGCGAAGACAAAGCUGAGGUUAAAGAUGAAGAGGAAGCCAAGGGUGGAGAUGAAGAUGAAUAUGAUGGUAGAGAUGAAGAUGAGUAUGAGGGUCCAAGUGAAGGCGAAUAAGAUGUUCACGAUCAAGAGAAAGAGCUGACAACAUAACUAGUACACAAAAAUUCUACGUACACCCAUCAACCACCGCCUUGUGGUACACAUUUGGCCCCGACAACGCCAAUGAUUUAUUUUUCAUUUACUUUAAAUAUAAAUGACAUUAAUAAAAAAAAUCAAAUUUUUUUUUAUAUUUUUGUUACAAUUCAUAUUUAUCUUUGUUAAAUUCCAUUGUAAAUUAUACAUAAUUUUCCAUAUAUAAUAUUUGAUAUGAAAUAUAUAACUUUGGAUAGGUAGCUUUAUUGAACUAUUGAUUAAUAAAAGGUACACUGACUAAAUCGUAAAAAUGAUAAAAGUUCAAUCGACAGAGAAAUUGUAAUAUGUACUUGAAGUAACAAUUAAAGUAGCAUUUUUUUCCACUAUAUGAAUGAUAGUAGAUGGUUGCAAAUACAAAUGAAAUACAAAAAAAAAGAUUUUGUACACAAAAAGAAGCAUUGUAAUCAAUUUUAUAUCGUAAAAAAAAAUCAAAUGCUAGCAACGUUAAAAACCCAAUGUAUCCAGCAAUACGGAACAUGUGGCCUUUGUAUGCCCUAGGUUUCUAUAGUACCCAUAUAACCUCUAUUAGUUGUCUCUCUCCCGACCAUUCAUAUUGGUACGUAUCCAAGUGAAAGUUGGACGACCUUUUGGUACUUUAAUAGUAAAAUAGAACAAGGAGAGAAUGAAUACGUGUUUCAAAAUGCACUUAAGAAGACGUACUUUCGUCGAAUAAUUAUGAAACGCUUUUCGGUGCUCAAAAACAUGUUUCACAGAUUAAAUAAUUUUAUCAGACGUGUGUUUCAAAUAGUAUUCAGUGCUUCAAAACGUGUUUCAAAUCUUACCUAGGAUUUCCGAGGUUAAGACACUUUUGGCAAACUUUUAGUGGGAAGGUAAGAAAGCUCGUCUAACUAGGCGAGCUUUCUUACCAUUUCCCUAAAGUUUGCCCCAAAAGUACACUGAUACUAGGAAUGUAGGGUAAGAUUUGAAGCAUGUUUUGAAGAUAUUUGAUGAAAACGUUGGUCCUAUGACUCAUUUUAAACCAUGAUGAUUUUUUCCUUUGCAAUCUCACCCCUCCCCCACGCCUAUAAAAGGGGGCUCCCCAUCUAUACUCCAUCAUCCCUAAACCCAUCAUUUCUCUCAGCCUUCAUCCAUCCACUUUACAAUAUUUCUCUCUCUCAAUUUUUCCCCACUUCAGUGUUAAAAAAUUUCGUCGCUAAUAAAAUUUUUGGUUUGAGGUAUUCUUGAGUUAUUGGUGAUGUGAUAUCACUCUGAGACACACACAUUUCAUAUAUUCUACUGAAAUAAGACCAUUAUCUCAGAAAUCUAUCCUGUAGAAGUCGAGUUUCAGGGUGGUUUUGUUUUAUAUUGUUACAGGUAGAAGUCUAUGUAGAGGUAUCGACUGAUGGCCGUUAUAAUGUCAUGGAUCAGAAUAAAUGAGGGAACCAGUUAACGGUCGUUAUGCAAACACGAGCUCAAACUUUUUGGAUACCCGGAGAUGUUGCCUCAUAAAUAUCAUACAGAAGUUUGAGGCAAUAAUCACAGGGAAAAACUGUGGGGCUUCCCGCAUUAUCGAUAUAAAUUUUUUCUCUAUUUUCACAUAGUCGGUAUCUUUAACCUUCUUUUUUAUCCAAAAUUUGGCACCACUGUGGACACAAGACUCUCAGGCGGGCAAUAGUUGUGAUGUUGGAGUAAAGGUGAUGCUCCUUUCGGGGUGACAAUGGUUGCCGUUAUUAAAUGACCCAUUAAUAACUACAACUGUUGUUGCGCACCUUAGUUUAACCUUUACUUCGACGAAACAUUUACUCUCUACCUGAGAGCCCUUUUGUGUCCAUAUCGGUGUCAGCUUUCGAGUAAGAAUAAAAAAGUUAAAGAUAUUGACCGCCUGGAAAUGGAGAAAAAAAUUAUGUUGUUUACAUUGGAAAUCCCUCCGUUUUCCCUUAUGAUUAUGACUUCAAUCUUAUGUGUGAUAUAUAUAAGGCAUCAUUCGUAGGUAUCCAAAAAGCUUAAACUCGUGAUCGCAUAACGAUCGUCAACUGGCCCCCGGUUAUACUUGAACCCGUAAUCGCAUCAUAACCAUCGACUGGGACCUCCAUUUAGACUUCGACCCGCUACUUUAUCAAGUAUUGUCACCCCGAAACCUAACUUCCAUAUGAUGAGUUUCUGAUGUAAUGGUCCUAUCCUAGCAUGACAUAUGAAAUGUAUGUGUUCUGCAUCCCCAACCCCUCAAAUCUACGUAUAAACUUUCAUGGUUUCACUCUUAAAACCCUAAACCUUAAUUCUUAUAAAACAUCUAAUCUUAACCCUAACAAUUUUUUUAAAAAAAAGCCAAGGAGAGAUUGUAUAAAAGCAUGCCUAUCUGGAUGCACUUUCACACUCGCUUUUCAAAAUCAGCCUAUUUCCCUAAUUUUCAAAAAGAACAGCCUAAAAGGCCAAGUAAAAAAAUUGGCAUUCGCUACUAAUUUAGCACUAAAUCUUUUAAAUUUUAUUUGAAUAAUUUCAAAUCUAUAACACUAUUUUGUAAACUACAACCAUUGUUUCAUUUUGGCCACUUAACUAUAAAAAAUAACUAGCUGGUUAUUAUUGUUUUGGGAAUUAUUUUUUCUGCUCACCCGAUCGUUAAGUAACUAACAGAACAAUAACAUGACACUUUUUAAUCAAUAUAGUAAUAAGUUUAAUCCUUAACUUUUAUACUUUCUAUCAAAUUGAUCCUAAUUUUAUAUAAAAAAAUUUAAAAUUUAAAUUCUUUUAAGAAUUUGAAAAACUCUAAAAUAUUAAAAUUAUAUAAAAAAACUCAAAAUAGAUUAAAAAAGCAAUUGAAUUUGAAGGUUUACAAAACUUUGCCAUUUGCUCUUUUUUUUUCUUCAACCCUUAUUUAGAAACUCAAAUUUUCUUUUUAGUUCCUCUUUCUUGUACAAUUUUUUUUUGUUCAAACAUUCAUCAUACAAUUUGGCUUUAAAUUAUGGAUCAAUAUUAUAAUUGGAAGUAUCAUCAACUUCAUAAUAAUGACAACAAACACUACCAUUACAAUAACCCUACAUCUGUUGUUUGCUUAAUUUCCCACUUGCCAUUAUGCCCUUACCCUUCUUACCAUCAUCAAAACGGCAAACCCUAAUUACCUACCGAAGUCAUCGUCUCCGCCUUCUCCCCCUCCUUACAUCUAUCUGCUCCCCGAUCUUAGAUUUUGGACCUAAUUAUGGUUAUAAUUAUAGUACAUUUCACCCCUUCCCAAUCAUCGUCAUCAUCAACCCACACCAUCACUAUUGCCAUCACUUUUGGUAUUAAAAUUUUUCGAUUUGCCAACCACUGAAUUAGACUUGUACAGUCCUCCAUACCUAGUACUACCAAACGAGCUGUAUUCGAAACCUAAGUCAUCGGCUUUUUUGUAGCCUUGGACAUUGUUGCUUUUGGCUUGGAUUAUUGAAAAGCCAUCUUCUUAAACUUCUUUGAAAGAAACAACCAAAAGAGAUUUGUAAUACCCCUAACCCGUACCCGUUGUCGAAAUAGGGUUUCAGAGUAUUAUUAAAACUUUUAGAACAUUUUACAAUAAUUUAUGUAAAUUGCUAUUCAUUAACCGAGAUCAUACAAAACCUCCCUUAAUUGGACCCUCGAGGCUCAAUACGAGCAUUAGAGUCGAGUCGGGGCUUAAUCGGUAGCUCUAAGAAUUUUUCACGAAAUUACAAAAAUUUUCAAAGGUGCAGGGCUCACAAGCCCGUGUGGUCCAAGGGACAUGCCCGUGUGACCCUGAGACACACCCAUGCUACAGGACGUGUUCAACCCUGUGUAACUCUCUGACUUGUACAAACAGUCAUGCAACACGCCAGUGUUCUAGGUCAUGUGGUUAAUUAAUUUAAUUCAAAAUUAGGUACAGGUUUCACACGGCCAAGAUACAUGCCCAUGUUCUAGGCCGUGUAGCACACACGGCUGAGACAUAUGCCCGUGUCUCUACCCGUGUGCUCAAUUUUGAGCAUUCAGUUUCUCAAAAUUAAGGUGCAGGGGACACACAGCCUAACUAUACGCCUAUGUUAUCAAGUCGUGUGUCACACACGGUCUAGACACAUUUUCGUGCGUCUGCCCAUGUGGACAAAAUAAAGUCAUUUCUUAGCCUCAUUUGUCACCCAAAUUUACCAUUUUCAUGUACUAAAACACACAUCCAAAUACCAACCAAUUCAAGCAUUUAAAUUAAGCAAAUUCUAUCAUUCAACAAGGCAUAUCAUUACAUGCAUAUAUGUUUAUAAUCUUACCUUGGUAUAUUCUAUAUGUUAGGCAUAAUUUGAACAACCACUUAACAUAUAUUUAGCUACCAUAGCAUGACAUUACAAGUAUAUCAAAACAACUAUUACUAGCCAUUCCAAUGGCUAGAUUACAAACAUCAUUUUCAAACCACUAAUGGUCAAGUUAUCCUAUACAUGCCAUUAUACCAAAAUAAUUCUACUAUAUGUAUACCCUAAAACAACUAGUUGAUAGUAUGGCGAUGCUCCAAUAAUCUUCAACUUUCGUGAGCUUUUGAACACUAUAAAACAGGGAAAAUAAAACGGAGUAAGCAUUAUAUGAUUAGUAAGUUCGUAUAAAGAAAACUAAACUUACCAAUCCCGUUUAUUAAAUCUAAGCAUACAAUAUCAUGUUUUUCCAUCCAUUAGCAAAAUUGCCUAACCACAUGCAUUCAGUCAAAUAUGUUAGUCACUAAAAUCUUCAUAUCAAUCAAGUAAACAUAAAUAAGCUCAUCAUGCAAUAUUCUUUCAAGUCAUUAUCAUUUCAUUUCAAAAUUCUCAUACCAUGUCAAGAAUCGUGUCCAUUGAAUCAUUGAAAUUUCGAUGGAUGUUCAAAUAGUACACUUAAGGUGUACGAUUUAAUAAGUCAAUUCUUAUUCAAGAGUACCCAUUAGGGCACUUAAUCAAGAAACACACUCUCAAGCUACAUUUCAUAUAAUAGGAUUACCAGUCCAGGCUAAAUCUUUUAUAUAACGUAUGAUUAGAAGAGCUUAAUUAGGAUUACCAGUCCAGGCUAAACCCUAAUCAUAACGUAUACUCGAGAAGCAUUAUAUCAAGAUUACCCAUCCGGCCUAAAUCCUUUCUGAAAUGAGAUUAAUAGGAUUACUCGUCCGAGCUAAAUCCAAUCCGCAACAAACGCAGGACCUCAUCCAUUUCAGGAAACACAUAUAUUUAUUGGAAUUCAGUAUUCAAUUGGGACUUAACCAUUUUUUCACCAUUUCAAGCAUGUAUUGAAUUGUCCAUUAUAGCAUUCAAGUAAUGCAUUUCAAUAUAAUUCACAUUAUAUGCAAACAUAACAUUCAAUUAACAUAAUUACAUACUCGAUUAAGUUACACGAACUUACCUCGACACUUGUUCGCGUAUAAAAUCUACUAAUCCGAAACCUUUUCUUUUCCUCGGCCUAACCUUGAAUUUGUGGUGUCCAGAUCUAUAUAAAUAGCUUUAAUAAUCAAUUUCUCAUAUUUCAUAUUUAUUUGAACUCAAUUUAUGCCCUAGGAAAAAUUACCAUUUUGCCCAUAACUUUUCCAUAAAUUUCAAUUUCAUCCUUAGGCUCGGAAAAUGACACUUAUGAAAUUUACUCCCUAUUCCAAGCCUAACAAAAAUCCCAUUACAAAAUUUACAGCACAUACAUUCAUAAAAAUUCAGCAUUUUUCUUCAAUUUCACAAGUUUACAUUUUAGUCCCUAAAUCAUGUUUUCAUCAAAAAUUACUUUGUAAAAGUUGUUGAUCUAUCAACAACCUUUCAUUUUCUACCUUAAAUUUCUAAUUUUCAGCAUAUACAUCCAUGACCCAUUUACCAUACUGUGAUAACUUUUUAAAAUUAAUCCCCCAAAUAGAUAGUUUAAGUUAUCUCGGUUUUAAAAAUAUUAAAAUUACUAAAAACAGGACAAGGAAACUUACCCAAUUAAGCCUUGAAAGUUUCUUCUCUCUCUCCUAGGGUUUCCAUAUAAUUUUGGGGUUGAAGAUGACAAAAAUAAUAAGAUGAUACCUUUUAUCAUCUUUUUAAUUAAUUAAUUAUUUCAAUUUCCAAUUUAGUCCAUACUCUUUUCUAAUUUUUCCAUGGAUGAGUCACCAAAAAUCUACAUACUUUUUUUAAUGGUCUAAUUACCAUAUAAGGACCUUUAGUUUUGAAUUUCAUAGCUAUUUAAUCCCUAUAGCUACUAGAAUUCAACUUUCGCAUUUUAUGCUAUUUAGUUCUUCUCGUAAUUAAACACUUAAUCGAUAAAAUUUUCGUAUCAAAAUUUUUACACGACAUGUCUAUCUUGAUAUAGACCAUAUUAUAAAAUAAAAAUAAAAUUUAUUUUCGAAUCGAAUUUGUGGUCCAAAAUCACUGUUCUGAUUUUACUAAAAAAUGGGCUGUUACAAGAUUAACUUAGAGAGAUGAUAAGAGAAGAUUAAACCUAUGAAAAUCGAUGCAAAAUCUGUUACCAGUAAACCAAGGAAUCAAUUAAUCAAGACUCAAAAAUAAAAUCAAAACCUAGCCUUGAAGAAACACAACACUAGAAAUGAAUCAUCUUUGCAUCAUAGUCAAACUAAAAACCCUUUAAAUAUUGCCAAAAAUUCAAGAAAAUAAUUUUUUUCAUGUAAAACUUAAAUUUUUUUGUGUAUUUAAUCUUUUUUUUUUCAAUGUACCCGCAAAGGAUGUUUUGACAUAGCAUGGUGAACAUUCAGACUUGUAUUUAGUUCGAAACAGAUAUAGAAUGUUGUUAAAUCCCACCUCUUUAGAUCAACAGCAUAAUAAUAUUUACGACCUCAUAUGGAAGUUUCAAUGUUUGUAUAAGGUAAAAAUUUUGUUGUGGAAGUUUGUUUAAAAUUACAUCACUAUAAUGCAAAUCUUUACAGUAAAUGAGUUAUUAAAACAUCUUGCUAUCCUUGUUACAAAAUCGAUGUUAAAAACCCCACUAAUUCUAGUUGUGGUUGUGUUUAUGCUAGUUCUAUCUAGAAACAUUUGGCUAUUUUUUGAUCAGGGAAUGUAAACCAAUUAGACUUAGAUGAUUUGCUACACUGGCUUUUCUAUCAUAGUAAUAGCAGUAAACAAAUUGAAAUUGUUAUAACAAUAUGGUCAUUAUGGUACUCUAGAAACAAGCUUUUACAUGAGGGCAUGAAUUAAAGUGUUGACGAAUUGGUUACCUUUAUUCGAGGUCAAUGCUCGAAACUUGAAACUCUUUUUCGGUCACUAAAUUAUCACACCCUCAUACGGAUGUACUUUGGGAGCCUCCAGCUCAGCCGAAUGUUAAAGUAAAUGUCGAUGCAAGCUUUUCACCUAUAGAAAAUAAAUCUAGUUCAGGUGUGGUAAUUCGUGAUGGUAAAGGACAAAUUAUGGGCUCGUGUCCUAGAACAAAUUACCAGAUUCUUUUAGUUUUUAUUGUGAAAGCCACAACGAUUGUUCAAGGACUAUAGUUCGCAACUGGUUUGGGACUCUGAUUAUUUAGAAAUUGGUUCACUCACUUGGGAUGUGAAAUUGUUGGCCAAAAAUUUCAUUUCCUAUCAUUUCCACUUCAUCGGCCGAAAUGGAAACCAAACAGUGCAUGCAAUGGCUCUAGAAGACAUGAGAAGAUUCGACAAUCGAUAUUGGAUGGAGGAUGCACCCUAGAAAGUUUUUCAUUUUGCUAUUGUUGAUCGAAGGUUUCUUGACGCUUUUUAGUCUUUAAUGUCGGUGUUGAUUUGGGAAUAUGUUGUUAUAGACAAUGGUGCUGUAACGCCCCAAAAUUUUUAAUUUUGAAUUUUUAAAUCAUGUAAAAUGAGUUAGUUUGGUUUAGUGGUUAAGUAUUCUAUUUUUGUGCCUAAGGUUGUAACACCCCUAACUCGUAUCUGUCGCUGGAAUAGGGUUACAAAGUAUUACCGAAAUUUACAGAUCAAGUAAACAAAAAUUUCACAUCAUACAGUAUUCGUAUCAGAAAUCAAUCAUAAAGUCCCUUAUAUGAACCUUCGAGGUCCAAAAUACACAUUAGUAAUAAGUCGAGACUAAACUGGGUACUCAGAAAAUUUUUCGAAAAACAUCAAAAUUAUUCCAAAGUGCAGGGGACAUAUGCCCGUGUAGCCAGGCUAUGUGUCUCACACGGUCAAGAGACACGCCUGUGUUUCAAGCCGUGUGGACGAAAAUAAGGACACACAGCUGUGUUACAGCCUGUGUCUAAAUUAGGAAGCUCUCUAACUUGGGUCACACGGCCAAGCCACACGCCCGUGUGCUAGGCUAUAUGAGCAUAAUGACUUGUAUUAAUAAGGUGGAGGGGUCACACGGCCAAGCCACACACUCGUCUGCUAGGCUGUGUGAACAUUCUGUUUUACUCAAAUUCAAAAAUACAGGGGACACACACACGGCUGAGACACACAUCUGUGUCUCUGCCCGUGUGGAUGAAAAUAGACUAUUUCUAAGCCACAUUUCUCACCCCAAAUUUGCCAUCAACUAAUCAAACAUUUUUGAACAUCAACAUACCAUAAUAAGGCAUCCAUAUCAAGCCAAAAUCAAGUUUUAUUCAUAACAUAUCUCUACUUAUUCCUUAUUAUCCAAUUUACCAAAUUGAUCAAAAAUCACAUGUAUACUUAUUUAUAUCAAACAUACUAGCUCAACCUAAUCAUCAACAUACCUAUAAAUUAUCCAUCACUCAACCAUAUAAAACACACGACAAACAUGAUAAGGCCAUACAUAUAUACACAUUAAAAUAUGUCCAACUCAAGCCAUUCCAAUGGCUAUUUACAACAAAAUAUUUAUAAGCCAACAUUGGCCAAAUUACCCUAUACAUGCCAUUAUAACAAAAAUUAGUUUUCUAUAUGUACCGAAAUGGGCCGAUGGAUAGUGUGAUGUAGCUCCAACCAAUUUUCAACCUUAACGAGCUUUCAAGUUACUAUAAAAUAGGGGAAAUAAAAUAGAGUAAGUAUUUAAUGCUUAGUAAACUCGUAUAACAUGGAAAAGUUAACUUACCAUUUAAUAACAUUUAAGGCAAAUAUACAAGAAAUAUCCAAAUCAACUUGGCCAAAAGCCUAAACACAUAUCCUCAUCAUGUUAGCCAUGUAAACACAUAUAAUAACCCAUAAACAUGGUUGAACAUAGUCACCAAGCAAGUUCCAUACAUGUAUCAUCCAUCUUAUAUUUCAACAUAUCAUGUAAUAUCAGUUCCAUGUAAUUUCACAUAUACACUGAUAACAGUUCAUAUCGAAUUUACAUUUUCUUAUAACAGAACAUUACCCAUUGAACUAUUUAAAUAUCAUUGGAUACAUGGGUAGUACACACGAAGUGUACAAAUUUGUAAUCAGUCAAUUCAUAUACAGGUAUGCCCAUACGAGAAUGUAAUCAGGAAGCUCUUUCGAGCCAUAUGACGGGAAGCUUAUGUGAGCCAUGUAAAGGGAAACUCAUAAGAGCCAAUAUCGGGAAGCUCAUGCGAGUCAAUAUCAAAAAGCUCCAGAGAGCCAUAUAUUGGGAUUCUCAUAAGAGCUAAUAACGGGACGCUCUUGCAAGCUGUGGUGUGUCUGCAACACAUGCAAGACCACAACUAAUCGGGAACCCUUAAUGACAAUGUCAUUUGUAUCCAUCGAAUUUCUUAAGUUUAAACAGGACUUAGCACUUGUCAAAUAUUAUCGGAUAUGUGAUCCAUACUUAUACAUGACAAUUUUAUACAUUUCAAAUACAUAACAUUCAAUUCAAACAUAUAAAUAUACAAUUUAAUUACACGAACUUACCUCGACAAAUGUUCGUAGACUUGUAAGCUACUAAUCCUAUACUUUUUCUUUUCCUUGUUCUAACUCUGUAUUAGGUCUAUUCGGAUCUAUAUGAAUGAAUUUAACUCAAUUUAAUACAAUUCAUACUCAAUUCAAUCCAAUACACAUCUUUGGAAAAAUUACUAUUUUGCCCCUAUACUUUUAAUUAAUUACGAUUUUGUCCUUAGGCUCAGAAAAUAAAAUUCAUACAAUUUAAUCCUUAUUCCAAGCCUAGUCGAUUUUUAUAUAUCACAAUAGUAGCCCCUGUAUUUCAUAAAAUUUAGAUUUUUUCCAUGAAUUUUCCAUCUUUAUAAUUUAGUCCCUAAAUCACAAUUUCAUCAAAAUUCACUUUACAAAAGUUGUUUAUCUAUCAACAACCUUUCAUUUUCUACCAUAAAACUUCAUAAUUCAACUAUAUUCAUCCAUGAAAAAACUGUAAUCCUUUGAUAGUUUUGCAAAUUAAUCCUUGAGAUAGCUAAAUUAAGCUAUUACGAUCUUGAAAACAUAAAAAUUAUUAAAAACGGGACAAGAAUACAUACCUAAUUAAGCCAAAAUAACUUGCUUGAAGUAAACACCCAUAACUAGGGUUUCCAUAUCUUUUAUUUAGGAAAGAUGAUGAAAAUGAUGAUAUUAGAUUUUUUUUCUUUUAUUUAAUAUUACUUUAAUACCUAAUUUCCAAAAUUAAUCUUAACAAUUGGCUAAAUUCCAUUGAUGACUAAUCAUACUUAUCUAAUAACUCCUCUAAAUGGUCUAUUUUCCAUAUAAGGACCUCAAAUUUUGAAUUCCAUAGCUAUUUGACCCCUUUAGCUACUAGAAUUCAACUUUUGCACUUUAUGCAAUUUCGUCCUUUACAUCAAAUUAGACAUGUAAUCAGUAAAAUUUUUUUACGAAAUUCUCAUACGACAUUUCUAUCGUAAUGCAGAUCAAGAAAUGAUAUUAAAAUAAUUUUUCUUCCGGAUUCGGAUUUGUGGUCCUGAAACCACUAUUUUGAUUUCAUUGAAAACGGGCUGUUACAAAGGUCCUGUGUUCAAAUCCCUUCCUUGAAUUUUAGUUAUUUUUGUUCCAAAUGCUAUCCUUAAACAUCUAACUUAUUUAUUAUUUUUUCUCAACCAUUGAUAAGAAUAAUCCUGCUUGUUCAGUGGUAAGGCUUCAACUUACCUAUUUGUGUUCAAAUCCCAUGCGUGCAAAACGAAAAAUAAUUUUGGUUCUCCCUAAGUGUGCCACCCAUGUGGUUAGUGGUUGGGUCAAAUUCAAAUUCUAAAAAAUAUGAUAUAUAUAGCAAACAGAUUUGUGGGUAGUUUUUAAAAAAAAUUGAGAAAAUCCCUCCUCAAAAUUUUCCGUGUAGUGUUUUCGAUCGAAUAGACUAUAUUUCAAUCCUUCUGUAAGUUUCAAAUAUCCCUAUCUGUAUUAAGGUUUUUACGUAUUUCUGGACAAGAUAGAGAUUUUAGUGGUUCAACGAUUCUCAUUUUAAUUGGUUCUAUGAAUCUAUUUAGGUGAAUAUCGCGCGACAAAGACUCCUCUAAUGGUUUAAGUGUUGAUAAAAGCUGUUGUUUCUUUCAAGGGUAAGUGAUCAAUGUCCUAUUUAAAGCCAAAUUUUUAAUCGUUUGUGCCUGAAUUAGUGAUUUGAUUUCAUAUAUCAUUACUAAUUAGUCCGUUUUAAAUACUGGUUUUAAGGUUUAAAAGCGUGUCAUAUCGUCUUUUUCUAGAAACAAUAAGGUAUGUACCUUUUGUCUCAAAAAAUAGGAAACAACACGAAGUCGAAAAACUUAUUGUCGACCCCAUACGACUGUAUGCCAAACCGUGUGAGCCACAUGGGCUGGGCUAGAUAGGCAAUGUGGGCCACACAUGUAUGUAGGCUCAUUUUUAGUAAAAUUUAAUAGAACCAUAUUUGAUGUACGUUCCAAGGUUAACUACUUUGUAGGGUCUGUUUUGUGAAAUGUGUGACUUAUAUAUAAAUAAAAUAUGAUAUUCUUCCUCUGUAUAUGUGAAUUUUGAAAGCAUGUUAGCAUGUUCUGAUAUGUAUAACAUGUAUGAUUUGUGUGCAUCUGGAUAUUUGGUUAGUGAUUGCAUGUGCAUUAGGGUGGGAUAAUGAUGUGAUGAAAGAAGUGUUGGCAGUUUAAUGAUUUGCCUUAUCUUUUGGUUUAAACCACAUAUCUGUUCUGGUGGCUUGACCACACUCAUCUGAUUCUAGCAGAUUACCACACUAUUUCUGACAGCUUGACUGCACUAUUCUGAAAAGUGACAUAUGCUCACUUAUAGGUGUGUGGGGUUGGAUGGGUAUUUAUUACCCAAAUAGGUCUGUAGGGAUGGACAGAAUGAUGUGUAGUGGAUGGAGGUAGGGUCUCUAUCUGUUCUGUAUUAAGUGUUGCAUCGCAUGAUAUGCCACGCCAUCCGUGUUUGAUUUGAUAAUUUUGUUGCAUUGCUUCAUAUGCCAUGCUGUGUAUUCUAUUCAGUAUCUGACUUUUAUGUGAAUUAUGCUAUCUAUUCUACUUUUAUAGGCUAAGUUACACGUUGAGCUUUGUAAGCUCACCCAAAUUUUUUGAUAAUCAUCAAACUUAGGAUCAGGUGGUGCAUAUGAGCUUAGAUUGAUUUUCUAGUUAAUAAUAAUACGCUUUAUGUUUUUAAACUAUUUCAGGCUUUUUUUUGGACUUCUGUGGACUGUGUAACUGUUUAGGACUUUGUUUUUCGUUUUUGAUUUUCUUUCAAAAGUAAUUAUUAUUUCAAACUGCAAAAUUAUAUAUUUUUACAAGUUAAGUCAUAGUUUUCAAAUUUUAAUAUUUUGAAAUUUCCACUGCAAAACAAAGUAAUCAAUUAAACAAUUUUCUGUAAAAUAAAUAACUUAAAACACAAAUUUUCUAAAAACUAGAAAGAGGUUUGUAAAAAAUAAGUUUUAAGAUCAUCUGAUUUUCAAGAGUUACAUUAGAGUUUCUAAACAAGCUCAUGUAAUUCCUCAAGAUUCGACUAUAACAUUUAUGCCGUGUUUGAGGUGUUAAAAGAUGUUUCCCUAAUUUUACUUUCUUUGGCUUUUGUUCUGUUCAAGGCAAAAUUAUAAUUAGGUUGAAGAAGGAUUAUCGAUUGAGGUUGAAUCUCUAGUUCGACAGAGAUUGAAGGGCUCACUUGUUCAGACGAUGAGUUUGCUCUUCUUUUUUACUAUAUGUUUUUCCAGUCAUUUAUUUUUCCUUUAUGUUUCUAUGUUUUCUAAGCUUACCCUCAAAACUUGUAACAACUUUCUCUCCUGUAUUUUGUCUUUACUUUAAUAAAUGAACCAAUCAAUUUUUAGUAAAUAUAUAUAUUUAUAAUUUUAUAUAAUUUUCAAUUUUUUAAAAGAAAUUUAAUUUUUAAUAAUUUUUUGUAUAGAAUUAGAGUUAAUUUGAUAGAAAGUAUAAAAAUUGAGAAUUAAAAUUAUUAUUAUACUGAUUAAAAAAGUGUCAUGUUACUGUUCCAUUAAUUACUUAAUGGUUGGGUGACCAGAAAAAAUAACUUCCAAAAUAUUAGUGACCAAAUGGUCAUUUUUAUAGUUAAAAAACCAAAAUUAAAACUUAUCCAUAAUUAAGUGAUUGUUGUAGUUUUCCCUAAAAGAUAAGAUAUGGGUACCGCUGUAAAUCUGCCUAUCCCAUCUAUCUGACUGCAGUCCUUUUGGUAUUUUAAGGUUUUGGGAUAAAAUAUUUAAAAUAUGUUAUAGGUUAUUGCACUCUUCUUAAUUUUGAAAUUUAAUCCUAAUAUUUUUAUUUCUAGAAAUUUAGUUCUUAUAUUUUUAUUUUUAGAAAUGUAGUCUCCAGAUUUUAAAAUUCAAGUAUAUUUGUUAACACUAUUAUUUUUUUCAUUAAAUUUAUCGGUGUAACAUUUUGAAAUAAAAAAAUACUUACUUAGUAACAAUGUAACGAAAAAUAACGUUCUAAUAAACCUAAAUUUCACAAAAUAAUCUUAAUAGUGUAGCAGUUGAACCUGAAUUUUAAAAUAUAAAAAGUUGAAGGACUAAAAUCCUAAAAAUAAAAUAUAAGUACUAAAUUCUAAAUUUAAGAAGAGUACAAGGACCUAUAAUACAUUUUAACCAUAAAAAACGAGUAAAAAAAACAA
RNAcentral lists this long non-coding RNA (121131 nucleotides) under Gossypium barbadense (sea-island cotton). Its description in RNAcentral is "long non-coding RNA (GBAR_LNC005707)". The record is from RNAcentral. Lineage: Eukaryota; Viridiplantae; Streptophyta; Magnoliopsida; Malvales; Malvaceae.